UGUGGUGUUCCUCGCGGUGUCAACUGUGAAACAAUUCUAAAUUGUCUUAAGUGAGCACCAACUCGUAACUCAGAUAUUCUCCUCCUCGAUCAGAUCGUAGGAAUUUGAUCUUCUUGCUACGACGAUUUUCAACUUCACUCUGAAAUUGUUUAAACUCUUCAAACGUUUUAGACUUGUGCUUCAUCAAGUAGUUAUAGCCAUACCUACUCAAAUCGUUAGUGAAAGUGAGAAAAUAACGAUAUCCGCCGUGCACCUCUAUGCUCAUUGGUCCGCACACAUCAGUAUGUAUGAUCUCCAAUAAGUCACUCGCACGCUCCAUUGUUCCAAAGAACAGAGUCUUAGUCAUCUUGCCCAUGAGAUAUGGUUCGCAUGUGUCAAGUGAUUCAAAAUCAAGUGACUCCAAAACUCCAUCAACAUGGAGUUUCUUCAUGCGCUUAACGCCAACAUGACCUAAGCGGCAGUGCCACAAGAAAGUGGCGUUAUCACUGUUAACUCUACAUCUUUUGGUCUCAAUGUUAUGGAUAUGAGUUUCAUCACAAUCGAGAUUCAAUAUGAACAAACCCCUCACAUUGGGUGCAUGACCAUAAAAGAUGUUACUCAUAUAAAUAGAACAACCAUUAUUCUCAGACUUAAAUCUAUAACCGUCUCGCAAUAAACAAGAUCCAAAUAUAAUGUUCAUGCUCAACGCAGGCACUAAAUAACAGUUAUUUAAGUUCAUAACUAAUCCCGAUGGUAACUAAAGUAAGACCGUGCCGACGGCGAUCGCAUCAACCUUCGAACCAUUUCCCACGCGCAUCAUCACUUAAUCCUUAGCCAGCCUUCGUUUAUUCCGCAGUUCCUGUUUCAAGUUGAAAAUGUGAGCAACAGAACCGGUAUCAAAUACCCAGACACUACUACGAGAGUUGGUGAGGUACACAUCAAUAACAUGUAUAUCAUAUAUACAUUGUUUGGCGUUGGCCACCUUCUUAUCGGCCAAAUACUUGGGACAGUUGCACUUCCAGUGACCAGUCCCCUUGCAAUAGUAGCACUCAGUUUCCAGCUUAGGCCCAGCCUUGGGUUUCUUUGUCGGAGGGGCAACAAAUUUGCUAGUCUUCUUGGAGUUACCCUUCUUUCCUUUGUCAUUCUUCUUGAAACUAGUUGUCUUAUUGACCAUCAACACUUGAUGUUCUUUCUGGAUUUCUGACUCAGCGACUUUUAGCAUCGCAAAUAAUUCGUCGGGUGACUUAUUCAUCCCUUGCAUGAUAUAGUUCAACACGAAGAUCUUGUAGCUAAGUGGUAGUGAUUGAAGAUUUCUGUCAGUGGUAGCUUCUUGCGGGAGAGCGAUCCCCAGCUCAGCUAGACGGUUUGAGUACACAGACAUUUUGAGCACAUGUUCACCGACAAACGAAUUCUACUCCAUUUUGCAAGCAUAGAAUUUAUUGGAAGUCUCAUACCUCUUGAUCCGGGCAUUCUUCUCAAAGAUAAACUUCAACUCCUGAAACAUCUCAUAUGCUCCUUGAGGUUCAAAAUGUCUUCGAAUUCCCGGUUCUAAGCCAUACAAAACUACACAUUGAAGUAGUGAGUAGUCAUCCUUACGAGCUUGCCAAGCGUUCAAAACAUCUUGGUCAGCCGUAGCAGGUGGUUCAUCUCCUAGCGCUACAUCAAGGACAUAAUUGGUUUGCCCAACUUGGAGGAUAAGCCUCAGAUUUCGAGCCCGGUCUACAAAGUUGCUACCAUCAUCUUUCAACUUAGCUUUCUCUAGGAACGUAUUGAAAUUCAGGGUUGCUCCUGCGGGAGCCAUUGAUCUACAACAUAAAAUUUUGCAAAUAUUACUUACACUAUGCUCAAGACAAUUGAGUUUAGCUAAUCAUAUUACUAAUAAACUCCCACUCAAAUCGACAUACCUCUAGUCGUUCGAGUGUCGCAUUAUCCAAAUUCACUAACUCAAGUCCGAUCAUCACGUGAGUUGAGUAUAGUUUCAGUGGUGAACAUCUCCAUGUUGAUCAUAUCCACUAUAUGAUUCAUGCUCGACCUUUUGGUCUCUUGUGUUCUAAGGCCAUGUCUGUACAUGCUAGGCUCGUCAAGUUUAACCCGAGUGUUCCACGUGUGCAACUGUUUUCCACCCGUUGUAUGUGAACCUUGAGUCUAUCACACCCGAUCAUCACGUGGUGUCUCGAAACGACGAACUGUAGCAACGGUGCACAGUGGGGGAGAACACAAUUUUAUCUUGCAAUUUUAGUGAGGGUUACCUUAUAAUGCUACCGUUGUUCUAAGCAAAAUAAGGUGCAUAAAAGGAUUAACAUCACAUGAAAAUCAUAAGUGACAUGAUAUGGCCAUGGUCUUGUGCUUCUUGAUCUCCAUAACCAUAGCACCGGCAUGAUCUUCAUCGUCACCGGCGCCUCACGAUGAUAUCCAUCAUCAUGAUCUCCAUCAUUGUGCCGCCAUCGAGGUUGUCAUGCUAUCUAUGCUAUUACUACUAAAGCUACUACCUAGCAAUAUAGUAAAUGCAUCUACAAGCACAAACGCUAGUUUAAAGACAACCCUAUGGCAACUGUCGGUUGCCGUAGCAUCGACAUGCAAGUUGAUAUUUAAUUAUUACAACAUGGUCAUCUCAUACAUCCAAUAUGUCACAUCAUGUCUUUAGCCAUAUCACAUCACAUGCAUACCCUGCAAAAACAAGUUAGACAUCCUCGAAUUUUUUGUUGCAUGUUUUACGUGGCUGCUAUGGGUAUCUAGUAUGAUCUCACAUUACUUACGCAAAGCCACAACGGUGAGAUGCAAAUUGCUAUUUAACCUUCUCCAAGGACCGCCUCGUUAAAAUCCGAUUCAACUAAAGUUUCAGAAACAGACACCCGCCAGUCAUAUUGAUGCAACAAGUUGCAUGUCAUUCAAUGAAACCGGUCUCUCGUAAGCGUACAAGUAAGGUUGGUCCGGGCCGCUUCAAUAUAACAAUACCGCUGAAUCGAGAAAAUACUAAGGAGGGCAGCAAACAGAACAUCUACGCCCACAAACUCUUUUAUGUUCUACUCGAGAUUUCAUCUAUGCAUGAACCUAGCUCAUGAUGCCACUGUUGGGGAACGUUGCAUGGGAAACAAAAAAUAUCCUACGCACAAGAAGACCUAUCAUGGUGAUGAUCAUCUACGAGAGGGAGAUCGGAUCUACAUACCCUUUUAGAUCGCUAAGUGGGAAGCAUUAAGAAACGCGGUUGAUGUAGUGGAACGUCUUCACGAUCCAAAUCACCGCCGUCCCACGAUUCAUCCCGAUCUAGCACCGGACGGACGACACCUCCGUGUUCACCACACGUACAGCUCGAUGACAAUCUCCGCCUUUUUGAUUGAGCAAGAGAGACGGGGAAGUAGAUGAGUUCUCCAGCAGCAUGACGGCGCACCGGUGAUGGUGGUGAUCUAUUCCUGCAGGGCUUCCCCUAAGCAUCGUAGAAAUCCGAUCUAAAGGAAGAACUACAAACUAGAGGAGAGGGUUGCACGUGGCUAAAAUUGUGUCUCAAAACCCUCAAACCUCUAGUAUAUAUAGGAGGAAGGAGGGGCUAGGCUUGCGCACCACGGGAGCCUCCCUUGGGCUCGGCCGAACAAGGAGAGGAGGAGUCCUCCUCCAAUCCUACUUUGAUUAGGACUCCUCCCCAAGUUGUCCUCUUUUGGUUUUUCCACCUUUUACCUCAUGGGAUUUCUUUGGUUGACUAGUCAGCCCAUCAAGGGCUGUUCCGCCACCAUCAAGUCCACGUGGCCCCCUUGGGGAGUGGUGGGCCCACUUGGUGGACCCCUAUACUCAUUCGUCAAUCCGGGUACAUUGUGGGUAAUGCAUGAAAUCCUUCCAGAAUCCAAAUACCAACUUCAUAUAUAUGAAUCUUCAUUUCCGGACCAUUCCGGAACUCCUCGUGACGUCUGAGAUCUCAUCUGGGACUCCGAACAGAACUUCAGUCACAAGCACCUACAACUCAACUAUACCGAAAUGUCACCGAACCUUAACUUUGCAGACCCUGCGGGUUUGAGAACUAUGUAUACAUGACAUGAGACACUCUCCGGUCAAUAUCCAAUAGCGGGACCUGGAUGUCUAUAUUCGAUCCUACAUAUUCUACGAAGAUCUUAUCGGUUGAACCUCUAUGUCAAGGAUUCAUAUAAUCCCGUAUACCAUUCCCUUUGUCCUUCGGUAUGUUACUUGCCCGAGAUUCGAUCGUCGGUAUCUCCAUACCUAUUUCAAUCUCAUUAGCGGCAAGUCUCUUUACUCGUUCCAUAAUACAAGAUCCCGUGGCUAACUCUUUAGCCACAUUGCUUGCAAGGCUUGUAUGUGAUGUUGUAUUACCGAGUGGGCCCCGAGAUACCUCUCCGUCACAUGGAGUCACAAAUCCCAGUCUUGAUCCAUGCUAACUCAACGGACCCCUUCGAAGAUGCCUGUAGAGUACCUUUAUAGUCACGCAGUAACGUUGCGACAUUUGAUACACACAAGGCAUUCCUCCGGUGUCAGUGAGUUACAUGAUCUCAUGGUCAUAGGAAUGAAUACUUGACAUGCAGAAAACAAUAGCAACAAAAUGACACUAUCAUAUGCUACGUUUAUAGGUUGGGUCUUGUCCAUCACAUCAUUCCCCUAAUGAUGUGAUCUCGUCAUCAAGUGACAAAACUUGUCUAUGGCUAGGAAACCUUAACCAUCCUUGAUCAGUAGGUUAGUCAACUAGAGGCUCACUAGGGACAUACUUUUGUCUAUAUAUCCACACAUGCAUUUAUGUUUCCAUACAAUAAAGUUAUAGCAUGGAUAAUAAAUGAUUAUCUUGAAACAGGAAAUCUGAUAAUAACUAUUUUAUUAUUGCCUCUAGGGCAUAUUUUCAGCAGAAGGUAUACCCAACUAUCUCUUUUGGGUAACCUAUGAAGACACACUUUUCUGCUUUGGGUUCCAGCUUUUCAGGCUANNNNNNNNNNNNNNNNNNNNNNNNNNNNNNNNNNNNNNNNNNNNNNNNNNNNNNNNNNNNNNNNNNNNNNNNNNNNNNNNNNNNNNNNNNNNNNNNNNNNUGACUAUAAAGAUGCUCUACAGGUAUCUCCGAAGGUGUUCGUUGAGUUAGUAUGGAUCAAGACUGGGAUUUGUCACUCCGUGUGACGGANNNNNNNNNNCUGCAUGUCAAGUAUUUGUUCCUAUGACCAUGAGAUCAUAUUACUCACUGACACCGGAGGAAUACUUUGUGUGUAUCAAACGUCGCAACGUAACUGGGUGACUAUAAAGAUGCUUUACAGGUAUCUCCGAAGGUGUUCGUUGAGUUAGUAUGGAUCGAGACUGGGAUUUGUCACUCCGUGUGACGGAGAGGUAUCUCGGGGCCCACUCGGUAAUACAAACAUCACACACAAGCCUUGCAAGCAAUGUGACUUAGUGUAAGUUGAGGGAUCUUGUAUUACGGAACGAGUAAAGAGACUUGCCGGUAAACGAGAUUGAAAUAGGUAUACAGAUACUGAUGAUCGAAUCUCGGGCAAGUAACAUACCGAAGGACAAAGGGAAUGACAUACGGGAUUGUAUGAAUCCUUGGCACUGAGGUUCAAACGAUAAGAUCUUCGUAGAAUAUGUAGGAUCCAAUAUGGGCAUCCAGGUCACGCUAUUGGAUAUUCACCGAGGAGUCUCUCGGGUCAUGUCUACAUAGUUCUCGAACCCGCAGGGUCUGCACACUUAAGGUUCGACGUUGUUUUAUGCGUAUUUGAGUUAUAUGGUUGGUUACCGAAUGUUGUUCGGAGUACCGGAUGAGAUCAUGGACAUCACGAGGGUUUCCGGAAUGGUCCGGAAACGAAGAUUGAUAUAUAGGAUGACCUCAUUUGAUUACCGGAAGGUUNNNNNNNNNNUAGGUCCCUCUAUUGGAUAUUGACCGAGGAGUCUCUCGGGUCAUGUCUAUAUACAUAGUUCUCGAAACCGCAGGGUCUGCACACUUAAGGUUCGACAUUGUUUUAUGCGUAUUUGAGUUAUAUGUUUGGUUACCGAAUGUUGUUCGGAGUCCCGGAUGAGAUCACGGACGUAACGAGGGUUUCCGGAAUGGUCCGAAAACGAAGAUUGAUAUAUAGGAUGACCUCAUUUGAUUACCGGAAGGUUNNNNNNNNNNGUCGGAGUCCCGGAUGAGAUCACGGACGUCACGAGGGUUUCCGGAAUGGUCCGGAAAUGAAGAUUGAUAUAUAGGAUGACCUCAUUUGAUUACCGGAAGGUUUUCGGAGUUACCGGGAAUGUACCGGGAAUGACGAAUGGGUUCCGGGAGUUCACCGGGGGGGGGGGGCAACCCACCCCGGGGAAGCCCAUAGGCCUUGGGGGUGGCACAUCAGCCCUUAGUGGGCUGGUGGGACAGCCCAAGAAGGCCCUAUGCGCCAUAGAAAAAAAUGAAAGAGAAAAUAAAAAAAAGGAGGAGGUGGGAAAGGAAAGAAGGACUCCACCCACCAAACCAAGUAGGACUCGGUUUGGGGGGGGGGAGACCUUCCCCCCUUGGCUCGGCCGACCCCCUUGGGGCUCCUUGAGCCCCAAGGCAAGGCUCCCCCUCUCCCACCUAUAUAUACGGAGGUUUUAGGGCUGAUUUGAGACGAGUUUUCCACGGCAGCCCGACUACAUACCUCCACGGUUUUUCCUCUAGAUCACGUUUCUGCGGAGCUCGGGCGGAGCCCUGCUGAGACGAGAUCAUCACCAACCUCCGGAGCGCCGUCACGCUGCCGGAGAACUCUUCUACCUCUCCGUCUCUCUUGCUGGAUCAAGAAGGCCGAGAUCAUCNNNNNNNNNNNNNNNNNNNNNNNNNNNNNNNNNNNNNNNNNNNNNNNNNNNNNNNNNNNNNNNNNNNNNNNNNNNNNNNNNNNNNNNNNNNNNNNNNNNNAAGCUUUACCUUCUGGCCCUGAUGCACGCUGGCAUGGCCGUGAGAUUCCAGCUGGCUUUGCUAAAGUCGGGGUGGAUGAAAUCAUGACGGGGUUUAAUGAUAUGGAGCUCGACAUAGCUGGACCCGAAGAUAAGAGGACACUCGGAGAAGUACUGGGUGGAGUCAUCCUAUGGGACAAGAACUACAUCAAGCUUCCAGGCUCGGCCCCAAGGACAACACCGCCUCCGAGUCGUCGCAGGUCACCUACACCUCCAUUACCUCCAAGCCCUCCACAUGACGUCGUCCAGCACAACACGAGUCCAUCUCGAUCACCGCCGCCGGACUUGGGUCGUCCGUCUCCGCCGCCGCCUGCUCCGGAUACAAAGCGGGAGCGUGCCACCAAGAACGCUCCGCCGACGAUUCCUAAGCCACAGAGCACCCCAAAGCGCAAACGGUUUCCCCUCCCAAAGGUACGUCAUGCUAAUCUUCCUAUCAGACCUUAUGAUCGUACCCCCGAGGAAAACGCCAGGAUAGCAAAGGAACAUUAUGAUGUGCAGAUGAAAAAGAAGGAACCCAAUCCCCGCCCGGAAUACACCGAGAAGCAAAUAGCAUUUGCAAAAUACUUCACGACCCUUCCAUCACAGUAUGACGACGAAGGUCCUACCAGAGCAAUGCGCGAUUGCUGUUGCAGAGGAGCUUGCGACCUUUCUGAGGACGGAAACUAUAGAUGACAAAGGACGAUAUAGUGUAGCUAGGGGGCAUUACUGAUAUUCGUCCAUGUAAUCGAAUAGACGGGCUCUAGUCCCGAUAAUUCAGAUCUCCAUAUAAUUGUAUAUAUAUAUGCUCGCUUGUAAGAUAAGUUAACCUUAUAUAUAUAUAUAUGUAUAAUUAUUUCUAUAUAAAUUAUAUGAAAACUAAUUCUCGAACACCAAACGAGGCAUCACGUUAAUCUCCCGAACACCUAAACCCUAAAACCCAAAAAUAAUUUCAUUCAAAAAAAACCCCGAAAAUAAGCAAAAUCUGAAACUCUUUAGUUCCGGCCCGUGUAACGAACCGGGACUAAAGGUCCUGCCCCUGGGGCGCUACAAGGCGCCCACGUGGAGCACCUUUAGACCCGGCUUGUAACAGGGCCGGGACUAAAGGUUAGGCCUUUAGUCCCGGUUGGUGAACCGGGACUAAAGCCCCUUACGGGCCGGGGCUAAAGGCCCCGUCCCCACUAGUGAUAGUGGAUACUAGGGAUCAAAACCCAUCAAAACUAACUCGAUUACAUGAUAGAUCUCAUCCAACCCAUCACCGUCCAGCAAGCCUACGAUCGAUGAGAUUACUCACGAACGGUGAAGAGCAUCAUGGAAUUGGCGAUGAAGGAUGGUUGAUGAUGACGAUGACGUCGAUCUCCCCUCUCCGGACCCUAGAACGGACUCCAGAUCUGCCCUCCAGAGGAAGAACAAGUGGUGGCGACGGCUCCGUAUCUUAAAACGCGAUGAACUCUUCUCCUUUUAUUUUUUCUGGGCGAGAUAGACUAUAUAGUGCUCGAGUUGGAGGCGGCGGAGCCACGAGGGCCUCACAAGCCUGCCAAGCGCGGCUAGGGGGCCACGCCUCCUGGGCUUGUGGGCUCCUGGCUCCGUCCCUCCACGUAAUUCUUGCGUCAGUAUUUUUUAUAUAUUCGACAAAAAAUCCUCGUAAAUUUCCAGGUCAUUCCGAGAACUUUUAUUUUUGCGUAAAAACAACACCAUGGCAAUUCUGCUAAAAACAACGUCAGUCCGGGUUGGUGCCAUUCAAAUCAUGCAAAUUAGAGUUCAAAACAAGGGCAAAAGAGUUUGAAAAAGUAGAUACGGUGGAGACGUAUCAGUGAUCAAAUGUUAUUACUGCAAAAAUAAAUACGUAAAAUUCAUAUAUUGUGCUCAUAAAACAACAUACAACUAUGUAAAACAUUUAAAUGCAAGAACAAAUGUGAUCAACAUCACAACUAAGGUAACAAUUGACCCAACAUCAUAAUGAUACCAAGCCUCUUUAUCAAUGGCAUAUUUUCUAAUAUUCCUAAUCUCUAACCACACUUCAUCCAUCUUCAAGCGCAUUGCGUCCAUCUUCAAUCGCAUUGCAUCCAUCUUGAUCUUGUGAUCAACGACGACAUCGGCAACAUACAACUCCAAUUCCAUAUUCUUCUCUUUAAUUUUUUCUAUUUUUUUCUUCAAGUAACUAUUUUCUUUUUCAACUAAAUUUAACCUCUCGACAAGAGGGUCGGUUGGAGUUUCCGGUUCACAUACCUCCUAGAUAAAAACAUCCAUGUCACGUUGGUCGGCAUAAUUGUCAUAAACACUAAAUAAAACAAAUAGUUAUAAAAGAAAAUAUAGCACGUCUCAAUCAUAGGCCGGACGAGGACCGACGUGUGUGCAUACCAAUACCAUCGCACUAUAUAAUAACAAACAAUAAUAAAAGUAAGAAAUUUACACAAGUAUCUAUCUAAAUCAUACCAGUAAGAUUUUAUUUAGAAAGAAGAUAAGAACAAGAGGCUCACCAUGGUGGUGCCGGCGAUGGGAUCGAUUGUGCAUCUAAAUCAAAAGAACUCCCACAUACACUCCUACACUAAAACCCACAAGCACUCUACUUCUAGAGCAUUUAAAAUUAGCUAAACUAGCGGUGAGCGAUGAAAGAAUGAAGUAGCUAACCUUUUAGAACACUUGUGUAGUUGCUGCACCACCAAACCUAGACAAAUCUUGAGGAAAAUGGAGCUUGGAGGUCGAGCUUGGAGAGGAGAAAGCUUAAGUGUGGCUCGGGCAUUUCAUCGAACACCUCAUGUGCAUGCAUAGAACGGUGAACAUAGCAGGGCAUGCACACCUCCCACAUGGCCAAAAAACAGAGGAGAGGGUGGGCAGGGGCGAGGGUAUAUAUAAGUAUCUCUUUGGUCCCGGUUGGUGGCCAGAACCGGGACAGAAGACUGACUUUUAGUCCCGGUUCCACCCACCAACCGGGACUAAAGGUGCUGCGCGAGGAGUGAGGACCAUUGGUCUCGGUUCGUGUAUGGAACCAGGACCAAAGGAGUCAGACGAACCGGGACCCUGGCCCAGCCGACGCCCUGGCCUCAUGAACAGGGACUGAUAUGGUCCCGGUUCGUAACAGAAUCGGGAUUAAAUCUCUUAUCUCGCCUCGACCAAAGCCCUGUUUUCUACUAGUGUUGAUUUUCUGCUCGGACACAUGCCACUCCUUUCUCUUCGCACGUCAUCAAAUUUGUGAAAGAUUCAUCGUUAUUUUUUUCCAACAAAAUUGUAUUAUCUCAUCGUACAAACUUUCCCGGUCCCAGGUAGAGGUCAGUUGCAUUCUAGAAAAAAGUAAUGGUGCUCACUCAUGAGUGAAUCUAGCAUCGAUACGACAUCUUAUGUUAGACAUUUUUAUAUGAUGACUUUGUAUUAAAAAUGGCAUCUUAAGAUACCUUAGUUUGUGCUUUGCUUCGCAUUCGAGAGGUUUUUGGAUCCACCACAGGUGAUUAGACAAGGUGCUAAGUGCAUCGAAGGACUUAUGAACUAAACUCACAUAUGCAUGUACAUAACUUAGCUUUUUCUAGCUAAGAUUUCUCCAUUUUAUGGUUUAGCAACAAAAUUCCGCAUGCAUAUGAUAUUUUGCAUAGAUUUACUCGUUUGACAUUGUUGUUUCUUCCUUGGGUCUUCAUGCUAUCUCUUCUUCUAAUUAAUUACUUUGCUACAUUAACUUUUUGCCGAUGUGACACUUUUAGCACCGUGGAGCGCUGAAAAGGCCCUAAAGCACAUAAGGACAAGAACUAGCUAACUGCCCAAAAGUUUCGGUUUUGAGAGAUGCAUUACCAUGUGAACUGUGGUCGCAGAUGGUUUGAUACAAACAUGUUUGCUUGCACGUAUUUCAUAACCAUCAUCUUUAUCAUACACUUGACCAAAUUUCUCUUGGGAUGGAUGACAGCCAUAAGGUCGCCUUUUUUCCAUUGCCGCCUGUGAUUAACGACACUUUGUUUUCAUUGCCAAAGUCGGCUCCUUGGCAUGGCAAGAAGGACAAGGUACAAUAUUUGUCCAUAAGCUCUUUUAAAAAGUAUCAUGUUUAAGGAGUGAUAUGCAACUAGAAACCGAUUUUGUCAUUGUCGCAUGUGGUUAAUGAUUGUGAGUGGAGUUUAGAAGAGGAGUGAAGUAGAGUUUAGAGGUGGAGUGUAGCACUUCAAACACACUCGUAGUUAACAGCUAAGAGGUUUUGUUUUUCGUCCGGCUGGCAUGAACACGUAACAUUUACCUACAACAACCAUCGCUUGGACAUCCUGUGUGCCACAACCACCAUCUCCUAUAACUAAGAGCCAUCCAAGCCUAGUCUCAGUAAUCCCAUCAACCAAAGCCUGUGUUCUACAAGACAGCCAACCAGCCAUGGGCCUCAAGGGUGUGAUGGUGUGUUUACUUAUACUGGGGUUGGUUCUCGAACAGGUGCAAGUAGAAGGCAAGAGUUGCUGCAGGAGCACCCUAGGAAGAAACUGCUACAAUCUUUGCCGCGUCCGUGGUGCUCAGAAGCUAUGCGCAGGCGUCUGUAGGUGUAAACUCACAAGUAGCGGAAAAUGCCCUACAGGCUUCCCCAAAUUGGCCCUUGUGUCCAACUCAGGUAAAGGGAAUGAACUCCUUAUAUUCCAUAUUACUAGUUCUUUCUAAAAUAAGAUGCCAUCAUAUAAAGCGUAUGGCGAGUUAGAGUUUUCUAAGUUUUCCUAAUAAUAUAAUGAACUUUUUUAAUUUUUUUCCGAUGAUAUUUGUAUGAGUUUUUCCAUGAACAACGUUUCCAUAAAUAUAAGUUUUCGUAUUUUUUUACCAACAAGUAUUUUUUUCGAAAGGCUGUCUCUUAGGAUCCGAUUCAUCAAAAAAGUUAGAAAAGAGUUGCCUGGUUACCGAAAAGUAAUUGUGAAAUAACUAAUAAAAAGCGAAUGACGGAGACGAUGCCAAUAUCAAAGACGAUAAUGUAUUGUAAGAGAGGAAUUGUUUGUCUUAUACGCGAUUAUAUUUACAUGCUAGAUGUUUUAUUUUGACAGAUGAACCAGACACCGUCAAGUAUUGCAACUUGGGGUGUAGGGCUUCCAUGUGUGACUACAUGGUCAACGCAGGUAAAUAAAAUUCAUCUGGUAUGUGUAUUCCUGUAAACUAAUUGAAAAGGCUACUUCUUGACACAUAAUAUGCUAUAUAUUUGGGCACCAGCUGCUGACGACGAAGAAAUGAAACUCUAUUUGGAAAAUUGUGGUGAUGCUUGUGUCAAUUUCUGCAACGGUGAUGCUGGCCUCACAUCCCUUACUGCCUAAUGAUGUGUAUCCAUGGUCUGAGAUUUCACAGGGCAAGGUGUGUCUGACCUUUGCGUUCAAUAAAAUUGGAUCCCAUCGAGAGUAUCCAAACCAGUGUGUCAACCUGUUUUAUGUGUGUGUAUUUCCAUUCCUUGUUCGAAUAAAAGCCGUCAUAAUGAAUGCCAUGUUGCUGCCGUGAAGUACCGCCAUGACUGAGAUAAAAUGGUACAUGUUGUAUCAUUUGCCUGUGGAUAUAAACUUCAUGAGUACAUGCUUCAAGUAAUUUUCUCUAGUCCUUUUUUUAUUUAGGCUUGAGCACAAGUUCUGUGUUGUCGUGACGUAAGCCUGAAAUGGAUCAAUUUUUUUGCAUUUUUGGUGAGCAAUUCUCUGAGCUUUUAUUUUUACACAUGAGGCACAAGAUCUUUGACCCUUUUAUUAAUUAAGAAGCAGAUUUUGCUCGGUUAAUUAUGAAAAACCUGGCUAAAACCGAUACAAAGGUGAAGUCCACUCCCAAACAUUGAAACACACUGGGACAAGCCCACACCCGUCGACGAUGGGCUGAACACCAUAACAAACGCCAACCAUGCAAACACACAACAACGUGAAGCCCUCCUCCGCCAAGUGAGCCAACUGUCCACUGCCGCCGAAAAGAAGAAGUUAACAUUGUUAUGGGAGGAGCGGACUCAGACUCUCCCGCUGAGGUGAAGAGACAAGUACCCACAAAGACAUACAUCGGAUACACUAGAUGACAUGUCAAUGACCAACUUUGACGGCAACCUCAUCGCCCACACGAUUCUGAGAUCAAUGCAGUCCAAGCUGCCAAGCUAUCGGGGUCGCCACCCCGACAUCCACCUCUUCUCUCUACGCACUCAAUCAACACAGCCUUCCAGGACCGCCACCCCGACACAUCACCACUUUUCUCGAAUUGCAACACCUUAUGACCCAGCUGCCUACAGUCAACCGUCCAUAGACCACGUCCGUCGCACCACAUCCAUGGCCGCUGCCCCCACAUACCAUCCAACCGCCCCCGCUAGGAUGCGUCAAUCGAGCCGAAAACCCUAUUGCCCAUGCAGCCAAGGUUGUCAUCCAAGCCACGUCGAGCUGUAAACCUGCUUCAUGGAGCUGCCGCCGCAUUCUACGAGAAUGCACUUCACAUAUUAGUUUUGAUCUUUUGUUGAACUAUUUUUUGUUGAACUAUUUUAGGAUCGAGUGCAAAUUGUCAUAUGUCUAUCAUAUAAUCCAUAAUCUUUAGACUUUAAUGUUGGGGUUUUUCCUUUGGCACAUAUCCUGGUAAUAUUUAUGGCAUUCAACAAACAAGUUCGGGCUAGUACUACAUAUAAAAGCGCUAACUUCUCUACACUAUUACAUUAUUACAAGGACAUUUCGGUCGCACUCGAGCUGUCAUAGGACUCAAGUGAAUUGACUAGUCGAGUACCUACAAGACUAGUAUACACUAGUAGAAAAUGAGGCUUUCGGUCGGAGGCCCAAAUCCCAGUAGCCCUGGUCCAAGUGAAACCGAGACCAAUGUGAGGCAUUGGUCCUGGUUCGAGCUGCCAGAGCCUCACGGGGCAAUAGUCCUGAUUAGGUUCGAUGCAUUAGUCCCGGUUCGUCCCUAAAAUCAGGACUAAAGAUCCAGCGACUGACACGUGGCGUUCCGCGGAGCAUUAGUCUUGGUUGGGAGCUGGAACCGGGACUAAUGGUUAGUCUUCUGUCCCGGUUCCGGCCACAAACCGGGACCAAAGAGAUGCCUAUAUAUACCCGCGCCCUGCCCACCCUCUUCUUUGUUUUUUGGCCUAGGUCUGCAUGCAUGCCAUGCUCUUGUUGCCACCCUUCUAUGCAUGCACAUGAGGUGUUGGAUGACAUGCCCGAGACACACUUAAGCUUUCUCCUCUCCAAGCUCGACCUCGAAGCUCCAUUUUCCUUAAUAUUUGUCUAGGUUUGGCGGUGCACCAACUACACAAGUGUUUUAGAAGGUUAGCUACUUCAUCCUUUCAUCUCUCACUGCUAGUUUCGCUCAUUUCAAAUGCUCUAGAAGUAGAGUGGUUUGUGGGUUUUAGUGUAGGAGUGUAUGUGGGAUUUUGUUUUUAUUUAGAUGCAAAAUUUGAGCUUAAAUUAACUUCUUAGAGUCUGCACAUGUGUAAGGUACCGUCCCAUACCCGUCCUCACCAUCAUCGAUCGCCCGCACCGAUCUCGUCACCAGCACCACCGUGGUGAGCCUCUUGUUCUUAUCUUUUUUUUAAAACAAAAAAAAAUUCUCAUUUGUAUGAUUUAGAUAGAUACUUGUAUAAAUUACUUACUUUUAUUAUUUUUUGUAAUUAUAUAGCGCAAUGGUUUUGCUAUCCGCUCAUGUCGACCCUCGUUCGGCCUAUGAUUCGGACAUGGUAUAUUUUCUUUUAUCAUUAUUUGUUUCAUUUAGUGUUUAUGACGACAAUUAUGCCGACCAACGUGACAUGAAUAUUUUUAUCUAGGAUGUAUGUGAACCGGAAAUUCCAAUCGACCCUCUUGUCGAGAGGUAAAAUUUAGUUGAAAAAUAAAACAAUUAUUUGAAGAAAAAAUUGAAAAUAAUUGAGGAGAAGAAUAUGGAACUAGAGUUGCAUGUUGUCGAUGUCGUCGAUGAUCACAAGAUCAAGAUGGAUGCAAUGUGCUUGAAGAUGGAUGCAACGCGCUUAAAGAUUAGAAAUAUUAGAAAAUAUGUCAUUGAUAAAGAGGUUUUGUAUCAUUAAGUUGUUGGGUCAAUUGUUACCUUAGUUGCGAUUUUGAUCGCAUUUGUUAUUGCAUUUAAAUGUUUUACAUAGUUGUAUGUUGUUUUAUAGGAGAACUUUAUGUAUUUAUUUUUGUAAUAAUAACAUUUGAUCACUACUGUACUUUGGUUUUAAUGUGAUGAUAAACUUGUAUUAAUUUGGUCAUUUCUCUAUUCAUGAUGUUCUGCAAUGGUUUUUUGAUAUACUUAAUUUCAUAAUACAGAUGAACCGCCAAUGGAUGUACGGUGACGGACGCACUUCAGAGUACAUUACGAACCGGGACUAGUGUCCCUCCCCUGCCUAUAAAUAAACCCUCCCCACCCACUUAUUGUUUUUCUUUGCUACGCACAAGAGGUGUUUGAUGAAAUGCCCGAGUCACACUUAAGUUCACACAAAAUGGUAUCCUCGACCGAGGUUAGCAAACUUAUCAUUUUCAUCUAUAAUCGAUACAAAAAUAUUGCAUGUGUCCAUGUACGAUGGUCAUUUCACUAUUCAUGUAUGAUGUAGAUCAAUGCACGGAAGCGAUGGAUGUACGGUGAACGACGUGGUUCCGGAUUUAUUGCAGGCCUGCAUAAAUUUAUCGAUGUGGCUGAGGCAAAGAAAAUGGAUAAUUUUAUGCCUUGUCCAUGUGUUGACAGUCGAAAUGUCAGGGAGUACUCUGGCUCAAAAAUCAUUCAAGGCCACGUGCUUUGGAGAGGUUUCAUGCCCAGAUAUUAUUGUUGGACCAUGCACGGAGAAAGAGGGGUUAGGAUGGAAGACAAUGAAGAAGAAGAUGAUGAUGACAACUAUCCUAUGUUCACUGAAGAAUACAGUGAUACUGCAACGGAAGACAAUGAAGAAGAAGGAGGUGAAGAACAACCGGCAUCAGAUGAGCCCGCUCAUUUGUGAUGCAAAGCGAGAAUGCGUUACAGACAAGGAGAAGCUGAAGUUGGAGGCCAUGCUAAAGGAUCAUAAAAAGUUGUUUUACCCAAAUUGCAAAGAUGGCAGCACAAGGCUGGGCACCACACUAGAACUGUUGAAAUGGAAUGCAGAAACUGGUUUAUCUGACAAGGGAUUUGAGAAGUUACUGAAAAUAUUGAAGGCGAAGCUUCCAAAGGAUAACGAAUUGCCCGAGACUACAUACGAAGCAAAGAAGGCUAUCUGCCCUCUUGGAUUAGAUGUGCAGAACAUACAUGCAUGCAUUAAUGACUGCAUCCUGUACCGCGGUGAGAAGUACGAGAAUAUGGAUAAAUGCCCGGUAUGCACUGCAUGUCGGUACAAGAUCAGACAAGAUGACCCUGGUGAUGUUGAGGGCGAUGACGAGCCCCUCAGGAAGAAGGUUCCUGCUAAAGUUAUGUGGUAUGCUCCUAUAAUACCACGGUUGAAACGUCUGUUCAGAAACAAUGAGCAUGCCAGGUUGUUGCGAUGGCACAAAGAAGAGUGUAAGUAAGACGGGAAGUUGAGACACCUCGCCGAUGGGUCGUAGUGGAGAAAAAUUGAGAGAAAGUACCCGGACUUUGCAGGUGAUGCGAGGAACUUAUGGUUUGGUCUAAGUACAGAUGGCAUGAAUCCUUUUGGGGAGCAGAGCUGCAGUCACAACACCUUGCCCGUGACUCUAUGUAUCUACAACCUUCCUCCUUGGUUGUACAUGAAGAGGAAGUUCAUUAUGAUGCCAGUGCUCAUCCAAGGAUCGAGGCAACCCCGGCAACGACAUUGAUGUGUACCUAAGGCCAUUAGUUGAUGAACUUUUGUAGUUGUGGGCCAAACCAAGUGUACGUGUGUGGGAUGAGCACAAACAACGGGAAUUUGACCUACGAGCAUUGUUGUUCAUAACCAUCAAUUAUUGGCCUGCUCUUAGUAACAUUUCAGGACAAUCAAACAAGGGAUACAAUUCAUGCAGGCACUGUUUAGAUAAGACUAAAGGUACAUAUUUGUAAAAUCUAAGAAGGUUGUCUACCUAGGGUGUCGUCAAUUUCUUCCGACCAAUCAUCUCGUAAGAAAGAAAGGCAAGCAUCUCAACGGUGAGGCAAAUCACCGGAAGAAGCCUAACCUCCCUACUGGUGAUGAGGUAUUGGGUAUGGUCAAGGAUUUGGAUCAAAUAGUAAUCUUUGGAAAGGGUCCUGGCGGUCAAUCUGUUCUGAAAGACGUCGUUACCGGACACGUGCCCAUGUGGAAAAAGAAAUCUUUAUUUUGGGAGCUACCCUAUUGGGAAUACCUAGAGGUCCAGUCUUCAAUCAGCGUGAUGCACGUGACGAAGAAUCUUUGCAUGAACCUGCUAGGCUUCCUGGGCGUGUAUGGAAGAUAAAAGAUACACCAGAAGCACGGGAGGAGUAGCAACGUAUGAAAGACCUAUACGACAAGAAGAUCGAUAAAGGGCGUCAAUACUUAAGCAGCUACGCUCUUACCAAAGCAGAGAAGGAAAUCUUGUUCGAAUGCCUGAGCAGUAUCAAGGUCCCUGCUGGCUUCUUGUCUAAUAUAAAGAGAAUAAUAAAUAAGGCAGGGAAAAAAUUCCAGAACCUGAAGUCUCAUGAUUGUCACAUGAUUAUGACGCAGUUGCAUCCGGUUGCAUUGAGGAGGCUUCUACCGGAAAAUGUUCGAUUACCCAUUUUGAAGCUAUGUGCAUUACUCAAUGCAAUAUCUCAGAAGGUAAUUGACCAAGAACGUCUGGAAAGGCUACACAGGGAUGUGGUCCAAUGUCUUGUCAGUUUUGAGUUGGUGUUCCCCCGCCCUUCCUCAAUAUUAUGACGCAUGUCCUAGUUCACCUAGAACUAAAACAACUACGGGAACUAAAAUAACUACGAGAACUAAACCCUAAGCAACUACGCCAACUUUCAACCUUUUCAGAUCCCAUUUAUAGUGUUUUUCAAUUACAGGGUCAAUUAGCUCAAAGAAUAGCAAAAAGAAUGAAGUAAAAAGAAUCAACUAAAACAUUAACUCAAAAUAAUAAACUAAAAAGAAUCAACUAAAAUUAUCAAAGUGUUUAUUUGUUAUAAAGAAUCAAGUAAAACACUAACUAAAAAGAAUCAAAAACAUAUCAACUCAAAAGAAUUUUCAUAAAGUUUUCAGAGCCCAUUUGUAGUGCUUUUCAAUUUCAGGGUCUAUUAGCUCAAAGAAUAAACUAAUAGCAAAAAGAAUCAACUAAAAAGAAUGAACUAAAAAGAAUCAACUAAAACAUUAACUAAACAGAAUGAACUAAAAAGUAUCAACUAAAAUUAUCAAAGUGUUUAUUUGUUAAAAAGAAUCAAAAAAAUAUCAACUCAAAAGAAUUUUCAUAAAGUUUUUUUUGUUAAAAUAUUUAAUAGAAAACUAAAAUAAAAGAGAAAUAAUAUUUAAUAACAAAGAACUAAAAUAUAAACUGAGACUAAAAAUUAUUAAAGUAAAAAAAUGCCACCUACUAGGCCAUCACGGCGCGCAUAUGACUAGAAACCCUAGAAGCUAGAUGGGCUAGGAUGCAGGCCCACAGAAGACCGAGUAGGACCACAUGGCAAAGAGAGUGUGUUUAGGCCCGUAGGCCUACUUUUGAGAGAAGCUCAAGAGGGUUGGCGCAGCGGGGCUUAUAAACCACUCUCAGCUCCUCUCAACUAGCGAGGUGGGACUAAACAUUUGGCCGCGGCAUCACCCUCCUUUAGUCUCGGUUGGGGGCUUCAACCGGGACUAAAGCCCCCCUUUAGUCCCGGUUGGAGCCACCAACUGGGACUAAAGGAAGGUGCUUCCCGCCCUUCGGCCUGACGAAAAUGAGCUUUAGCCCCGGAUGAUGGCUCCAACCGGGACUAAAAGGGGGCCUUUAGUCGCGGUUAGAGCCCCAAACCAGGACUAAAGGUCUCUAUGUAUAAGCGGGAGUUGGAUUUUUUCCAAUCCAUCGCCAGUUCCUUCUUCCUCCUACCUCCGAUGCCGCUGGGCUUUCGGAGUCGCCGCCGCCCCCGAAGCCAUCCUCGUCGUCGCUGCCACCGACGUCGGCCGCCUACGCCUCCUCCCUCUGCCUGCGAUGAGUAGUUGUUGCGCCCCGACCCUCCUCUGCUCCCAUAGUGAGCUCGCCGACCCGCUCCUCCCUCUCCUCCCCUGUUUUCUACUAAUGCCCUAGCUCCGGCCGCUUCCUGUCGGGCUUCGCUCCGGCGACCCCUCCUCUCCCCACGCCGCGCUCCGGCACCCCCUCCUCUCCCCUCAUCGGUGCCGCGCACCCCCGCAACCCUCGCCGACAGAUUUAUUUUCUAAAUUACGAUGAACAAAUGUUUUCUUAUUAUUAUAAGGACAUAGUAAUGUAUCUAUGAGAGUGGUGAUGAUCAUCAUUAUUAUGAUGUGUUAUAUAUCCCUAUGCCAAUAUCCGUACUAAAGAGUAACACAUAUAGUACAAUUAGUAGCAGUGCAAAAAUUUGCAUCACAAACAAUGGAAGUGCUUAACCUGUAGAAAAAUCGACCAAGGCAAAAAUUUCCUGUGUUAGAUGAUUUUCCAUGAGCAAAUUUGUACUAGAUCAUGUAAUGUUAAGUUUGAUUAAUUUUAUCACCCUAGGUAAAUUUUCUUUUUUGUUAGUUUGAUACUGGUAUUUCUCUAUUAAUAUUUUAGAACUAUUUUAUCAAUAUUAAAUAGUUGUAAAAGUUUAGAAAAGUUUAUUAAAUAGUAGAAAUUUAAAUACUUGUAGAAUUGGUUCUCGGCGUCGACGUACGAUGCCUGGCCCGCAUCCUCGUCGUCGACUCGGUGGCGACCACCUGCUUGAGAGGUGCCAGCAUGUGCGGGACUGGGCUCCGCCGGGCUGGCACUGGGAGGAGCUAUCUUCCGGGGCGCGCAUCUUGGUGAGGAAGCGGGCUCCCAUCGUCGACCCGGAGCUUCUUUGGUGGUGGUUGCGUGGUCCACUUUCGGUGUUGAGGGUGCCGGCCCCCGAGGAGGAGGUACGUCGUCGUGUCACGGAGGAGGACGAGCACGUCCGUCGCUACAUGGAGGCGUUAGAUGCCAGGUUCUCCAAUACGUGGCAGGUUCUUUAGGGAUCUCACCCGAGCUAUGAUCCGGUGAUGGUUCCCGCUCUUUGGGUGUCCAUCGUACGCGCCUCAGUAUAGCGACAGCUCUUUGUAACACCCUGAUUUUUGCAACUUUUUCUUUCCAAAACCUUUUGAGUUUUUUACUUGCAAACCUGGUUGCUUUUCAAAACUUUUCAAACUAAUUUGGAUCGGUGAAUAUGUGAACUUUUCCAAGUAACCCAAAACCCUCCUCCUCUUGCCAAAACCUUUCCACACCUCUCUUGGAUUAAUUUCCAAUAUUAAACCCUUUCCAAUAAUUCUUUUCUUUAUUUGGGGAAUUAUGCCAUCACCAUGGGUUGUGAAGCAACAUAUAGUUUGGAUGAUCUAUAAAACCCCAAACUUUUUCCCCACCUUCUCAUCAUCAUAUGAUUCCAAUAUAUCCAAGAAUAUUCCAUUGCCCAAUGCAAAUAUUUUGGCCAGAAUAACUAUUUCUUUUCUGACCAGAAAUGCACCAUUGUGAAGAAACCCCAUCUUUCCUACCUUGGAAAAUUUCCAAAAAAUUUCUCAAGCUCCUAGGGAUCCUAUCUAGCCACAAUAUCCAAUAAUAUCAUUUGGUUCAGUAUAAUUUUUGAGCAGGAGAACUCUGUUAAUUUCCUGCUGAUUCUGAACCUUUGUGAAGGAAGUACCAGCUAGGGGUGCACAAAUGAUCUAUAAUUUUUUGGGCAUGUGUGCACUACCAAAUAACUCUCCUCCACCAAGUUUCGGCCUCAGCGGAGUAAGCAUGUGAGCACCUCAAGCUCAUCUCUAUUCUGGACCAGAAUAGUAGUUUCCAAAGGAGCUAUGCUCAUUUCUUCUUCAAAUUCUUUCAAACUUUGCCAGUUUUAAGUCCUUCCUAUGCUGAUAACCCCAGACACUCCAUUUAGCUCCAUCCCUAUCCCAAUUCAUCUCUAGAACCUUCCCAAGUUUGGAGUCAGGGAGUGUUGGUGAUGCUGCCUCUCAUCUGAGUGGCUUUCUGGGCAAGGCAGUGCCACGAGGGGACUCUACAGAGCACGAACGAUGCUCCGGACAAGGUGUGGUAGGCCAGCACGCGCCACCAGUGCCAGUGCACGCGGUGAGCGCGUAGCUAGCCUGCCAAAAUCGCGCUCUGGGCGCCGACAAACUCGGGUCUCGUCGAAGUGAGACGCCCGCGUGGCCAUCUCGUGCCAACUCGCUUCCCGACAGCUUCCUAGACCUUCCACACCCUUCCCCCUCGCUGGAGAAGCCCUCGCCGGCCACCACCGCAGCGCUGCACUGUAAAACCCGCGUGGUCACAGUGGCGUUCCCGCCGUCGUCUUCCCCCGCGAGCCGUCCCUUCGCACAUUGAAUGCCCCUUCUCUCUUCCAUCUCUUCGCCUCGCGUCGCGAUAGCCAGCUCACCGUCUCUGCUCCAGUGGCGUAGCCACGUCGCCGCCGUUCCAGCGAGAUCACCGCCCUCGCCUCCCGCCCAUUGAAAGCCCCGCGCAGCCCCUCCAAGCUCCUCACCCCUCCUAGCCACCCUCCAAUCGCCUCCAUAGCGCCCCAGUUAGAGCCGGGAGUUCGUCUCCCUCAACUCCAGCGAAGGCUCUGCCGCCCAAGCCCCUCCUAUCGCCAGCCACUUCCGGUCUGCCCCAGCCCCACCUGAGGCCGCCAUCGAGAUCACCUGGUCCCCCUGGACCUCCUAGAGCCCUCAGCUAGCCCACCCUUUGCCGGAUUCGACGCCGUCGACGACCACCGAAGUGCCCAUCCGCCGGAGAGGAAGGAGGUGACGUCAUCCGACCACCUCCGAAGGAACUGCGGGUACAGGGAGGACCGCCGUCGAGCACCCGAUCCAUUCCUCCCAUCUCAUAGCCCAACCGCCGUCCCCAUCACCGGUGAGCACCACCGGUGAGCCGCCUUUCCCCUCUGUCUCUCUCCCUCUCUCUGUUUUAAACAAACAUGCCCCAUGUGUCGGCGACAGGAGCCCGCGCCUGAAUCGAUAAGUGGAGGCGCCUCCUCCACUUUACGCCUUCGAUGUGGCCCCUCCUCUGUUUUCUAAAUUCUGUUUUAAAAUACAGAUUUAAACAGAAACUUUGAACCCUUCCAACUUUUUAUUUACAAGUCCAAAUCAAUUGAUUCUUUUUGCAUUGAGUUAAUACCGAGCCCCUGUAAUUUCUAAUAAAUUUUGGUAUUUUUCCUAUGCUCACAGAAUCUCUGUUUAACAAAAAGGUAUCAUAUGACAUUUUCUUUUUGCAAAUUCAAAAUGUUUUAGAAGCAAACUUUGGUGAAUUUGAAGACCAGGAGUGCUUGAACAACCCAACUGAGCAAGGCAAGCCAUGAUACCCAUGUUAUGUAGUAUUUCCAUAGCAUUGCAUACUUUCACACAUUAUGCUUAGUUAUUUGUUGUAGGAUAAAUUCAUAUUAAAUUAUUUAAAGUAAUUAGUUUCUCAUUAUUAUAAAUCACUAUAUUGGAAAUGACUUAGUGGUUGAUCUAGAGUCACCUGUCCGAGCUUAACCGUGCAACCACAUUUGCCGGUAUGGGACAACCGUGACUUGGGCUGAUCGCGUGACCUUUCACCGGUACCUCCAAAGAGGGAGGGUUAUGCACGCGUGCUACCCUGAUCAGGUAGGCGGUGAUAACCCUGUGAGCCUAGUUGAGUUGUUUUGGGCCCGUCCCCGUUUGGGACAGUUUAGUUUGGCCACGAUGGUGUCAAAUGUCAUGAGGACACAGGGGCCACCCAGGGCAGGACUCCGGGGGAGGAUGAAUGCCGGUGGUGUUGGAAAUAUGCCCUAGAGGCAAUAAUAAAUUGGUUAUUAUUAUGUUUCCUUGUUGUAUUGAUUGGAAACUCAAAUACAUGUGUGGAUACAUAGACAAAACACUGUCCCUAGUAAGCCUCUAGUUGACUAGCUCGUUUAUCAAGGAUGGUUAAGGUUUCUUAGCCAUAGACAAGUGUUGCCACUUGAUAACGGGAUCACAUCAUUAGGAGAAUGAUGUGAUGGACAAGACCCAAACUAUAAACGUAGCAUAUGAUCGUGUCAGUUUAUUGCUACUGUUUUCUGCAUGUCAAUGUAUCUGUUCCUAUGACCAUGAGAUCAUGCAACUCCCGGACCCCGGGGGAAUACCUUAUGUGUAUCAAACGUCGUACACUUAAGGCUCUGCAUGACAAAGGGAACAACAUACGUGAUUAAGUGAAUCCUUGACAUAGAGGUUCAACCGAUAAAGAUCUUCAUAGAAUAUGUAGGAGCCAAUAUGGGCAUCCAGGUCCUGCUAUUGGUUAUUGACCGUAGAAGUGUCCCGGUCAUGUCUGCAUAGUUCUCGAACCCGUAGGGUCUGCACACUUCAGGUUCGGUGACGUUUCGGUAUAGUUGAGUUAUAGGUGUUGGUAACCGAAAGUUGUUCGGGGUCCUGGAUGAGAUUCCGGACGUAACAAGGAGCUCCGGAAUGGUCCGAAGGUAAAGAUUGAUAUAUAGGAAGUUCUUUUUUGGUCAUCGAAAAAGUUUCGGGCUCAUCGAUAGUGUACCGAGAGUGCCGGGAGGGUACCGGGGACCAUCGGGAAGGGUGUCACGCCCCGAGGGGCCUUAUGGGCUAUGGGAGGAUACAAACCAGCGCCUAGUGGGCUGACAUAAGCUCCCACUAAGGCCCAUGAGGUUUGAGAGGCAAAAAACACAAAGGUGGAAAGGGUUUCCAAGUGGAAAGGAGGAAUCCUACUUCUAGUAGGAUUGGAGUAGGACUCCUCCACCUCCAAUUUCGUCCAAACCUUGAGGGUUUGAGGCUGCCUCCUCCCCUCCCUCCCUCCUAUAUAUACUAGAGGUAUUGAGGGUUUUUGAGACAGAGAAAAACAACCACGUGCUGCCCUUUCUCUAGAUCUGUUUCUCCUCUAGUCUAGUUUCAGCGGUGCUUAAGCGAAGCCGUGCUGGAAUAGCUCCACCACCACCACCACCAUGCCGCCGUGCUGGAGAACUCAUCUACCUCUCCGUCCCUCUUGCUGGAUGAGCAAGGUGGGGAUCUUCAUCGAGCUAUACGCGUGCUGAACGCGGAGGUGCCAUCUGUUCGGCACUAUAUCGGGAUGGAUCGUGAUGGGAUCGCGGGACGGAUCGUGAUGAGAUCGUGGGACAGGCUGCGAUUUGGAUCGCGAAGAUGUUCCACUACAUCAACCGCGUUAUAUACGCUUCCGCUUAGUGAUCUACAAGGGUAUGUAGAUUCACUCUCCCCUCUUGUAGAUGAUCAUCACGAUGGAUAGGUAUUGCUUGUGCGUAGGAUUUUUUUUGUUUCCCAUGCGAUGUUGCCCAACAGGUGAUACAAUGGGAGAGUCACGGGUCAGGCAGGUUUCGUUGGAGCAAUACUGAUCCACCCGAAUGGGAUCACGAGGUCAGUGCUCCAUGAUGUGGAUAAAGUGUGCAACCUCUGCAGAGUGUCAAACCUAUUCGAAUAACCGUGUCCACGGUAUUGGACAGCCCGUCCAGACCUCAGUAGGUGGUCAACCAUAUUAGUGUUGGUAAUGAUGGAAAAACUCUUCGCAUGAUCGAAGAUGCUCGAUGAGUAUUCUGGCUGUGGUGAGACAACCCAGAUGAGAGUAAGUUGGUAACUGGUACAAUUAGUAAUGUUGCUUAGUAAUUUAUCGUAUUGAUUGCCAUGCUAUUGUUUGCUGUAUUACUUGGUUGUUGUGAGAUUGCGAGUACAUUCAAAGUACUCAUCUGGCGUAUCAUGCUAGAUGCAGGAGAAGCCGAGGACGGAGGUCCUGAUGGUCCGUACUAGGAUGUGUCCACAACAGUGUCUCUGUGGAUGGAGUUGCCGCUAUGUUCCGCUACGCCGUAGUAGUAUUUAGUAGUCUCGAGGCCCCGCUAUGUUUUAUAAAUAAUGUAGAUACUCUCGCAGCACCGAGGGUGCCUUUGGCCUCGCUAUCGUUGUAAGAUAUGUGCUUGUACCGUAUGCCAUCAAUAAAGUCAGUUCAGUUCUGUUCCAAGUUGUUCUGUGUUGGUAAUCCGGUUCUCUGAGCCGGGGUGCCACACUCUUUGUUGGUUGAUCAGUUAGAUAUUAUUGGAGAGAUGUAUUACUGUAUUCGAGAGAUGUAUUAGUGAUGUAUUCCAGAUUAUAUAUUCGAUAAUAUUAAGUGGAUUAUUCAAUGAUACAUUAAUUAAGUGGAUUAUUCGAUGUAUAUAAGCGGGAGUUUUAGUUGUUUAGUUAAUUUAGUUUUUUUAUGUUUAAUUAAUUUGCAUAUACUAUGGAUCCAAUACACGGCAGAGAUGAAUAUCACGAAGACAUGAUGCAUAAUGUCAUCCGCGGGGAUGAUUUUAUUAUUGACGAUGUCAUCAAUCAGUUUCUGAACAAGUCCGGCGAGGUAGAUGAGUCUCUCAACACAUGAGGUAGAAGCUUCGAUGCCUCGGCCGAGAGAGGACUCAACGGCUCCGAUGAGGGAGAAGCCGACGCUCCGGCGAGGUGCAUAUAUGUAUUAAUAAAUUAAUCCUCUGCCAUCUAUAUCUAAGUAUUAACGCUCUUUCUUCUUUCAGCUUUUCGAAUCGAGCAAAACUUUAGUACGGACGAGACGAGGCCUGCUACCAACAGCCAAGAAAUGAAAAUCAAUGUGAACGUUGCGGUCGUGCUUGUGAUAGUUUCUGUAAUCAAGGAGGAUACUCACCUGGCAUCCCUUGAUGCGUAAUGAUGCAUAUCAGCAUAUGCAUGAUCUGAAAUUUCGCAGGCCAAUGUCAUGUCUCACCAUCCUGUUCAAUAAAACUGGAUCUCACUGAGAGUAUCCAAACCAGUGUGUCAGUUUGUUUAUGUGCUCGUGCGUAUUUUCUUUCGUUGCUCCAAUUAAAGAUUACAACGGUUACAGUGAUUGGCCAAUUUAGGAGCCGUCUACGGUCUAUCCACCUCAAUCUAAUGGUGAAAAAAUAAAAGUUACAAAGAGUUACGAGAUUGAAAUUACAAGAAAUUAGAAAUAACGGUGGGAUCAUUACAUAUUUUUGAUGGGAUCAGUUUUUCUUUCAAAGGGUAGAUUCGUCAAGGAAAUAUGUAACUCAGCACAUAGAGUUUUCUUGCAAAACUGCCGAACGACUCAGAUCGCCUCUCGCCUUGCUCGUGGCUUCGAUAUUUUUUUGCUGGCGUCCAUCUUCCCUGGCUCGCUGGCCUCGGCCCCGCUGAGCACCUUCGCUGACAGUGAGAUCAGCAACAGCCGGCAGCCGGACUUGUGAAUCGUCUCCAUCGGCCGUCGGCACACCGGACUUGACCUCGCGCGCCGCAGCAACGCCGAUGUCUCCCUAUCGUGUUAGAUCAGGUUACCUAGCGCGGUGGACGGACGAUGAGUCGGGACCGCGCACCGCAAGCACGCCUAACCCAAGGAUCCUUCUACCUGGUGAGGAAGUACACUAGCAUGAAGAGCCGAGGAAGGACGCCAUGAGGGUUCCCAUUCUCGUCAGCAGCAAUCAGUUACAAAUUCACUGAUUCAGUUUUAAUUUAACACCUUCUCUACUGGUAGGCUACAACACAGAGCACCCAACCGUCUGAUUCGAUAAAGGAAAACUAUGUGUCCAUGUCGUUUAUUUCAUCUCUGUACCAUAAGAGCAACUUCAACGGACCGACUCAAACGAACGACGACUUUGUUCGUUUUUUGUCCGUUUGGGUCGGUCUCCCGCCCAACGUCCGUCCUGUUUUAAAUAUCGAUCGGCAGUGCGUCCAACGUGUCGAUCCAUUUCAUGUCCGCAAUUAACAUUUAAUAAAAGGGCCUGCGGCCGAUCGUGCUAGCGGUCAUGUCUCAUGCCGGCACCAUGCCAGCACCGGCAUACAAUGCCAGCUUCAAAAAAUAACACCACAGUUUCAUGCUAGCGCACUCGCCAGCCGGCCGACACACAUGCCAGCACACAAAAGGGGUUGGACUUGAGUUCGACCACGCCAUCGCGGCCCCGUGGUCAUGCGAGUACACCUGACGGCAUACAAAAUGAUGGCUCUCGUCGCCAUAGAUCACUCCUCGUCGAACUUGAUCAUGUCGGCCUGCAUCUUCUCGAACCACGACCUCUUCCUUUGCGACACGGUGUUGAGAUCCACCUUCAUGAUCUCCACUCAGGUCUUCAUGCUCGCGAGAGCCAGCGGCCACCGGUGUAGCGUUGAGGUCGAUGGGCGCGGGCGCGAGCGUGGAAGGCGCGACCACGCUCACCUUGGGCGAGCACCCCUCGUGAGGCGGGAGGCCUGCGGGUAGACGUGGAAGCCGGGCACCGGGUUGCAAGUCGACGCGCGGGGCGAGUCGGGCAGCACCGUCCGAGGGAAGCCGGAUGAGCCGGUGCUGACCGCGGCGGCCACGGCGGCGUUGACGAGGUCGUGCUAGCUAGGGUUUAACCCAAGUAUGCAGAGCGCCUCCCUCGUUGCCGACGCGGCGGCGGCGGCUUCUUCCCUCGCGUCCGCCGCGUGCCUCCGGUCCUUCCUAUUGGAUGACUCCUUUGCCUGCUUUCAGCCGUCAGCACCUUCUUCGGCUUCGGCGCGGCGGCCUUCCGAGGGGCACGAGGUUUGCCGGAUGAGGCGACGGAGGCGGGGCCGGUGGCGGCGUCGAGGUCGAGGUCGUCGUCCAUGGCGGACGUGGGUGAGAGCGGGAGUGGGAGCGCACGAGGGCGGGAGGGUUUUUGAGGGAAAUGGUGGUGGAUGCCACCGACCGGCGGUCCCGAGGAGAGGAGUUGGCGCAGGCGGGCGUCCGUCUGUGUCCGCGCUGACGCAAAUCCGGCUCAAAAUUGGGCCGGGAAUGGGUCGCCAGGCGUACGCCAAGCGGACGUGCGUCCGUUUAGAUCUGCACGUUGGACCAUCUUUUUUUCCGCGCCGACCUAAACAAACGGAACGGACGAAAUGGAUCGCCCCAUUAAAGUUGCUUGGAGUUGCUCUAAGAAAUUGAUUCCAGUGAACAAGGUAAACAAUAAUAGGCAUGAAACAAGCCAUCAAUUAGCUAGCCAUUGUCUCACGUCAAGAUGAUUAGUUCUUGUCUGAACGCAAUCUGCCCAAUCCCAAUUCAUGGAGCACUAGCAUUCGUCCUAGUCUAAUUGAAACACCCACUAAAAUUAGCCCUGGUACUUGCAAUCCCGCUAGCCAUAAUAAAACAAGAAGCUAGCUAGAAGUUUCGACUAUUUACUCAUUCUCAAAUCAGUUUGCCGGGCUGGUACUAAGUACUCCCUCCGUUCCUAUUUUAAAGAUUUCACUAGGGACUACAUAUGAAGUAAAAUAAAUGAAUAUACACUUUAAAUUAUGUCUAUAUACAUCUGUAUGUAGUCUUCUAGUGAAACCUUUAAAAAUACUUAUAUUUAGAAACGGAGAGGAGGGAAGUCUGUUUUAGACCUUUAGAUUGUAGAGCCGGUCUGAAAUGAACCCUCACAUUCAGAUCCCUGAAGUCUGUACCCUGUACUCAUGAAUCACGGUCAAUCUCAACCUUGAACCCAGGGCCGGCCCUGAGGGGGGCAGGGGGGCGGCCGCCCCGGGCCCCCAAAAUCCAGCCCCCCCCAGGUAUGUAUGUAGAUUAGGGCCCAUAUUAUUAGAAGGAAAGGAUCUCUCGAUCGCUUGAUUUCAGCGACAUAACCUAGGGUCGUUAGAAAACGAAAAACAAGCAAUCUGACGAUUCCUUUACCGAGCCCUAGCUACUGUCCGCCGCCGACGUCGCCGUAGUGGCCGACUGGCCGUACGCAGCAGAAGCAGUCCUGCAGGAUAACAGGAGAGACCCUGGCCCUGUCUUCAGAACACAGCGCAGCAACGGGAGCAGCCCUGUAGGACAGCAGGACGCAGACGCUUGAAACUUUGAAAGUGAACAAAACGCCGGGUUGAUCUCGGAAGACAACAGGAGAGUCAGACGCAUCACGCGCAUGCUUGAGCCUUGAUCACGCAUGCAGCCAGCCUGUACUCGUCUACUCGCCGCCGUCCUCUGGUAAUUAACCGUUUUUUGAUUAAAACGAUUUCAGCAAGCCUACAUACUACAGAAAUUAGUAUGCCGUGCUUAAUUCCUUUCAUUCAUGUGCAGACCUGCAGAAUAUAGUCUACACAGUACACACACGUACAAUACAGAGUAUUUAAAAUCUGAAAUUUGGCCAUCAAGAUUCAGGAUCAGGUGAAUUCUUUUUUCAUUCAUCUGCAGAUUUUUUUUGGUUCACAGCUGGCACCGUUCAACAACUGAUGCAACAUUUUUUUGUUUUCAGCAUUGUGUCUGUUGUCAUGCCGGCCAACAAGAGGAAAUAUCCAUCGGGUAGCGACAAAAGGAAAAAAAAGAUGGCCGUGAAAAAAUUGAUAAACUCGCAACGCGUAGGUAUUCGACAAUUUCUCAAGCCAAGUAAUAUUGGUGCUUCGAGUACUUCGCCAAACCUAGAUGAUGCGUUGGCGAUUGUUGCCAUAGUGGAAGAGCAACCGACUAGUGAAAAUUCGGACUCUGAUCAGCAAGAAGAAAAUAUCAACUCCAACAUCGGCGAUAGCAAUGUAAGUGGCUUCGAGAAUGUAGGUAAUUCAUCAGAUGCACAUGUUAAAUCUGCUAGUGUUGAUGAGCAACCAGUUUAUACUGCCGAUAUUUAUGAUCCAAGAAAUUGGGACAAUCUUGAUAAUAAAGCAAGAGAUAUUUUAGUUGAGAAAGGGCCUGUCAGAGAGGAUAAAAUGGAAUACCAUGUAGAUGAUGACGAAAGACAUUUUUCGUGCACUCAUUAUCGUAGAAAAUUAAGCAAUGGAGAGGAACAUGAUAGGAAAUGGCUAGUUUAUUCAAAAGAUGUCAACAAAGUUUUUUGCUUCCGUUGUAAGAUCUUCAAGUCUAGCACCAACAGGAUACAAAGUUCCUUAGCACAUGAUGGAUUAGGACAUUGGAGGUAUAUUAGUGGGAAGCUUAAAGAACAUGAAAAUAGCAUCGAGCAUAUUAAUAACAUGAACAAGUGGAAUGAAUUGAGGGUUAGACUACGGAAAGAGGAGACAAUUGACAAGGAAUUGGAACAUCAAAUAACGAAGGAGAAAGAACGUGUCAGGCAAGUUCUGUUAAGAAUAAUAGCCGUUGUAAAAUAUCUUGGUAAACGCAGCUUGGCUUUUCGUGGAAAUAGUGAGAAGCUUUACAAGGAUGAUAAUGGUAAUUUCUUAGCUUGCAUUGAGAUGAUUGCAGAAUUUGACAUGGUAAUGCAAGAUCACCUUAGACGUAUUGAGAACAAAGAAAUCCAUUAUCAUUAUCUCAGUCAUAAAAUACAGAAUGAGUUGAUAUCUCUUUUGGCUUCUGACAUCACAUGUUCUAUCAUAAAGGUUGUUAAAGAGGCCAAGUAUUUCUCCGUUAUCCUAGAUUGUAACCCUGAUGUUAGUCAUAAAGAACAAAUGACUUUUUUAGUUCGAUGUGUUAAUCUGUCUGAUGGGAAAAUAAAAAUUGAGGAGUACUUUCUGGGGUUCUUGAAAGUGGAUGACACUUCUGGCUUAGGGAUUUUUAAAGUACUGCUUGAAUCUCUUGAGUCUUUUGGCCUAAAUAUUAAAGAUAUAAGGGGUCAAGGUUAUGACAAUGGUUCUAAUAUGAAAGGAAAAUAUCGAGGGGUACAAUCUAGGUUACUUGAUAUGAAUCCAAGAGCAUUAUAUAUGCCAUGUGCUUGUCAUAGUCUCAAUCUCACUCUUUGUGAUAUGGCAAAAUCAUGUGAAAAAGCUGUUUCAUUUUUUGGAAUUGUUCAGCGCAUAUAUGUAUUAUUUGCUGGCUCUACAAAAAGGUGGAAUGUUUUGCUUAAACAUGUUCCUAGUUUGACCGUGAAGUCAUUGUCCAAUACUCAUUGGGAGAGUAGAAUCAAAAGUGUUACAUCAAUAAGAUAUCAAGCCAGUGAGUUAAGAUCAGCUUUGUCUGAGUUACGCCAUGCUUCUGAAACUGAUCCUAAGGAUAAAAGUGAUGCAAAAAAAUUUAUUUGAUGUACUUGGUCGCUUUGAGUUUCUAGUUGGUAUGAUUAUUUGGCAUGAUAUUCUAUUUGCUGUAAAUAAAGUUAGCAAGAUGUUGCAAUCAUCAACCAUGUGCAUCGACUCCGCUUUGAAGCAAAUAAAAGGUAUAACACAAUAUUUUGAGAAGUACAGAGAUGAGGGAUUUUCUUCCAGUUUGAGCAUCGCUGAAGGUAUUGCAACUGAAAUGGGAAUAGAGCCAUUGUUUCCAGUGAAACGCCGUGUUACGAGGAAGAAGCAGUUUGACGAAAAUGAUUGUCAAGAAGAAAUUCUAGAAGGUGAGAAGGCUUUCCGUGUUAAAUAUUUUAAUGUUUUGGUUGAUAUGACGAUCAAUUCUUUGAAUGAUAGAUUUAAAGAACUCAUGGUGUUUAAAGAUAUAUUCGGAUUUUUAUUGAGCUCGGGCACCCUCAAGUCAUAAGUGACAGUGUACUUGAAGAAUGUUGUACGAAAUUUGCAGAAACUUUCUUUUUUAAUGGUUCAUCAGAUGUUGAGGUAUACAAUCUUAUUUCUGAACUGAAGAUUAUGAGAUUCACUUUGCCGGAUGGCGUAAUGUCCGCUAUGGAGAUUUUUGGGCAUGUGAGAGAAGUUGAUUGUUAUCCUAGUAUCUCCAUUGCCUAUCGCAUCUUAUUUACAGUGCCGGUGACGGUCGCAUCAGCUGAAAGAAGCUUUUCAAAAUUGAAGUUAUUAAAGAAUUAUUUAAGGUCAACAAUGACUCAAGAGAGAUUAAAUGGUUUGGCUACUUUAUGCAUGAAGAAAAAAUUAUUGGAUGAUAUUGACAUCGACCCAUCAUAAGUGACUUUGCAUCGAGGAAUGUUAGAAGAAAUUUUUAAGGUAGUACGUAUAAAUUAUUUACUACGCAUACAGAUUUUGGUUGCAUCUAAGUGUUACUGAUAAUAAUUUCUAUAUACAUUUUUAGACAACUAUAUAUAUAUAUGUAUUUCUGAGGCAAACUAUAUAUAUAUAUAUAUAUAUAUAUAUAUAUAUAUAUAUAUAUAUGUAUGUAUAUAUAUAUAUAUGUAUGUAUACAUAUAUUAUAAAGACUUAUAUAUUAAGGCCCUCAAUUUUUAGUUCGCCCCGGACCCCCAAAUUCUCAGGACCAGCCCUGCUUGAACCUAUCUAGGCCAAUUUGACGUGCUAGGAAAUCAAAUAUCCCGACCGGAAUCACACUUUAAUUUCACUGACUGGAUAAGCAGUAGCUAAACGAUCUAGCACCGAACGCUCAUAUAUGUGCUAACCAACUUAAUCAAUCUUGGCCUAGUGAUAUGAUUGAAUCUGUGCACAACGGGGACCAGCGUGUGGCUGCUAAGGAUGGAUUCAGCAUGUAUGAGGCGCUCUGCAUCUGCAACUUCCCGUUCGUCUCCGGCACCGUGCCGCGAGCUCAGCUGCGUUGGUCAGCGUGGUGGCCACGAACUACGGCCGCUCACACGCAGUGAGCUUGAAGCCGCGAAUGGCGAGAACGAAAUUGCAGAACCUGCUGUGCCAGCAAGAGUGUGACUCCAAGCUCGUCUCCGGCGGGCACUUGCUUGGUGAACACCCGUGAUGGCGCCGCCGUCCAGGGCUCUUGACUACACACCAUUGUUCGUUAACGACCCUCGAGGCGCGCAUUGUUGUUCUCUGCCUUGGUGGCGUCCAGGUGUCUGCGCUGAUUUGGAGAGAGAGAAGGAUGGAUCUAAAAUGUGGGAUGAGGAUGUAAGUUAGAGGUAGAGGAUUUUAAUCCCGGUCGGGAUGUUUCUUUUCCCAGGGCGCCAAACACGCCUAGGGUCCAGAUUGACCGGGAUAAAUAAGUACAGGAUAUAGAUUUCAGGUUUUUAAAAGUAAGGGUUUAUUUCUGACGAGCUGUAUAAAUUCAAGGUUUAAAAUAAACUUCAUCCAACGGAGGGAGUACUAACCACUAAUACCAUCAUGCAAUACAUAUCCAAUUAACCAUGGAUUAUUCUACUAUAUAUUUCUUAGAAACAAUGCAUCGCUAGUAAGAUUAGAGGAUCGCGUAUCAAAAGAAGAGACCAACCUAGAGCUUCAAAGCUUUAGGACCGCUGUGCGAGCAGGUCUCCAUCAGCGGAGCGGCUGCGGCUUCCAUGAGGUGCGGCCUGGGAGAGCCGCCAUAGCCCUCGAUUUGAGGAAUGGCUCGGAAGGCGCGUCUGGAAGGCGGCCCUCGACUCCGGUUCAUAAGAUGGUGUCGUUGCCCCAGGUCCUCGCGCCCACAGCGUCGCCUUCAAGUCCACAUGCCGUCGCCACCGUCUACGCACUCGUGAGAUGGGAUCCGCGAUAUGUGACAGUUACACACAAUGUUUCCAAGAAAAAGCCACAGACCAUAAUACCCUAUUUUAAAUACAAUAUUUUAAUUAACAUGCUAACCCAACAGUGGAAAACAAUCAAAAAAGGAGUUACACGAAAUUACAUUUCGUAACUCUCCAAUCACUGUAAAAGAGCUCAUAAAAGAUAUCAGGGUUGUUUAACGGGAAUAGAGGGAUUGGUGGAAUAAUUGUUGUAUUGCUUGAGCCUCGUGAGCAUAUAUAUAUGAGUACAUGAUCAUUUCAGAGUACAAGUCAAGGCAGGAACAAAUCCUAGUCUAUCUAUGCUUUUCUAAACAAUCACAUUACUCAACAUCCCCCCACAGUCACAACGAUAACGACGCAGACGGUGAGACUAGAGAAGAAUCCGAAGGUAAGCCGACACUCAUCCCCUCACAGUCGUAACGGUCGAUGCAUCACGGAAGUUGUGGCCGGAGUAGAAACCGACGAGGUUGCUCAAGCAAGGCGGUAGCCCUUUGUGCCAAUGUCGAGGUAGCCGAGAGCGUGGGGUGGCGUAGCCGUGGUCGAGGUAGCCGUGCAAAGAAUGCCAUGGUCGAUGUCGAGUCGGGUAGCCGGUGUCGAGGGUCGCCUUGGAGCCGCGGGCGCAAGGAGGCGCCGAGUUAGUCAUGGGCGCAGUGGUGUCGAAGUAGUGAUGCGCCGGAAAGAAGACGUAGUUGAGACACGUCGCGUCGAGUUUGCCAAGCCCGGGACACAUCAUGGACGAAGGCACGCAUCGGUGUUGCCAACACCGCGCAUGCGUAGACGGACGAAGUCGAUGUUGACGAUGCGUCGCUCCAAAUUUGCCAGGCCUGGGAACACACUGGAGACGAAGGCACACUACGCAAAACUUUAGUACGGACGAGACGAGGCCUGCUACCAACAUUGAAGAGAUGAAAAUCAAUGUGAACGUUGCAGUGAUGGUUGUGAUAGUUUCUGUAAUCAAGCAGAUACUCACUUGGCAUCCCUUGAUGCGUAAUGAUGCAUAUCAGCAUAUGCAUGGUCUGAAAUUUCGCAGGCCAAUGUCAUGUCUCACCAUCCUCUUCAAUAAAACUGGAUCUCAAUGAGAGUAUCCAAACCAGUGUGUCAGUUUGUUUAUGUGCUCGUGCGUAUUUUCUUUCGUUGCUCCAAUAAAAGAUUAAGUGUCAGUUCCUAUUUUUUCUAUGUUUUUAGCUUUUUUUUAGAUCUGAUUUUGAAACGGAGUCCAAACGGAAUAAAAUCUCCGAAAUGAUUUUUUCCCGAACGGAAGAAGAUCAGGGGGCCUGUGGGCCAAACCAGGAGGGCUCCAGGGAGCCCACAAGCCCCCACUCCGCCACCAGGGGAGGCGGCGGUGGCAGGGCUUGUGGCCUCCCUGAGCGCCCCCUGACCUAGAUCUUUGGCCUAUAUAUUCCCUAAAAUACAGCAAAAAAUCAGGGGAGCCUCGAAAAUACUUUUCCGCCGCCGUAAAUUUCCGUUUCCACGAGAUCUCAUCUGGAGACCCUUCCCGGCGCCCUGCCAGAGGGGACUUUGGAGUUGGAGGGCUUCUUCAUCAUCAUCAUCGCCCCUCCAAUGACUCGUGAGUAGUUCACUUCAGACCUACGGGUCCGUAGUUAGUAGCUAGAUGGCUUCUUCUCUCUCUUGGAUCUUCAAUACAAAGUUCUCCAUGAUCUUCAUGGAGAUCUAUCCGAUGUAAUCUUCUAUGGCGGUGUGUUUGUCGAGAUCCGAUGAAUUGUGGAUUUGUGAUCAGAUUAUCUAUGAUAUAUAUUUGAGUCUUUGCUGAUUUCUUAUAUGCAUGAUUUGAUAUCCUUGUAAGUCUCUCCGAGUCUUGGCUUUUGUUUGGCCAACUAGAUCUAUGAUUCUUGCAAUGGGAGAAGUGAUUGGUUUUGGGUUCUUACCAUGUGGUGACCUUUCCCAGUGACAGUAGGGGCAGCAAGACACACAUUGAGUGUUUGCCAUCAAGGGUAACAAGGUGGGCUCUGUCGUUGAUAUGAGAUUGUCCAUCUACAUCAUGUCAUCUUGCUUAAGGCGUUACUCUGUUCUUUUGGACUUAAUACACUAGAUGAAUGCUGAAUAGCGGUCGAUGUUGGAGUAAUAGUAGUAGAUGCAGACAUUAUUGGUCUACUUGUUUUGGACGUGAUGCCUAUAGAUACAAUCAUUGCCAUAGAUGACGUCACGACUUUGCGCGGUUCUAUCAAUUGCUCGACAAUAAUUUGUUCACCCACCAUCUACUUGCUUUCAUGAGAGAAGUCACUAGUAAACACUACGAUCCCCGAGUCUAUUCACAUCUAUCGUUUACACCUCCGCUUUUACUUUGCUUUGUUACUUUGUUGCUUUCAUAUCUCACUUUGCGAACAAUCUAUAAGGGAUUGACAAAUCCUUCAUAGCGUUGCGAGCAGGUUCUUUGUGUUUGUGCAGGCACUUGUGAUACUCCUUCACUGGAUCGAUACCUUGGUUCUCAAAACUGAGGGAAAUAUUUACCACCGCUACGCUACAUCACCCUUUCCGCUUCGAGGGAACACCAACGCAAGGCUCCAAGGCUGCGGGGAAAUCCUUUGCUUAUUUGCCUAGUAAGUCCCUAAAGGCGUAGCCGUAGCAGAAGGAUUCCUGAUGUCGUUGUUGAGGAGAAUCAAGACAAGAACAGUCUCCCGUCAGCACGUGUUUCUGGCGCCGUUGGAAGGUCAUUUGUUGCAGUAGCAAGCACAUAGAGCAAAAUUAUCUAGAUCAAAAGAUAUAAGUGAAGCACUAUGAGCAUUCUAGCAAAAUCACGAUGAGUGCAUGUCUCUCUCUAAAGGUGUGCAGCAAGGAUGACUGUGACACAACAAAAAGAAAAGACUCCUACGAUACAAGACGCUCUAAGCAAAACACAUAUCAUGUGAUGAAUAAAAAUAUAGCUCCAAGUAAUGUUACCGAUGGAUUAAAGACGAAAGAGGGGAUGCCUUCCCGGGGCAUCCCCAAGCUUAGGAUUUUUGGUGUCCUUUAAUUUGGCUUGGGAUGCCUUGGACAUCCCCAAGCUUGAGCUCUUUCCACUCCUUAUUUCUUUGUCCAUGAGAACAUCACCCAAAACUUGAAAACUUCACAACACAAAACUUAAACAGAAACUCGUGAUAACAUUAGCACAAGAAAACAAACUACCACCACUUUAGGUACUGUAGCAAUCUUGAUUCAUAUUUAUAUUGGUGUUAGAUUACUGUAUUCUCACUUUUCCAUGGCUAGUACCCCCCGAUACUAUUCAUAGUUUCAUCAAAACAAGCAACCAACUCAACAAAAACAGAAUCUGUCAAAAACAGACCAGUUUGUAGCAAUCUGUAUGCUUCGUAUACUUCUGUUACCUCAAAAAUUCUUAACUAUUACGACUGCCUGGGAAAAAGGCAUAUAAACUAGAAGCAAAAAGAAUCAACUCAAAAUCUCUUUCUGAAUAAAAAUAAAAAAUCAUCUCGUGAGAAAAAAGUUUCUGUCUUUUUCCAGCAGGAUCAAACAACCAUCACCAAGUCUAGUCAUAAAGGUUUUGCUUGGCUCAAACACAAAAAGAAACACAAAAGACACAAUCAUAGAAUUAUGAUGGUGUGGACGCAACAAAACAGAAAGAAAAAGAAAUAAAUUCAUUGGGUUGCCUCCCAACAAGCGCUAUUGUUUAACGCCCUUAGCUAGGCAUAAGGCGAUAGUAUCGUCGUCUUUGGUGCUCAAACCAUAAGUAGCGUGAUCACUUAUCAUCUUAAGGUUUUCAUCUUUCUUGCUAGAUGAUUCACCACUAUUUUUGGGAACAAAAAUAGACUUGGUGACCUUAUUGUGGGCAAAAUUUGGAGUAUUCUGCACAGCGGCAAAAGCGGAACCCAAGUUGGUUAUAACAUCCUCUAGUUUGCCAAUCCUAGCGGAAUCAUGACCUAGUUUUUCGUUAACUGUAGGUUCCUUCUCCUUUAAAUUUUUCAAAACCAUUCCCACCUUGGAUCCGUACCGAGUGAUUUGGUUGUGGAUCUUUUUAUCCAAAUUCUCAAUGAUUUCGAUCGUAGCAACUUUAUUUUCAAUGACGUCCAGCCUACGCAUCACAUGUUCCAGAGUUAAGGUAGUUCCAUUAACCAUGAGUGGGGGUGAGCCUGCCAAAUUUAUUACAGCUCCGUAAGAAUCAACGGUAUGGCUAUCUAAGAAAUUUCCACCUACGAUGGUGUCAAGAAUAUACUUAUGCCAAGGAGAAACACCCACAUAAAAACUGGGAAGCAGGACGGUAGUGGAUUGCUUAUGAGUAGAUCUACUCUGAGCAUUGCAAAUCCUAUACCAAGCGUCCUUUAAGUUUUCUUCCUCAAUUUAUUUGAAAUUGAGAACUUUGUUCUCGGGAGUAUCGUUCGAAGUGGUGGAUCUAGCAUGAGGACAGGUAGACUAUCCCACACAAAUGAACAGAAAGCAAGCGAGAGAAAAUGGCGAACAAAAAAUGCAAACGAAAAAGGCAAAUACUUUUUUGUAAAUUUUUGCUUUUCAGAAGUGGAGGAGAGGAAAACGAGAGGCAAAAAAGUAAAUGCAAGAGAUGAAUUUGCGACACUUACUUGGAUGAGUUCUUGACUUGAUCCUCCCCGGCAAAGGUGCCAGAAAUCCUUCUGGUACUUCUCAAACAACAGCGCCAGAAUUUGACACAUUGACGGAGACUUGCUUGCGUUGGUUUUUCCCUUGAAGAGAAAGGGUGAUGCAGCACAGGAGCAGUAAGUAUUUCCCUCAGUUUGAGAACCAAGGUAUCAAUCCAGUAGGAGAAUCCCGUCAAGUCCAGAGUACCUGCGCAAACACAAAAGAGCUUGCACCCAACGCUAUAAAGGGUUGUCAAUCCUUCAAGAUUUAUUGCAAAGUGAGAUCUGAAGGCGAAAAGUGCAACGAAGAAAAAGAGUAAGGCUGAAAAUAUGGUGUGGAGUAGACCCCGGGGCCAUAGUGUUCACUAGAAGCUUCUCUCAAAAUAGCAAAUAUUACGGUGGGUGAACAAAUUAGUGUCGAGCAAUUGAUAGAACCGCGCAAAGUCAUGACGAUAUCUAAGGCAAUGAUCAUACAUAUAGGCAUCACGUCCGAGACAAGUAGACCGAUACUUUCUGCAUCUACUACUAUUACUCCACACAUCGACCGCUAUCCAGCAUGCAUCUAGCGUAUUGAGUUCAUGACGAAUAGAGUAACGCCUUAAGCAAGAUGACAUGAUGUAGAGGGAUAAACUCAAACCAAUGAUGAAAACCCCAUCUUUUUACCCUUGAUGGCAACAACACGAUGCGUGCCUCGCUACCCCUUCUGUCACUGGGUGAGGUCACCGCACGGUAUGAACCCAAAACCAAGCACUUCUCCCAUUGCAAGAAUCAUAGAUCUAGUUGGCCAAACAAAACCCACAACUCGAAGAGAAUUACAAGGAUAUGAAAUCAUGCAUAAGAGAGAUCAGAAGAAACUCAAAUAAGAUUCAUAGAUAAUCUGAUCAAAAAUCCACAAUUCAUCGGAUCUCGACAAACACACCGCAAAAUAAGAUUACAUUAGUUAGAUCUCCAUGAAGAUCAUGGAGAACUUUGUAUUGAAGAUCCAAGAGAGAGAAGAAGCCAUCUAGCUACUAGCUAUGGACCCGUAGGUCUAUGGUGAACUACUCACGCAUCAUCGGAGAGGUCAUUGUGUUGAUGAAGAAGCCCUUCGUAUCCGAAUCCCCCCUCCGGCAGGGCACCAGAACGUGCCCCAGAUGGGAUCUUGCGGAGACAGAAGCUUGCAGCGGCGGAAAAGUACUUUCGAUGAUCUCCUGAUUUUUUCUGGGAUUUUAGGGAAUAUAUAGGCGAACGACCUAGGGCAAAGGUGCCUGAUGACCCACAAGUAUAUGGGAUCAAUCGUAGUCCUUUCGAUAAGUAAGAGUGUCGAACCCAACGAGGAGCAGAAGGCUCUGAUAAAAGGAUUUCAGCAAGGUAAUAACUGCAAGCACUGAAAGUAGCGGUAACAAGUGAUGGUGUAGCUAGGUGAAACGUAGCGAGCAAAAACUAACAAGUAACAAGUAGUAGCAACGGUGCAGCAAGUGGCCCAAUCCCUUUUGCAGCAAGGGACAAGCCUGAACAAAGUCUUAUAGGAGGAAAAAUGCUCCGGAGGACACACGGGAAUUUCUGUCAUGCUAGUUUCAUCAUGCUCAUAUGAUUCGCGUUCGUUACUUUGAUAGUUUGAUAUGUGGGUGGACCGGCGCUUGGGUACUGCCCUUACUUGGACAAGCAUCCCACUUAUGAUUAACCUCUCUCGCAAGAAUCCGCAACUACAGAAGAAGAAUUAAGACAAAGUCUAACCAUAGCAUUAAACUAGUGCAUCCAAAUCAGUCCCUCACGAAGCAACACAUAGACUAGGGUUUAAGCUUAUGUCACUCCAGCAACCCAUCAUCUACUUACUACUUCCUAAUGCCUUCCUCUAGGCCCAAAUAUGGUGAAGUGUUAUGUAGUCGACGUUCACAUAACACCACUAGAGGAAAAGACAACAUACAUCAUAUCAAAAUACCGAACGAAUAUCAAAUUCACAUGACUAUUAUUAACAUGACUUAUCCCAUGUCCUCAGGAACAAAAGUAACUACUCACAAAACAUAAUCAUAAUCAUGAUCGGAGGUGUAAUGAAUAGCAUCAAGGAUCUGAACAUAAACUCUUCCACCAAGUAAUCCAACUAGCAUCAACUACAAAGAGUAAUCAACACUACUAGCAACCUUACAAGUAUCAAUCGGAGUCGUGAGACGAAGAUUGGUUACAAGAGAUGAACUAGGAUUGGAGAGGGGAUGGUGCUGAUGAAGAUGUUGAUAGAUGCCUCCCCUCCGACGAAAGGAGUGUUGGUGAUGAUGAUGGCGACGAUUUCCCCCUCCGGGAGGGAAGUUUCCCCGGCAGGAUCGUCCUGCCGGAGCUCUAGAUUGGAUCUGCUCAAGUUCCGCCUCGUGGCGCUGGCAAAACCACGAAAAAGCUCCCCUCUGAUUUUUUCUGGACCAAGACGCUUCAUAUAGCAAAAGAGGGGGGCUAGUGGGCCGUCAGGGAGCCUACAAGCCCCCACUCCGCCACCAGGGGGUGGCGGUGUCAGGGCUUGUGGCGCCCUGGCAGCCCCCCUCCGGUAGUUCUUUCGCCCAGUAUUUUUUAUAUAAUCCCAAAAAAAUCCACGCAACUUUUCAGGGCAUUUGGAGAUGUGUAGAAUACUGGACUAGGAUUUGCUCCUUUUCUAGUCCAGAAUUCCAGCUGCCUGAAUUCUCCCUCUUCAAACAAACCUUGCAAAAUAAGAGAGAAAAUGCAUAAAUAUGGUACCACAAGUAAUAAAACAUCCCAAAACGCAAUAAAUAUCAACAUGAAAGCAUGAUGCAAAAUGGACUUAUCAACUCCCCCAAGCUUAGACCUCGCUUGUCCUCAAGUGAAAACCAAGUUCCAUAAACAUGUCCACAUGUUGAGGGACGAAGGUGUCGAUAAAACAUAAUACUGACAUAAGGGCAUCAUGAUCAUACAUAGGACAGCAAUACAUCAUAAAGAUUCUUAUGGGAAAGUAACAAUUCCUUCACAAAGCAAAGCAUCAAUCAAAAACCUUACCGUGAAGUAACCAACAAUAGUCCAUAGUCAUUGAAGCAAUUGCAAUUUAUCACAACAUCAGAAAGAGUCAAAUAAGAGCUUGUAAGGCAAACCCACAUACUCAAUCAUCUCUUUUGUUUUCCACAAUUGUUACAACUCACGUGGUACUCAUGGUGUCAAAGUUUCAGCUGGACACAGAGGAAGAUAGGGGCUUAUAGUUUUGCCUCCCAACCAUUUACCUCAAGGCUAAAGUCAACAACAAUAAAGCAUAAGUACUCAACUCCAAGUUGAUAUAUGAAUAUAGAUCUUUCCCAAGCAUGUGACGGUAGCCAAGACAAAGGCAAAGAUAGGGAAUUGGUGAUGAUCACCAUGACUCUUACAAGGGCAAAAAGUAAAGGUACAAGAUAGGCCCUUCGCAGAGGGAAGCAUAGGUUCUCAUGCGCUUUUGAGGUUUGAAUGUGUGUCCUCUUAGUGCGGAGGAACUUCACUUUAUAUUGCCUCCUGUGAUAAAGAACUUUAUUAUGCAGUCUGUCGCUUUUAUGUCUUCCUCAUCACAGGUUCGUACAAAGCUUAUUUUCCACACACUAAUAGAUCAUACAUAUUAGAUAGCAAUUUUUAUUGCUUGCACCGAUGACAACUUACUUGAAGGAUCUUAUUCAAUCCAUAGGUAGGUAUGGUGGACUCUCAUGGCAAAACUGGGUUGGAGGUUUAAGGAUUCACAAGUAGUAUCUCUACUUGAUGCGGGAGUUUUGGCUAAUAUGAGGUGGAAGAAAUCGUCACAUGCUAAGGGAUCUCUAAUCAUAUAACAUUGUUUGGAACCAAGCAAACACAAUUCAUUAUGUUGUCUUCCUUGUCCAACAUCUACUCCUAAGCAUGCAAUAGUUUGGUGAGUGCUCACAAUUGUAAAAAGUGUCUAAGAUGAUAUAUUUAUAUGUGAACCUCUCUUUCCUUAUUACUUCUUAUUAAUUGCAACAAUGACUGAGGUCUAUGUUGAUUUAUUCUCAACAAGUUUCAAUCAUCAUACGUGCCAUAUGUGAAGCUAUCACUUUCCAUAAGAUCGUCUCAUGAUCUUUCAUGCUAUCGUUCUUUUCACACUAUUGAUCAUGGCACAAAGCAAAGUCCUUGACUAAGACACUCUUUAUUAUAUAGCUCGUAAGUUCGAAUACAUCGGGAGAGACAAAAGCAAAAGAUUCAAACUAAACACUAAAGACUUAUUCCUCUAAGAGAAGAAAUAAAAACUGAAAAGGAAAGAACUAAAACAAAGGUAAAAGCAAAAGAUAUAAAGGUGAUACGAUACCAGGGAAACUCCCCCAAGCUUGGCAGAAGCCAAGGGGAUUGCCCAUACCAAUGCUUAGUUGUCUUCCUUUGUUGGUGAUGGUGGUGUUGUUGUCGCCUUUGAUUCCAAGAGAGCUAUCAAUCUUUGAUUUAUACCUUUGAGAUCUGUGACAUGGUUUUCCAGCAAAACAACUUCACGAGAAAGAGAAAUAUUGCGAGCACGAGUUGUUUCGCAAAACCUCAAGAGUUCAAUCAAGGAUGGAGACAACACAUGGAGGAAGGGUUGGAGAAAAUCUACUCCUUCAACGUCUUCAAUGUUGAACAUAGGUUGAACUUCCUCCCUAGCUUGGGUUUUCUCCUUAGCUUGGUCACUGGCUUCCGUGACUUCUACUCUUUUCAGAUCUGCAUGUACUUCAUCAUGAACUUGGUGAAGAUCAUUCUCCCCAACAGAUUCCUGAGACAUCUUUGCUGCAAAUCUGCGGCAGAAAACAAGCUCGAAACGAAAACAGAGGAAAACUACGCGAUACGGAGAUCAAAACCUUCGGGCGACUAUAUAUUGAUUUUUUCUGGGCCAGAAGGAGUCCUCGGCAAGAAAACAGAGUCCGGGAGGCACACGAGGUGCCCACAAGCUUGCCCUCCGCCACCAGGGGGUAGGGGGCGGUGGAAGGGCUUGUGGCCGCCUCGUUCGCUCUCCGGACUGCUUUUUAUUUUUCUAAUUUUCCAAAAAUUCCAAAACGGAAGAAAUUUCCUAUUGGAAAAUCAUCGGAGUGCAAUUUCUUACCGAAACAGAUACAUCUUCGUUUUCAAGGUCUGAAACAGGCUGAUAAACAUCCCUUAUAUACUCCUCUGGAGUUAUGACAUUGAUGACAUUGGUCUCAAUAUUUAUGGGAGUAUGAUGACCCACAAAUAUAGGGGAUCAAUCGUAGUCCUUUCGAUAAGUAAGAGUGUCGAACCCAACGAGGAGCAGAAGGCUCUGAUAAACGGAUUUCAGCAAGGUAAUAACUGCAAGCACUGAAAGUAGCGGCAACAAGUCAUUGUGUAGCGAGGUGAAACGUAGCAAGCAAAAAGUAAUAAGUAACAAGUAGUAGCAAUGGUGCAGCAAGUGGCCCAAUCCCUUUUGUAGCAAGGGACAAGCCUGAAAAAAGUCUUAUAGGAGGAUAAACGCUCCCGAGGACACACGGGAAUUUCUGUCAUGCUAGUUUCAUCAUGUUCAUAUGAUUCGCGUUCGUUACUUUGAUAGUUUGAUAUGUGGGUGGACUGGCGCUUGGGUACUGCCCUUACUUGGACAAGCAUCCCACUUAUGAUUAACCUCUCUCGCAAGCAUCCGCAACUACAAAAGAAGAAUUAAGACAAAGUCUAACCAUAGCAUUAAACUAGUGGAUCCAAAUCAGCCCCUUACGAAGCAACACAUAGACUGGGGUUUAAGCUUCUGUCACUCCAACAACCCAUCAUCUACUUACUACUUCCCAAUGCCUUCCUCUAGGCCCAAAUAUGGUGAAGUGUUAUGUAGUCGACGCUCACAUAACACCACUAGAGGAAAAACAACAUACAACAUAUCAAAAUACCAAACGAAUAUCAAAUUCACAUGACUAUUAUUAACAUGACUUAUCCCAUGUCCUCAGGAACAAAAGUAACUACUCACAAAACAUAAUCAUAAUCAUGAUCAGAGGUGUAAUGAAUAGCAUCAAGGAUCUGAACAUAAACUCUUCCACCAAGUAAUCCAACAAGCAUCAACUACAAAGAGUAAUCAACACUACUAGCAACCUUACAAGUACCAAUCGGAGUUGCGAGACGAAGAUUGGUUACAAGAGAUGAACUAGGGAUUGGAGAGGAGAUGGUGCUGAUGAAGAUGUUGAUGAAGAUGCCUCCCCUCCGAUGAGAGGAGUAUUGGUGAUGACGAUGGCGACGAUCUCCCCCUCCGGGAGAGAAGUUUCCCUGGCAGGAUCGUCCUACCGGAGCUCUAGAUUGGAUCUGCUCAAGUUCCGCCUCGUGGCGGCGGCGAAACCACGAAAAAGCUCCCUCUUGAUUUUUUUUCUGGACCAGGACGCUUCAUAUAGCAAAAGAGGGGGCUAGUGGGCCGUCAGGGAGCCCACAAGCCCCCACUCCGCCACCAGGGGGGUGGCGGUGUCAGGGCUUGUGGCGCCCUGGCAGCCCCCCUUCGGUAGUUCUUUCGCCCAGUAUUUUUUAUAUAAUCCAGAAAAAAUCCACGUAACUUUUCAGGCCAUUUGGAGUUGUGCAAAAUAGUGGACUAGGAUUUGCUCCUUUCUUAGUCCAGAAUUCCAGCUGCCUGAAUACUCCCUCUUCAAAUAAACCUUGCAAAAUAAGAGAGAAAAGGCAUAAAUAUGGUACCACAAGUAAUAUAACAGCCCAAAAGGCAAUAAAUAUGAACAUGAAAGCAUGAUGCAAAAUGGACGUAUCAACUACCCCAAGCUUAGACCUCGCUUGUCCUCAAGCGAAAACCAAGUUCCAUAAACACGUCCACAUGUUUAGGGAUGAAGGUGUCGAUAAAACAUAAUACGGACAUGAGGGCAUCAUGAUCACACAUAGAACAACAAUACAUUAUAAAGAUUCUUAUGGAAAAGUAGCAAUUCCUUCACAAAGCAAAGCAUGAAUCAAAAACCUUACCGAGAAGUAACCAACAAUAAUCCAUAUUCAUUGAAGCAAUUGCAAUUUAUCACAACAUCAGAAAGAGUCAAAUAAGAGCUUGUAAGGCAAACCCACAUACUCAAUCAACUCAUUUGUUUUCCACAAUUGUUACAACUCACGUGGUACUCAUGGUGUCAAAGUUUCAGUUGGACACAGAGGAAGAUAGGGGCUUAUAGUUUUGCCUCCCAAUGGUUUACCUCACGGGUAAAGUCAAAAACAAUAAAGCAUGAGUACUCAACUCCAAGUUGAUAUAUGAAUAUAGAUAUUUCCCAAGCAUGUGACGGUAGCCAAGACAAAGGCAAAAAGGGAAUUGGUGAAGAUCACCAUGACUCUUUCAAGGGCAAAAAGUAAAGAUACAAGAUAGGCCCUUCGCAGAGGGAAGCAGAGGUUGUCAUGCGAUUUUGAGGUUUGAAUGCGUGUCCUCUUAGUGCGGAGGAACGUCACUUUAUAUUGCCUCCUGUGAUAAAGAACUUUAUUAUGCAGUCUGUCGCUUUUAUGUCUUCCUCAUCACAGGUUCGUACAAAGCUUAUUUUCCACACACUAAUAGAUCAUACAUAUUAGAGAGCAAUAUUUAUUGCUUGCACUGAUGACAACUUACUUGAAGGAUCUUAUUCAAUCCAUAGGUAGGUAUGGUGGACUCUCAUGGCAAAACUGGGUUGGAGGUUUAUGGAUGCACAAGUAGUAUCUCUACUUGGUGCAGGAGUUUUGGCUAAUAUGAGAUGGAAGAAAUCGUCACAUGCUAAGGGAUCUCUAAUCAUAUAACAUUGUUUGGAACCAAGCAAACACAAUUCAUUAUGUUGUCUUCCUUGUCCAACAUCUACUCCUAAGCAUGUAAUAGUUUGGUGAGUGCUCACAAUUGCAAAAAGUGUCUAAGAUGAUAUAUUUAUAUGUGAACCUCUCUUUCCUUAUUACUUCUUAUUAAUUGCAACAAUGACUGAGGUCUAUGUUGAUUUAUUCUCAACAAGUUUCAAUCAUCAUACGUGUCAUAAGUGAAGUUAUCACUUUCCAUAAGAUCGUCUCAUGAUCUUUCAUGCUAUCGUUCUUUUCAUACUUUUGAUCAUGGCACAAAGCAAAGCCCUUGACGAAGACACUCUUUAUUAUAUAGCUCGUAAGCUCGAAUACAUCGGGGGAGAGACAAAAGCAAAAGACUCAAACUAAAAACUAAAGACUUAUUCCUCUAAGAGAAGAAAUAAAAACUGAAAAGGAAAGAACUAAAACAAAGGUAAAAGAAAAACAUAUAAAGGUGAUACGAUACCAGGGCAACUCCCCCAAACUUAGCAGAAGCCAAGGGGAUUGCCCAUACCAAUGCUUAGUUGUCUUCCUUUGGUGGUGAUGGUGGUGUUGUUGGAGCAGUCUUGAGCUUGUCUAAUUUCCACUUGAGCAAAAAGUUCUGCUCCCUUAGAUCGUCAUUUUCCUCCUCAAGUUUCAAAACUCUAUGGCAAAGCUCCUGCUUACUCUCCUGCAAGAAACGAGAAGGGAUAAACAAGGUCUUAGGCUUCUUCCUAUGGUCAGGGAGGCUUGACUUCUUGAACUCCACAUGGGUGUUUGCUGGUUGAGGUAGAGGAGCCUCCUCUUCAUCGUAACUCGUUUGCUCCUUCCCUUUGGGCUUAUAGUCCUCUUCCUCAUCAGUGGUCCAGCCAUAUGGUUCCAAGUCCCCAUAGACCUUGGGGUUAGCAAGGUAGUCAGCCACAUAGCUCUCUCCCUUUGAAUCUUGAGAAUACAUCUUGACCUAGAUCUGCGGCAGAACAAGCUCGAAACGAAAACAGUGGAAAACUGCGCGAUACGGAGAUCAAAACCUUCGGGCGACUAUAUAUUGAUUUUUUUUUCUGGGCCAGAAGGAGUACUCCGCAAGAAAACGGAGUCCAGGAGGCACACGAGGUGCCCACAAGCUUGCCCUCCGCCACCAGGGGGUAGGGGGCGGUGGCAGGGCUUGUGGCUGCCUCGUUCGCUCUCCGGACUGCUUUUUAUUUUUCUAAUUUUCCAAAAAUUCCAAAACGGAAUAAAUUUCCUAUUGGAAAAGUAUCAGAGUCCAAUUUCUUACCGAAACAGAUACAUCUUCGUUUUCAAGGUCUGAAAUAGGCUGAUAAACAUCCCUUAUGUACUCCUCUCGAGUUAUGACAUUGAUGAUAUUGGUCUCAACAUUUAUGGGAGUACCAGAGAUGUAAUGCUUGAUUCUUUGCCCGUUUACCACUCUAGGAAAAUUUCCUUCCGUGUUAUCGAUUUCGAUGGCACCGGAACGAUAUACUUCCUUGAUAACAUAGGGACCUUCCCAUUUAGAGAGAAGCUUGCCUGCAAAGAACCUCAAACUAGAAUUGUAUAGCAAGACAUAAUCACCUACAUUGAACUCUCGUUUCUGUAUUCGUUUGUCGUGCCAUCUCUUAACCUUUUCCUUGGACAACCUGGCAUUUUCAUAUGCCUGGGCUCUCCAUGUUGGAAUUAUGCCCUAGAGGCAAUAAUAAAUGUAUAGUUAUUAUUAUAAUUCCUGUAUCAAGAUAAUAGUUUAUUAUCCAUGCUAUAAUUGUAUUGAAUGAAGACUCAUUUACAUGUGUGGAUACAUAGACAAAACACCGUCCCUAGCAUGCCUCUAGUUGGCUAGCCAGUUGAUCGAUGAUAGUCAGUGUCUUCUGAUUAUGAACAAGGUGUUGUUGCUUGAUAACUGGAUCACGUCAUUAGGAGAAUCACGUGAUGGACUAGACCCAAACUAAUAGACGUAGCAUGUUGAUCGUGUCAUUUUGUUGCUACUGUUUUCUGCGUGUCAAGUAUUUAUUCCUAUGACCAUGAGUUCAUAUAACUCACUGACACUGGAGGAAUGCUUUGUGUGUAUCAAACGUCGCAACGUAACUGGGUGACUAUAAAGAUGCUCUACAGGUAUCUCCGAAGGUGUUAGUUGAUUUAGUAUGGAUCAAGACUGGGAUUUGUCACUCCGUGUGACGGAGAGGUAUCUCGGGGCCCACUCGGUAAUACAACAUCACACACAAGCCUUGCAAGCAAUGUAACUUAGUGUAAGUUGCGGGAUCUUGUAUUACGGAACGAGUAAAGAGACUUGCCGGUAAACGAGAUUGAAAUAGGUAUGCGGAUACUGACGAUCGAAUCUCGGGCAAGUAACAUACCGAAGGACAAAGGGAAUGACAUACGGGAUUAUACGAAUCCUUGGCACUGAGGUUCAAACGAUAAGAUCUUCGUAGAAUAUGUAGGAUCCAAUAUGGGCAUCCAGGUCCCGCUAUUGGAUAUUGACCGAGGAGUCUCUCGGGUCAUGUCUACAUAGUUCUCGAACCCGCAGGGUCUGCACACUUAAGGUUCGACGUUGUUUUAUGCGUAUUUGAGUUAUAUGGUUGGUUACCGAAUGUUGUUCGGAGUCCCGGAUGAGAUCACGGACGUCACGAGGGUUUCCGGAAUGGUCCGGAAACGAAGAUUGAUAUAUAGGAUGACCUCAUUUGAUUACCGGAAGGUUUUCGGAGUUACCGGGAAUGUACCGGGAAUGACGAAUGGGUUCCGGGAGUUCACCGGAAGGGGGCAACCCACUCCGGGGAAGCCCAUAGGCAUUUGGGGGGUCACACCAGCCCUUAGUGGGCUGGUGGGACAGCCCACCAAUCCCCUAUGCGCCAAGAAAGAAAAAAUCAAAGGAGAGAAAAAAAAAAGGAAGAAGUGGGAAGGGGGAAGGACUCCCUCCCACCAAACCAAGUAGGACUCGGUUUGGGGGGGAGAGUCCUCCCCCCUGGCUCGGCCGACCCCUUGGGGAUCCCUUGGACCCCAAGGCAAGGUCCCCCUCGCUCCUCCUAUAUAUAUGGGGCUUUUAGGGCAGAUUUGAGACGACUUUCUCAUGGCUGCCCGACCACAUACCUCCAUAGUUUUUCCUCUAGAUCGUGUUUCUGCGGAGCUCGGGCGGAGCCCUGCUGAGACAAGAUCAUCACCAACCUCCGGAGCGCCGUCACGCUGCCGGAGAACUCUUCUACCUCUCCGUCUCUCUUGCUGGAUCAAGAAGGCCGAGAUCAUCGUCGAGCUGUACGUGUGCUGAACGCGGAGGUGCCGUCCGUUCGGCACUAGAUCGUGGGACUGAUCGCGGGAUUGUUCGCGGGGCGGAUCGAGGGACGUGAGGACGUUCCACUACAUCAACCGCGUUCUCUAACGCUUCUGCUGUACGAUCUACAAGGGUACGUAGAUCACUCAUCCCCUCUCGUAGAUGGACAUCACCAUGAUAGGUCUUCGUGCGCGUAGGAAAAUUUUUGUUUCCCAUGCGACGUUCCCCAACAGUGGCAUCAUGAGCUAGGUUAAUGCGUAGAUGUCUUCUCGAGUAGAACACAAAAGGUUUUGUGGGCGGUGAUGUGCGUUUUGCUGCCCUCCUUAGUCUUUUCUUGAUUCCGCGGUAUUGUUGGAUUGAAGCGGCUUGGACCGACAUUACUCGUACGCUUACGAGAGACUGGUUUCAUCGUUACGAGUAACCCCCUUUGCUCAAAGAUGACUGGCAAGUGACGGUUUCUCCAACUUUAGUUGAAUCGGAUUUGACCGAGGAGGUCCUUGGAUGAGGUUAAAUAGCAACUCAUAUAUCUCCGUUGUGGUGUUUGCGUAAGUAAGAUGCGAUCCUACGAGAUACCCUUGGUCACCACGUAAAACAUGCAACAACAAAAUUAGAGGACGUCUAACUUGUUUUUGCAGGCUAUGAUUGUGAUGUGAUAUGGCCAAUGAUGUGAUGUGAUAUAUUGGAUGUAUGAGAUGAUCAUGUUGUAAUAGAAAUAUCGACUUGCACGUCGAUGGUACGGCAACCGGCAGGAGCCAUAGGGUUGUCUUUAUACUAACAUAUGUGCUUGCAGAUGCGUUUACUAUUUUGCUAGGAUGUAGCUUUAGUAGUAAUAGCAUAAGUAGCACGACAACCCCGAUGGCAACACGUUGAUGGAUGAUCAUGGUGUGGCGCCGGUGACAAGAAGAUCGUGCCGGUGCUUUGGUGAUGGAGAUCAAGAAGCACGUGAUGAUGGCCAUAUCAUGUCACUUAUGAAUUGCAUGUGAUGUUAAUCCUUUUAUGCACCUUAUUUUGCUUAGAACGACGGUAGCAUUAUGAGGUGAUCUCUCACUAAAAUUUCAAGACGAAAUUGUGUUCUCCCCGACUGUGCACCGUUGCGACAGUUCUUCAUUUCGAGACACCACGUGAUGAUCGGGUGUGAUAGACUCAACGUUCACAUACAACGGGUGCAAAACAGUUGCACACGCGGAACACUCGGGUUAAGCUUGACGAGCCUAGCAUGUGCAGACAUGGCCUCGGAACACAUGAGACCGAAAGGUCGAGCAUGAAUCGUAUAGUUGAUAUGAUUAGCAUAGAGAUGCUUACCACUGAAACUAUUCUCGACUCACGUGAUGAUCGGACUUGAGAUAGUGGAUUUGGAUCAUGUACCACUCAAAUGACUAGAGAGAUGUACUUUUUGAGUGGGAGUUCUUAAGUAAUAUGAUUAAUUGAACUAAUUGUCAUGAACAUAGUCUAAUGGUCUUUGCGAAUUACGAUGUAGCUUGCGCUAUAGCUCUACUGUUUUUAUAUGUUCCUAGAGAAAAUUUAGUUGAAAAUUGAUAGUAGCAACCUUUGCAGACUGAGUCUGUAAAACCGAGGAUUGUCCUCGUUGCUACGCAGAAGGCUUAUGUCCUUAAUGCACCACUCGGUGUGCUGCACCUCGAGCGUCGUCUGUGGAUGCUAUGAACAUCCGACAUACACGUUACUGAUGACUACACGAUAGUUCAGUGCAAGAUACUUGAUGGCUUAGAAGCAAGGCGCCGAAAACGUCACGGAACAUAAGUGAUGUUCCGAAGAGAUGAAAUUGUGAUUUCAUGCUUGUGCCCUUGUUAAGAGGUACGAGACCUCCAAACAAGAAUCUUUGUCCACAAAGUAAAAGAGAAAAGCUCAAUCGUUGAGCGUGUGCUCAGAUUGUCUGAGUGCGACAAUCGCUUGAAUCAAGUGGGAGUUAAUCUUCCAAAUGAGAUAGUGACGGUUCUCCAAAGUCACUGCCACCAAGCUAUGAGAGCUUCGUGAUGAACUAUAACAUAUCAAGGAUAGAUACUAUGAUCUUUUGAGUGAUUCGCGAUGUUUGACACUGCGAAAGUAGAAAUCAAGAAGGAGCAUCAAUAGUUGAUGGUUAGUAAAACCACUAAGUUUCAAGAAAGGCAAGGGCUAGAAGGGAUACUUCGUGAAACGGCAAAACAGUUGCUGCACUAAUGAAGAGACCCAAGAUUAAACCCAAACCCGAGACUAAGUGCUUCUGUAAUGAGGGGAACAAUCACUGAGGCGGAGCAACUCAAGAUACUUGGUAGAUAAGAAGGCUGGCAAAAGUCGAAAGAAGUGUAUUUGAUAUACAUGAUGUUGAUGUGUACUUUACUAGUACUCCUAGUAGCACGAGGGUAUUGGAUACCGGUUCGGUUGCUAAGUGAUUAGUGACGCGAAAUGAAAGCUACGGCAUAAACGGAGACUAGCUAAAGGCGAGGUGACGAUGCGUGUUGGAAGUGUUUCCAAGAUUGAUAUGAUCAAACGUCGCACGCUCCCUCUACCAUCGGGAUUGGUGUUAAACCUAAAUAAUUGUUAUUUGGUGCUUGCAUUAAGCAUGAACAUGAUUGGAUCGUGUUUAUUGCAAUACGAUUAUUCAUUUAAAGAGAAUAAUGGUUACUCUAUUUUCUUGAAUAAUCACCUUCAAUGGUUUAUUGAAUCUCGAUCGUAGUGUUACACAUGUUCAUGAUAUUGGUGCCAAAAGAUACGAGUUGAUGAUGAUAGUACCACUUACUUGUGGCACUGCCGCUUGAGUCAUGUUAGUAUAAAUUGCAUGAAGAGGCUCCAUGCUGAUGGAUCUUUGUACUCACCUGAUUUCGAAUCACUAGUGACAUGCGAAUCAUACCACAUGACCAAGGCCUUGUUUUCAUUGAGAUGAAAUAAGAUAGUAACUUGUUGGAAGUGAUACAUUUUGAUGUAUGCAGUCCAAUGGGUGCUGAGGCACGCAGUGGAUAUCAUUAUGUUCUUACUUCACUGACGAUUUGAGUAGAUACUAGAGUAUUUACUUAAUGAAUCACAAGUUUGAAAUAUUGAAAAGUUCAAUUCUGUUUCAGAGUGAAGUUCGUCGUAAUAAGAGGAUAAACUGUCUACGAUAUGAUCAUAGAAAUGAAUAUCUGAGUUACGAGUUUUGGUACGCAGUUAAGACAAUGUGGAAGUUGUUUCGCAGUUCAUGCCACCUGGAACAUCAUAGUGUGAUGAUGUGUCUGAACAUCAUAGCCACGCACUAUUUGGUAUGAUGCAUAAUAUGAUGUCUCUUAUCGAAUUACCACUAUCGUUUAUGGGUUAUGCAUUAGAGACAACCGCACUCACUUUAAAUAGGGCACCGCGUAUUUCCGUUGAGAUGACACAGUAUAGACUGAGGUUUAGAGAAAUCUAAACUGUCGUUUCUUGAAAGUUUGGGGUUUCGACACUUAUGUGAAAAAGUUUCAGUCUGAUAAGCUCGAACCCAAAGCGGAUAAAUGCAUCUUCAUAGGAUAUCCAAAACAGUUGGGUACAUCUCCUAUCUCAGAUCCGAAAGCAAAGUGUUUGUUUCUAGAAACGGAUCCUUUCUCGAGGAAAGGUUUCUCUCGAAAGAAUUGAGUGGGGGGGGGGGGGUAGUAGAACUUGAUGAGGUUAUUGAACCAUCACUUCAACCAGUGUGUAGCAGGGCGUAGGAAGUUGUUCCUGUGGCGCCUACACCAAUUGAAGUGGAAGCUGAUGAUGGUGAUCAUUGAGCUUCGAAUCAAGUUACUACAAACCUCGUAGGUCGACAAGGUCGCAUACUGCUGCAGAGUAGUACGGUAACCCUGUCUUGGAGGUCAUGUUGUUGAGCAACAGUGAACCUACGAGUUAUGGAGAAAGCGAUGGUGGGCCCAGAUUCCGACAAAUGGCUGGAAGCCAUGAAAUCCGAGAGAGGAUCCAUGUGUGAAAACAAAGUGAAGACUUUGGUAGAACUACUUGAUGGUCAUAGGACUAUUGAGUGAAAAUGGAUCUUUAAAGGAAGACAGACGAUGAUGGUGAUAAGUCACUAUUAAGAAAGGCUAGACUUGUCGCAAAGAUGUUUUCGACAAGAUCAAACAGUUGACUCUGAUGAGACUUUCUCACUCGUAGCGAUGCUAAAGGUCUGUUAGAGUUAUGUUAGUUGUUGAUGCAUUGUUUAUGAAAUAUUGCACGUAGGAUAUCAAAACAUUGUUUUCUCGACGGUUUCCUUGAGCAAACAUUGUAUGUGAUACAACCAGAAGGUUUUGUCGAUCCUAAAGAUACUAGCAAGUAUGCGAGCUCCAGCGAUCCUUCAAUGGACCGGUGCAAGCAUCUCGGAGUUGGAAUGUAUAUACUUUGAUGAGAUGAUCAAAGAUUUUGGGUUUGUACAAGGUUUAUGAGAAACUUGUAUUUCUAAAGAAGUGAGUGGGAGCACUAUAGAAUUUCUGAUAAGUAUAUGUGGUUGACAUAUUGUGGAUGAGAAGUAAUGUAGAAUUUCUGUAAAGCAUACAAGGUUGUUUGAAAGGAGUUUUUCAAAGGAAAUACCUAGAUUGCGCUACUUGAACGUUGAGCAUCAAAGAUCUAUGGAGAUAGAUUGAAAGCGCUUAAUAGAAGUUUCAACAAGAUGCAUGCCUUGACAAGUUUUUGAAGGAGUUCAAAAUAGAUCAACAAAGAAGGAGUUCUUGGUUGCGUUGUAAGGUGUGAAUUUGAGUAAGACUCAAAACCCGACCACGGCAGAAUAAAGAGAAUAGACGAAGGUCGUAUUCUAUGCCUUAGCCGUAGAAUCUAAAGUAUGCCAUGCUGUGUACCGCACCUGAUGUGUGCCUUGACUCAAAGUCUGUUGAGAGGUACAGAGAGUGAUCCAUGAUUGAAUCACUAGCAGCGGUCAAAAUUUAUCCUUAGUAACAAAUGGACUGAGGAAUUUUUCUCGAUUAUGGAGGUGGUUAAAGAGUUCGUCGUAAAGGGUUACGUUGAUGCAAGCUUUGACACUAAUCCGAAUAACUAUGGGUAGUGAAACGGAUUCAUACAGUAGAGUAGAUGUUUGGAGCAUUUCCGAAUAGCACGUAGUAGCAGCAUCUAUAAGAUGACAUAAAGAUUUGUAAAGAACGCACGGAUCUGAAAGUUUCAGAACCGUUGACUAAAAACCUCUCUCACGAGCAAGACGUGAUCAGACCCCAUAACUAUACGGGUGUUGGAUUCGUUGGAAUAACAUGGUGAUGUGAACUAGAUUAUUGACUCUAGUGCAAGUGGGAGACUGUUGGAAAUAUGCCCUAGAGGCAAUAAUAAAUUAGUUAUUAUUAUAUUUCUUAGUUCAUGAUAAUCGUUUAUUAUCCAUGCUAUAAUUGUAUUGAUUGGAAACACAAUACUUGUGUGGAUACAUAGACAAAACACUGUCCCUAGUAAGCCUCUAGUUGACUAGCUCGUUGAUCAAAGAUGGUCAAGGUUUCCUGGCCAUAGGCAAGUGUUGUCACUUGAUAACGGGAUCACAUCAUUAGGAGAAUCAUGUGAUGGACUAGACCCAAACUAAUAGACGUAGCAUGUUGAUUGUGUCAUUUUGUUGCUACUGUUUUCUGCGUGUCAAGUAUUUAUUCCUAUGACCAUGAGAUCAUAUAACUCACUAACACCGGAGGAAUUCUUUGUGUGUAUCAAACGUCGCAACGUAACUGGGUGACUAUAAAGAUGCUCUACAGGUAUCUCCGAAGGUGUUAGUUGAUUUAGUAUGGAUCAAGACUGGGAUUUGUCACUCCGUGUGACGGAGAGGUAUCUCGGGGCCCACUCGGUAAUACAACAUCACACACAAGCCUUGCAAGCAAUGUAACUUAGUGUAAGUUGCGGGAUCUUGUAUUACGGAACGAGUAAAGAGACUUGCCGGUAAACGAGAUUGAAAUAGGUAUGCGGAUACUGACGAUCGAAUCUCGGGCAAGUAACAUACCGAAGGACAAAGGGAAUGACAUACGGGAUUAUACGAAUCCUUGGCACUGAGGUUCAAACGAUAAGAUCUUCGUAGAAUAUGUAGGAUCCAAUAUGGGCAUCCAGGUCCCGCUAUUGGAUAUUGACCGAGGAGUCUCUCGGGUCAUGUCUACAUAGUUCUCGAACCCGCAGGGUCUGCACACUUAAGGUUCGACGUUGUUUUAUGCGUAUUUGAGUUAUAUGGUUGGUUACCGAAUGUUGUUCGGAGUCCCGGAUGAGAUCACCGACGUCACGAGGGUUUCCGGAAUGGUCCGGAAACGAAGAUUGAUAUAUAGGAUGACCUCAUUUGAUUACCGGAAGGUUUUCGGAGUUACCGGGAAUGUACCGGGAAUGACGAAUGGGUUCCGGGAGUUCACCGGAAGGGGGCAACCCACUCCGGGGAAGCCCAUAGGCAUUUGGGGGGUCACACCAGCCCUUAGUGGGCUGGUGGGACAGCCCACCAAUCCCCUAUGCGCCAAGAAAGAAAAAAUCAAAGGAGAGAAAAAAAAAGGAAGAAGUGGGAAGGGGGAAGGACUCCCUCCCACCAAACCAAGUAGGACUCGGUUUGGGGGGGAGAGUCCUCCCCCCUGGCUCGGCCGACCCCUUGGGGAUCCCUUGGACCCCAAGGCAAGGUCCCCCUCCCUCCUCCUAUAUAUAUGGGGCUUUUAGGGCAGAUUUGAGACGACUUUCUCACGGCUGCCCGACCACAUACCUCCAUAGUUUUUCCUCUAGAUCGUGUUUCUGCGGAGCUCGGGCGGAGCCCUGCUGAGACAAGAUCAUCACCAACCUCCGGAGCGCCGUCACGCUGCCGGAGAACUCUUCUACCUCUCCGUCUCUCUUGCUGGAUCAAGAAGGCCGAGAUCAUCGUCGAGCUGUACGUGUGCUGAACGCGGAGGUGCCGUCCGUUCGGCACUAGAUCGUGGGACUGAUCGCGGGAUUGUUCGCGGGGCGGAUCGAGGGACGUGAGGACGUUCCACUACAUCAACCGCGUUCUCUAACGCUUCUGCUGUACGAUCUACAAGGGUACGUAGAUCACUCAUCCCCUCUCGUAGAUGGACAUCACCAUGAUAGGUCUUCGUGCGCGUAGGAAAAUUUUUGUUUCCCAUGCGACGUUCCCCAACACCUUGGUCACCACGUAAAACAUGCAACAACAAAUUAGAGGACGUCUAACUUGUUUUUGCAGGGUAUGAUUGUGAUGUGAUAGUAAUAGCAUAAGUAGCACGACAACCCCGAUGGCAACACGUUGAUGGAUGAUCAUGGUGUGGCGCCGGUGACAAGAAGAUCGUGCCGGUGCUUUGGUGAUGGAGAUCAAGAAGCACGUGAUGAUGGCCAUAUCAUGUCACUUAUGAAUUGCAUGUGAUGUUAAUCCUUUUAUGCACCUUAUUUUGCUUAGAACGACGGUAGCAUUAUGAGGUCAUCUCUCACUAAAAUUUCAAGACGAAAUUGUGUUCUCCCCGACUAUGCACCGUUGCUACAAUUCAUCGUUUCGAGACACCACGUGAUGAUCGGGUGUGAUAGACUCAACGUUCACAUACAACGGGUGCAAAACAGUUGCGCACGCGGAACACUCGGGUUAAGCUUGACGAGCCUAGCAUGUGCAGACAUGGCCUCGGAACACAUGAGACCGAAAGGUCGAUCAUGAAUCAUAUAGAUGAUAUGAUUAGCAUAGGGAUGCUUACCACUGAAACAACUCCCGACUCACGUGAUGAUCGGACUUGGGAUAGUGUAGGUGGAUCAUGAACCACUCAAAUGACUAGAGAGAUGUACUUUUUGAGUGGGAGUUUAGCAUAUAAUUUGAUUAAGUUGAACUCUAAUUAUCUUGAACAUAGUCUAAGUCCACUUUGAAUAUAUUUGUGUUGUAGAUCAUGGCUCACGCAAGUGUCAUCCUGAAUUUUAAUACGUUCCUAGAGAAAGCUAAGUUGAAAGAUGAUGGAAGCAACUUUGUAGACUGGGCUCGUAAUCUUAAGCUAAUCUUACAAGCUGGGAAGAAGGAUUAUGUCCUUAAUGCUGCGCUAGGAGAUGAACCGCCCGCUACGGCUGAUCAGGAUGUUAAGAACGCUUGGUUAGCGCGUAAGGAGGACUACUCAAUAGUUCAAUGUGCAGUCUUGUAUGGCUUAGAACCGGGACUUCAACGUCGCUUUGAGCGUCAUGGAGCAUUUGAGAUGUUCCAGGAGUUGAAGUUUAUCUUUCAGAAGAACGCCCGGAUCGAGAGGUAUGAGACCUCCGAUAAAUUCUAUGCUUGCAAGAUGGAGGAAAACUCGACUGUCAGUGAACAUGUGCUCAAAAUGUCUGGGUACUCAAACCGUCUAGCUGAACUGGGGAUUGAACUCCCGCAAGAAGCUAUCACUGACAGAAUCCUUCAAUCACUGCCGCCAAGCUAUAAAGGCUUUGUGUUGAACUACAACAUGCAAGGGAUGAACAAGUCUCCCGGCGAGUUGUUUGCGAUGCUGAAAGUCACAGAGUCGGAACUCCGUAAAGAGCAUCAAGUGUUGAUGGUGAGCAAGACCACUAGUUUCAAGAGAAACGGCAAGGGCAAGAAGGGCAAUUCGAAGAAGAGCGGCAAGCCUGUUGCCAAUCCGCCGAAGAAACCCAAGGCUGGACCUAAGCCUGAAACGGAGUGCUUCUAUUGCAAGGGUAUGGGUCACUGGAAGCGCAAUUGCCCCAAGUAUCUGGCAGAUAAGAAGGCGGGCAAAGAAAAAUCAGGUAUAUUUGAUAUACAUGUUAUUGAUAUGUACUUAACCGGCCCUCGUAGUAGUGCCUGGGUAUUCGAUACCGGUUCUGUUGCUCACAUUUGCAACUCGAAACAGGAACUACGGAAUAGACGAAGGCUGGCGAAAGACGAAGUGACGAUGCGCGUAGGAAACGGUUCCAAGGUUGAUGCAAUCGCCCUCGGCACCGUGUCACUUCAACUACCAUCGGGAUUAGUGAUGAACUUAAAUCAUUGUUAUUUAGUGCCUGCGUUGAGCAUGAACAUUAUAUCUGGAUCUUGUUUAUUGCGAGACGGUUACUCUUUUAAGUCUGAGAAUAAUGGUUGUUCUAUUUCUAUGAGUAACAUCUUUUAUGGUCAUGCACCGAAUGUGAGAGGAUUGUUCAUAUUGAAUCUUGAUAGCGAUACGCAUAUACAUAACAUUGAGACCAAAAGAGUUAGAGUAAACAAUGAUAGCACCAUAUUUUUAUGGCACUGCCGUUUGGGUCAUAUUGGUGUAAAGCGCAUGAAGAAACUCCAUGCUGAUGGACUUUUGGAGUCACUUGACUUUGAUUCACUUGACACGUGCGAACCAUGCCUCAUGGGCAAGAUGACUAAGACUCCGUUCUCCGGAACAAUGGAGCGUGCAAGUGACUUGUUGGGAAUCAUACAUACCGAUGUGUGUGGUCCAAUGAGCGUGGAGGCACGCGGCGGAUAUCGUUAUUUCCUCACCUUCACUGACGAUUUAAGUUGAUAUGGUUAUGUCUACUUAAUGAAGAACAAGUCUGAAACAUUUGAAAAGUUCAAGCAAUUUCAGAGUGAAGUAGAAAAUCAUCGUAACAAGAAGAUCAAGUUUCUACGGUCUGAUCGUGGGGGUGAAUAUCUGAGUUUCGAGUUUGGUACUCACUUAAGACAAUGUGGAAUUGUUUCGCAGUUAACACCGCCUGGAACACCACAGCGUAAUGGUGUGUCCGAACGUCGUAACCGUACUUUGUUAGAGAUGGUGCGAUCUAUGAUGUCUCUUACUGAUUUGCCGUUAUCAUUUUGGGGUUAUGCAUUAGAAACAGCUGCAUUCACUUUAAAUAGGGCACCAUCAAAAUCCGUUGAGACGACACCAUACGAACUGUGGUAUGGCAAAAGACCAAAGUUGUCGUUUCUUAAAGUUUGGGGAUGUGAUGCUUAUGUCAAAAAGCUUCAGCCUGAAAAGCUGGAACCCAAAGCGGAGAAGUGCGUCUUCAUAGGUUACCCAAAGGAGACAGUUGGGUACACCUUCUAUCUCAAAUCCGAGGGCAAAGUGUUUGUUGCUAAAAACGGAACUUUUCUCGAGAAGGAGUUUCUCUCGAGAGAAUUGAGUGGGAGGAAGAUAGAACUUGACGAGGUUGUCGAACCUCUCAUCCCUCUGGAUGGUGGCGCAGGGCAAGGGGAAACCUCUAUCGUUGCAACACCGGUUGAGGAGGAAGUUAAUGAUGAUAAUCAUGAAACUCCAGUUCAAGUUUCUGUUGAACCACGCAGGUCGACGAGAUCACGCGCUGCUCCAGAGUGGUACGGUAAUCCCGUCUUGUCAAUCAUGUUGUUAGACAACAAUGAACCUGCGAGUUAUGAAGAAGCAGUGGUGGGCCCAGAUUCCAACAAAUGGCUAGAAGCCAUGAAAUCCGAGAUAGGAUCCAUGUAUGAGAACAAAGUGUGGACUUUGGAGAUACUACCUGAAGGCCGCAAGGCUAUUCAGAACAAAUGGAUCUUUAAGAAGAAGACGGACGCUGACGGUAAUGUGACCGUUUAUAAAGCUCGACUUGUGGCAAAGGGUUUUUCACAAGUUCCAGGAGUUGACUACGAUGAGACCUUCUCACCCGUAGCGAUGCUUAAGUCCGUCAGAAUCAUGUUAGCAAUAGCUGCGUUUUUCGAUUAUGAAAUCUGGCAGAUGGAUGUCAAAACGGCGUUCCUUAACGGUUUCCUUAAGGAAGAGUUGUAUAUGAUGCAACCCGAAGGUUUUGUCGAUCCUAAAAAUGCUGACAAGGUGUGCAAGCUCCAGCGAUCCAUUUAUGGACUGGUGCAAGCGUCUCGGAGUUGGAACAAACGCUUUGAUGAGGUGAUCAAAGCAUUUGGGUUUAUACAAGUGGUUGGAGAAUCUUGUAUUUACAAGAAAGUGAGUGGGAGCUCUGUGGCGUUUCUAAUAUUAUAUGUGGAUGACAUAUUACUGAUUGGAAACAACGUAGAGCUUUUGGAGAGCAUAAAAGGUUACUUGAAUAAAAGUUUCUCUAUGAAGGACCUAGGAGAAGCUGCUUACAUUCUAGGCAUUAAGAUCUAUAGGGAUAGAUCAAAACGCCUGAUAGGACUUUCACAAAGCACAUACCUUGAUAAAGUUUUGAAGAGGUUCAAAAUGGAACAGUCGAAGAAAGGGUUCUUGCCAGUGUUACAAGGUACGAGAUUGAGUAAGACUCAGUGCCCAGCAACUGAUGAAGAUAGAGAGCAUAUGCGCUCCGUCCCCUAUGCUUCAGCCAUAGGCUCUAUCAUGUAUGCAAUGCUGUGCACUAGACCGGAUGUUAGCCUGGCCAUAAGUAUGGCAGGUAGGUUCCAGAGUAAUCCAGGAGUGGAUCACUGGACGACGGUCAAGAAUAUCCUGAAGUACCUGAAAAGGACUAAGGAGAUGUUUCUCGUGUAUGGAGGUGACGAAGAGCUCGCCGUAAAAGGUUACGUCGAUGCAAGCUUUGACACAGAUCCGGACGACUCUAAGUCGCAAACCGGAUACGUAUUUAUUCUUAAUGGGGGUGCAGUAAGCUGGUGCAGUUCCAAGCAAAGCGUCGUAGCAGAUUCUACAUGUGAAGCAGAGUACAUGGCUGCCUCGGAGGCGGCUAAGGAGGGUGUCUGGAUGAAGCAGUUCAUGACGGAUCUUGGAGUAGUGCCAAGUGCACUGGAUCCAAUAACCUUGUUCUGUGACAACACUGGUGCCAUUGCCUUAGCAAAGGAACCAAGGUUUCACAAGAAGACCAGACACAUCAAACGAUGCUUCAACCUCAUCCGCGACUACGUCGAGGAGGAGGACGUAAAUAUAUGCAAAGUGCACAUGGAUCUGAAUGUAGCACACCCGCUGACUAAACCUCUUCCACGGCCAAAACAUGAUCGACACCAGAACUGUAUGGGUGUUAGAUUUAUUACAAUGAAAUUCACAUGGUGAUGUGAGGGCUAGAUUAUUGACUCUAGUGCAAGUGGGAGACUGUUGGAAUUAUGCCCUAGAGGCAAUAAUAAAUGUAUAGUUAUUAUUAUAAUUCCUGUAUCAAGAUAAUAGUUUAUUAUCCAUGCUAUAAUUGUAUUGAAUGAAGACUCAUUUACAUGUGUGGAUACAUAGACAAAACACCGUCCCUAGCAUGCCUCUAGUUGGCUAGCCAGUUGAUCGAUGAUAGUCAGUGUCUUCUGAUUAUGAACAAGGUGUUGUUGCUUGAUAACUGGAUCACGUCAUUAGGAGAAUCACGUGAUGGACUAGACCCAAACUAAUAGACGUAGCAUGUUGAUCGUGUCAUUUUGUUGCUACUGUUUUCUGCGUGUCAAGUAUUUAUUCCUAUGACCAUGAGAUCAUAUAACUCACUGACACUGGAGGAAUGCUUUGUGUGUAUCAAACGUCGCAACGUAACUGGGUGACUAUAAAGAUGCUCUACAGGUAUCUCCGAAGGUGUUAGUUGAUUUAGUAUGGAUCAAGACUGGGAUUUGUCACUCCGUGUGACGGAGAGGUAUCUCGGGGCCCACUCGGUAAUACAACAUCACACACAAGCCUUGCAAGCAAUGUAACUUAGUGUAAGUUGCGGGAUCUUGUAUUACGGAACGAGUAAAGAGACUUGCCGGUAAACGAGAUUGAAAUAGGUAUGCGGAUACUGACGAUCGAAUCUCGGGCAAGUAACAUACCGAAGGACAAAGGGAAUGACAUACGGGAUUAUACGAAUCCUUGGCACUGAGGUUCAAACGAUAAGAUCUUCGUAGAAUAUGUAGGAUCCAAUAUGGGCAUCCAGGUCCCGCUAUUGGAUAUUGACCGAGGAGUCUCUCGGGUCAUGUCUACAUAGUUCUCGAACCCGCAGGGUCUGCACACUUAAGGUUCGACGUUGUUUUAUGCGUAUUUGAGUUAUAUGGUUGGUUACCGAAUGUUGUUCGGAGUCCCGGAUGAGAUCACCGACGUCACGAGGGUUUCCGGAAUGGUCCGGAAACGAAGAUUGAUAUAUAGGAUGACCUCAUUUGAUUACCGGAAGGUUUUCGGAGUUACCGGGAAUGUACCGGGAAUGACGAAUGGGUUCCGGGAGUUCACCGGAGGGGGGCAACCCACUCCGGGGAAGACCAUAGGCAUUUGGGGGGGUCACACCAGCCCUUAGUGGGCUGGUGGGACAGCCCACCAAUCCCCUAUGCGCCAAGAGAGAAAAAUCAAAGGAAAGAAAAAAAAAAGAGGAAGAAGUGGGAAGGGGGAAGGACUCCCUCCCACCAAACCAAGUAGGACUCGGUUUGGGGGGGGGGGGAGAGUCCUCCCCCCUGGCUCGGCCGACCCCUUGGGGAUCCCUUGGACCCCAAGGCAAGGUCCCCCUCCCUCCUCCUAUAUAUAUGGGGCUUUUAGGGCAGAUUUGAGACGACUUUCUCAAGGCUGCCCGACCACAUACCUCCAUAGUUUUUCCUCUAGAUCGCGUUUCUGCGGAGCUCGGGCGGAGCCCUGCUGAGACGAGAUCAUCACCAACCUCCGGAGCGCCGUCACGCUGCCGGAGAACUCUUCUACCUCUCCAUCUCUCUUGGUGGAUUAAGAAGGCCGAGAUCAUCGUCGAGCUGUACGUGUGCUGAACGCGGAGGUGCCGUCCGUUCGGUACUAGAUCGUGGGACUGAUCGCGGGAUUGUUCGCGGGGCGGAUCGAGGGACGUGAGGACGUUCCACUACAUCAACCGCGUUCUCUAACGCUUCUGCUGUACGAUCUACAAGGGUACGUAGAUCACUCAUCCCCUCUCGUAGAUGGACAUCACCAUGAUAGGUCUUCGUGCGCGUAGGAAAAAUUUUGUUUCCCAUGCGACGUUCCCCAACACUCCAUUCAUCUAACGAGCUGAUAUCAAGCAACCGCUUCUCACUGGCAAGUUUGAAAUCAAAGUUGAUCUCUUUGAUUGCCCAAUAAGCUUUGUGUUUCAGCUCAAGAGGUAAAUGACAGGCCUUACCGUAAACCAUUUUAUACAGUGACAUGCCCAUAAUAUUCUUAUAAGUAGUCCUAUAAGCCCAUAGUGCAUCGUCAAGUUUGCUAGACUAGUUCUUUCGAGAUCUAUUGACGGUCUUUUGUAGGAUCAACUUGAUCUCCCUAUUACUCAACUCCACUUGACCACUAGACUGAGGAUGAUAAGGAGAUGCAACUCUAUGGUUGACAUCAUACUUAGCUAGCAUCUUGCGGAAAACACCAUGAAUGAAGUGUGAACCGCCAUCAGUCAUCAGAUAUCUAGGGACUCCAAAUCUUGGGAAUAUGACUUCUUUAAGCAUCUUAAUAGAGGUGUGGUGAUCAGUAUUUUUAGUGGGGAUAGCUUCUACCCACUUAGUGACGUAAUCCACAACAACUAAGAUGUGAGUGUACCCAUUGGAACUCAGGAAGGGUCCCAUAUAAUCAAAGCCCCAGGCAUCAAAUGGUUCAAUGACAAGUGAAUAGUUCAUAGGUAUUUCCUCAUGCUUACUGAUAUUCCCUAUCCUUUGGCAUUCGUCACAAGACAAGACAAACUUACGAGCAUGCUUGAAGAGAGUGGGCCAAUAGAAACCUGAUUGCAAUACCUUAUGGCCAGUUCUAUCUCCAGCAUGGUGUCCUUCGUAGGCUUCGGAAUGACACUUCUGCAAGAUCUGUCCCUGUUCAUGUUCAGGCACACAACGUCUAAUAACACCAUCUACUCCUUCCUUAUAAAGGUGAGGAUCAUCCCAAAAGUAGUGUCUCAAAUCAAAGAAGAAUAUCUUCUUUUGCUGAUAGGUGAAACUGGGUGGUAUGUAUUUGGCUACGAUAUAAUUUGCAUAAUCGGCAUACCACGAUGCACUAUGUGAAGUGUGGAUGACAUUUAAUUGCUCAUCAGGAAAGCUGUCGUCAAUAGGUAGUGGGUCAUCAAGGACAUUCUCUAGCCUAGGCAAGUUAUCUGCUAUAGGGUUAUCAGCACCCUUUCGGUCAACGACGUGCAAAUCAAAUUCCUGUAGCAGGAGAACCCAUCUGGUCAGCCUAGGUUUAGCGUCCUUCUUCUCCAUGAGGUACUUAAUAGAAGCAUGAUGAGAGUGAAUAGUGACGUUGGAGUCAACUAUGUAAGAUCUGAACUUUUCACAUGCAAACACGACUACUAAAAAUUCCUUCUCCGUAGUGGCAUAGUUUCUUUGGGCACUGUCUAGAGUUUUACUAGCGUAGUGAAUAACAUUCAACUUCUUGUCAACUCUUUGUCCUAGACCAGCACCAACAGCAUAAUCACUAGCGUCGCACAUGAUUUCAAAGGGCAAGUUCCAGUCAGGUGGUUGAACAAUAGGUGCGGUUAUCAAAGCCUUCUUAAGUAUUUCGAAAGCUUCCUCACAAUCCUCAUCAAAAACAAAAGGAACAUCCUUCUGCAAGAGGUUGGUAAGAGGCCUAGAAAUCUUAGAGAAGUCUUUAAUGAACCUUUUAUAGAAACCAACAUGACCUAGGAAACUUCGUAUACCUCUGAUAUCUGUGGGGCAAGGCAUUUUCUCAAUUGCAUCAACCUUAGCCUUAUCAACUUCAAUGCCUCUUUCAGAGAUUUUGUGUCCUAAGACGAUACCUUCAUUAACCAAAAAGUGGCACUUCUCCCAAUUCAAGACGAGGUUGGUUUCUUCGCAUCUCUGUAAGACUCGAUCAAGGUUGCUGAGGCAAUCAUCAAAGGAAGGCCCGUAAACGGAGAAGUCAUCCAUGAAAACCUCAACGAUCUUUUCACGAAAGUCAGAGAAUAUAGCCAUCAUACAUCUUUGGAAGGUGGCAUGUGCAUUACAUAAGCCAAAAGGCAUACGUCUAUAGGCAAAGGUACUGAAAGGGCAGGUGAAAGUGGUUUUCUCUUGAUCAGAUUGUGCAACAGGUAUCUGCGAGAAACCUGAAUAACCGUCUAGAAAGCAGAAGUGAGUGUGCUUUGAUAGCAUUUCUAGCAUUUGGUCGAUGAACGGCAAAGGAUAAUGAUCUUUCCUGGUUGCCUUGUUCAGUUUCCGGAAGUUUAUCACCAUUCUAUAGCCGGUAAUAAUCCUUUCUGGGAUUAGUUCAUCCUUAUCAUUAGGAACGACGGUGAUACCUCCCUUCUUAGGUACGCAAUGUACUGGACUUACCCAAUCACUAUGAGCAACAGGAUAAAUGAUUCCUGCUUCCAGAAGUUUUAAUAUUUCUUUUCUAACGACCUCUUUCAUCUUAGGAUUUAAUCUCCUUUGAUUAUCAGCAACUGGUUUAAAGUCAGGAUCGGUUUUAAUCUUGUGCUGACAUAGGGUAGGACUAAUACCCUUAAGAUCAUCAAGAGUAUAUCCAAUAGCAGCGCGGUGCUUCCUCAGAGUUGUUAGUAACUUCUUCUCUUCGCGCUCUGAGAGGAGGGCACUAAUAAUGACAGGAUAUAUCUCCUUCUCAUCAAGAUAGGCAUACUUAAGAGUAUCCGUCAACUGUUUAAGCUCGAACACAAGAUCACCCUUUGGUGGGGGAGGAUCCCCAAGCAGUUCAACAGGCAGAUUAUUCUUGAGAAUAGGAUAUUGUUCUAAGAUAAUUUUAGCUAUCUCAUCUCUCUCCUCCAUAUGCACAUCAUUUUCAUGCUCAAGUAGAUAUUGCUCUAAAGGAUCCGUAGGAGGUACGGCAAUAGAGGCAAGAGCAAUGAUUUGAUCCCUACCAGACGACUCUCUUUCAUGGGUUUGUCUUUCAAAUUGGAGAAGUUAAAUUCGUGAGACACACCCUCAAAACUUACUGUGACAGUCUGCUUAAUGCAAUCAAUGUGAGCGUUGACAGUGUUGAGAAAGGGUCUACCAAAUAUGAUGGGACAAAAGCUAUCUUGUGCAGUACCAAGGACGAGGAAAUCAGUAGGAUACUUCGUCUUACCACACAGGACUUCUACGUCUCUCACAAUUCCCAAAGGGCAGAUAGUGUCUCUAUUAGCUAGCGUAAUAGUGACAUCAAUGGGUUCUAACUCAUCAGGUGCAAUCUCAUCUUUCAUUUCAUCAUAUAGAGAACGGGGUAUUGCACUAAAACUAGCUCCCAUAUCACAUAAACCAUGGUAACAGUGAUCUCCUAUCUUAACAGAAACAACGGGCAGGCCAACUACAGGUCUGGCGCGCCCAAGAUGCGACCCUAUCCUCAAUUUGGCACGAAGGCCUCGUCAGGGAUAGAAGCGCAUCUCGUCGUGUCGCAAGAAUGGAUAUCGUCACAAGUACAUGUACUGAAAAGAAGAGUUAUAUAUACAGAGUUGGCUUACACUCGCCACAAGCUACAUCAGAGUCACAUCAGUACAUUACAUAAUCAUCAAGAGUAAGAGCAGGGCCCGACUAUGGACGAAAACAAACGAGAAAAAUAAGAACGACGUCCAUCCUUUCUAUCCCAGGCUGCCGGCCUGGAACCCACCCUAGAUCGAUGAAGAAGAAGAAGAAGAAGCAACUCCAAAUGAACAAUCAACGCGCUCACGUCAAGUAACCUUUACCUGUACCUGCAACUGGUGUUGUAGUAACCUGUGAGCCACAGGGGACUCAGCAAUCUCAUUUCCAGAGGUAUCAAGACUAGCAAAGCUUAAUGGGUGAGGUAUGGUUAAGUGGUGAGGUUGCAGCAGCGACUAAGCAUAUAUUUGGUGGCUAACUUACGAGUACCAGAAAUAAGAGGGGGAAGAUCUACGCAUAACGGACGUGAACUACUGAUGAUCAAAUGAAUGAUCCUGAACACCUACCUACGUCAGACAUAACCCCACCGUGUCCUCGAUCGGAGAAGGAACUCACGAAAGAGACGAUCACGGUUACGCACACAGUUGGCAUAUUUUUAAUUAAUUAACUUCAAGUUAUCUAGAACCAGUGUUAAACAAGGUUUCCAUGUUGCCACAUAACCGCGGCCACGGCUUUCCGAAAGGUUUAACCCUGCAGGGGUGCUCCAACUAGUCCAUCACAAAUUACCACAAGCCGCAUAGAAAUCCUCAAUCACGAAGCUCGCGAUCUCGUCGGAUUCCCUAGUGGAAAACCUCAACUCUGAGAUUACCCAAAGCAUCACCGGAAUCCCGAUGCACAAGAUAUCUCGUCAAAGGUAAAACUAAUCCAGCAAGGCCACCCGACGUGUCGACGAUCCCGAUAGGAGUCGCGUACCUCGUUCUCAGGACACGACGGAUGAGCAAUGGUUACCACACCAAACGCCGAGUUGCCCCGGGUAGCGUUAAUAAGCUGCUCUGUUUUGGACCAACACACAUGAGGAGCACUGGCCCAGGGGUUGAUUAAAAUAGUCCGCGGGUGCCGGCGGGUCCCUAUGCAAUUUUAUUAGGUGAUUAGGAAAAUGUAGUACCAAUGUUGGGCCUUGCCAGACCAGCUUUAAUCUAAAACGAAUUAUCAAGGGGGUCCCCAUAACAACCCCGAUCGUGUUAGGAGCGCUCAUUUAUGGAACAUAACACCGGUAGCCGGAAACUAAGGGGGCAAAGGUGGAACAAAACACCAGGCUAGAAAGGCCGAGCCUUCCACCUUUUACCAAGUAUAUAGGUGCAAUAAAUUAAAUAGCAUUUAAAUAUGGUGGUAUAACAAGGAACCCAUGUUUUCACAUGGAAGAAACUACAGCUGCAACUAGCAACGCUAACACAGGGUCAAGCAAGCAGUAACAUAGCCAAUCAUUGGUUUGCUAGGUUGAACAGGUUGAAGAUUAAGAUGGCAUUGUUGAGAGGCUGAUAUUUAACAAGUGGUAGGCAACGAGACAUAAUCGAUAGCAUCGAAAUAACUAGCAUGGCAAUGAUACUAAUGGUAUCUGGGGACAUGAUCAUCUUGCCUGAGAUCCCGCUUGGAAGAAGAAUGCCUCCGUGAAGCAGACGAACCGAUGUAGUCGAACGGGUCCUCACAAUCCGGCACGCUGCGGAACUCUAGCGAGACGAAGCCAACCGGAAACACAAAUCAACACACGAAAUUCACCACACGAUGCACAACACAUAUGAUGCAUGAGCAGCUGAAUAUAUGCAAGUCACGGCAUGAAAAUUCACACAAUCAAACACUACACAUUAAGUGAAGUUCAAUAUGCAACGAGUUACAAAUUGACGAAACUCCACGUUAAUUUAUUUAGUUCUAUCCCAAUUAAAUACACGGCAAUAUUAAAUGUGGUUAAACAUGGCAAGAGGUGAAGCGUGAUUAAUCUACCUAUCUAGGCAUUUUAAAUGAGGUCGGAUAUGACAUAUAGCAUCUCCGAGAUGACCUCACUUGUUAAUUUACGAUUCUGUCCAGAUCUGAACUAAUGCAUUUAAUUGGUUGUUAAACAGCAAAACAAAUAGGUUCACAUGAUUCUACGCGUCAUGGCAAGCAAUCUACACAUAAAGAACAUCUCCAACGGAGCUACGGGUCAAAAGUUACAAGCAUCGCAAGAUAUGAUGGCAUGAAUGCAAUAUGUGUGCAACGACGGCUACGAGCACUUCAAAACAUACAAACAGCAAGAGAAAAUGAAACUACACAAGAUCCUAAGCAAGUUUCAUGUAGGACACGAUCAAAUCAGAGCUACGGUUCAACAACUACGAGCAAAACAAGAAAUCUUCACAAUCUGCCAAAAUCAGCCACAUGGCAUUUUAUACGCCUCACAACUUCGGCUACACAACUCCGAUAAGCUCAAGCAAGGCAUGGCAUGGAAGAGGACAAGAAUCACUACUACGAACAACUAACAACAACUAGCAUGGCAGCAAGGAGCACUAGGAAAAGAAGACACAAAAUGGCAUCUCACACACUAUUUCAGACUUAGUGAAAAUUACACCUCAUGAAAGUGCAGUUUUCGAUCUGAAGCAAUGUUGACAGCAGCAAAACCUAUAGCUACAGGAGUCCAAAUGGCAUGAAAAUUAACAGCAUGCUAGAGAAUCACAAGGGGUAGAACUAACUCCAUUGGACCAACCUCAAAAGAGCUACAGAUCACAAGAUGCAAGCAAGACAAGAUAGCAACAAAAUAUAACAGAUUCCAGACUUAGAAAUAUUUCAGCACGUCUAAAACAGCACUAUUUCUAGCAACUUGAGGGCUAUCGAAACACACCUAAACAUGCAUUUCUAUUGCAACCAAAAAUACCAGGGGCUAAUCAAAACAUCCAAGAUCAACUCUCUAGUUGACAACUCCGUCAAACGACGUACGGAAUAAAUCCUACGAAUUAAUCAAAAGGGCAACAUAGCAAAAUAUCUUGCGAACUAACUUGCUCUAAUGCUAAAAAUAAUUGCACAGAAAAAUCCAUGGGAUUUUGCUACCCCGAAAACAUAUAAAAUAUGUGGGGUUUGCAACACAAAAUAAUGCCACACAUUAAUGCGAGAAAAUAACCUAUAUACGGGAAAAUAAACUACCGGCAAUCCAUACACGCAAAAAUACAAAUGACAGGUCUAAAAAACAUGAUAAAAUGGUCCCUAAAAAAUAGACAUUUUAUCUACGUCAUACGGGCAACCCGGUCUUGCACGAAAAAUAAAUACAGGUCGAAACCUAUUAGGACAGCACACUUAUCUAGGCAAACAGCAUGCUAAACAACGUCAAACAAAUGUGCAAGUUUUAAAUUCGGAUUCUACGCGAAAAGUUACACGAGAUACAUAUCUAAAUCUUCGCGAUCCGACUUACGGAUAAUAUUCUGCGGGCAUUCUAAUAUAGUCUGAUUACUGGAAUUAAUUAAAUUCCUAAAAUUCCUAAAUGGGCCGAACAGGUGGGCGCGAGGUAACAGGUCAGUGCAUGGGCGUAGAAUAGUGGCUUGGGGGGUGCUCACCUCGGGCCUUGGCCCGGCUGGAGGAGCAGGCCGAGGGGCGCGCUGGGCCUGGCUCGGGCGCUGGCCAGGCGCUAGCUGGGCCGCGACGCUCCUGGGCCUGGGGCGACGCAGCUGGACGAAGGGGGCCUGGGGCGCGGGGAAGAGUGGCUGGGCCUCGGGGGCGCUCUGGGCCGAUGCGGGGCCCACGGGGCGGCGCUCUGGGUCUCCUCGUCGCCCUCCUCUGGCCUACCGCACGAGGCAUGGCGGCGCCGACCUGGAACCGCCGGAGGGCGCUGACCACAGGGCGGAGACGGUCGGGACGGGGCCGGGGUCGGCCGGAUCUGGCCGGCCUUCGCCAGAUCUGGCCGCCGGCGGGGGCGAGGCAGCAAGGGCGGCGGUGCUGGCGGGUCAAGGCAGCAAGGGCUCGGCCGACAGGGAGAGCGCGGCGCUCCGGCGGCUGCCGAUGGCCGGCGGGAGGCGGCGGGACCGAGUGUAGCAGGAGCUGCGAGGCUCCCCGGCGAGGGGCUGGCCGGCGGCGCAGGAGGCUCCGGUCAAGGAGGUGCGGCGGCUCCCGGGAGGAGGAGGCACGGGCAGGGAGGUCGAACGGGGCGGCGGCGUGAUGCGGGCUCGGGUGGGCUCCAGAUGGGCCUGGCAUGCCCACGGCGGCUGGGGCUGGGGAGAGAGAGGAGAGGUUGUGGCGGCUAGGGUUAGGUUUAGGUGGGGCGCGGAAAACAAGGCAGGUUAGGGAUGGGUGUCCGAAAAUUAGAAGGGGUCUAUAUAUAGACAAACGGGGGGGCUCGGUUAACCGGAAUCGCGCUCCGGAUCCAACCGCGGGGUCGGAUUCGGACGAUUCCGCACGAGGGAAUGGGUACGCGGCCGUGUAGAGGGGAUAUCCGGAGAUGAGAGGGAGAACGGGCGAUGCGGCACGAAUUUUAAAAACACCGACAGACGUCCGACGGUGGACCGAAUACGGUGCCGCUACGGUCGACCGUUCGGGUACCAGACGGACUCCGAUCGCGACGAAAUUCGACAAGCGGCCUAGCUAUAACUAAUCACGACCGCGUGCCAAGUCUCACCUUGAUCAGAGAAAGUUUUAACCGCGCUUUUAAAACAGGGUUUCGACGGUGCCGCGGGCGUGUGCGAGUGCGGUCGGGCUCAGAACGGACGACGACGCGAACCGGCAACUAACAACGGAUGCAAGUUUUGAAAACUGGCGGCAACGGAGAUGCCGAUGCGAUGCAGAUGAUGCGCAUGAUGCGAUGAUGAUGCGACAAAUAACAUAAAUAACACGACGAAAACGGAAAGGAAAGGGAAUCUUCUGGAACGUCGGCAUCGGGCUGUCACAACUCUCCUACACUACAAGAAGAUCUCGCCCCGAGAUCCAAGAAUGAAAGGGGGAGAGGAUGAGAAAGAACAAGAGGUAAAACUUAGUCGCUUCUUGACAAACGAGUGAAACCAACGAUCCUUGAAGGUUGCAAGGCAAUGAGAAAAGAUAUGAGAGGAAGCAAGAAUUCACGGAAAAUUUCGACAGCACUUCGGUAGGAAAAUGGGACAAAAAAUUCGAUAAGAUGGUAGAAAUAGACAAUAUACAUAACAAACAACUAAAUAGAACAAGGGAACACCAUGAUCUUGAUAGAACAACACAAUAUAACCAAAAGAGCAACAUCACAAUGCCUCCGGAACAAUAGAAUAGGAACUAGCUCAAGCGAAAGAAGAGAAUGAAGAAAGAAAUGACAACUAUCAACUCCAAUGAACUUGGCAAGCAUGCUUGCAAGAAAAAUUGAACGAAGUUGUUGGAAAAACAAUAACGAAAAGAACAAGAUAGUAGUGGGCUUAUGGAAAUCAUCUCAACAAAUAUGAGGUGACAACCAACCACUAAAAGAAAGAAGGAUAGAUUGGGAGAAACAAGAUAUGAACAAUUCUUACACCAAGAGGAUGCAUUGAGAACUUAGAUUAAAGACAAGCACCAUGAUAGUACAAUCCCUAGGAAAAGCUUUAGGUGAAAUCCAACCCAAGAUAGCUCAAAGGAGAAAUCAUGGGUUGAAAUAUCUCAUGAUCAUAGAAUUGGUGGGUUUAAUUAUCUCAUUCUUGAAAGGAAAAUUCUCUGAGGCUCCUACACUAACAAGAAGGCUAUAAUACCACCUCAAAGGAAAAGGAAUAACAAAUGCACUUGGGAAUGCAAGAGAACGGAUACUUGAGGAAAGAAUUGAUAUGAUGAUGAACCACCAUGAAGGACCUCCGUAAGAAUGAUGCAACGAUAAGAAGGUAGAAAAGGAUAAGAUUAUGACCUUGCCAAGAUUUAGAUGAAGCCUCACAGAGAGAAACUUGAUAGAACUUGGAACUCCGGAAAGAAAUAUAGGCACUUGAGAAAAGAAUUUAUAUCAUGAGUCCUCCGGAAGAAGAAUUGAAAUCUCUUGGAAGGAGGAAGGACAAUAAUAAGAAUUAUGUUAUGCUCAUCCUUCAUCAAGUUUAAUUGAUGACAAGCAACGGAUUUAGCAUACAACUUAUUCUUGUAGAAAAGAUUGAGGAGAGAUAUGAGCACAAACUAGAAGAAGUCUUGAAGGAGACACCGGUGAGAAUUUAAAUGAAUGAGGCAACCAUGAAUGACUCAAGAAAGAUGAGAAAGAUGAGAUCAUGAACCACCUAACAGAAAACUUGAAUAAGGCACCGGAAUAAUCGAGAGACGAACGAAGAGACAACAAUUGAGAAGAAUUGAGGAUGAAAGCCGAAAGCUGAGAACGAAGAAUCUUCUAAAAUGAUGGCCUUCGGAGGAACGAGAAAUAAAAACGACUCAGAGAAGCACCGGAUAGCACGAAAGGGAUUACCCACGAUUGGGAAUAAUUCAAGAUGAUGCCAGAAGGCUGAAACGAUGAAUCAUGAAGAUAAUGGGCCAAGAUUGAGAGAAACACUCCUUCAAAUGCAAGCUGAGAAUGAUGACGAUAACAACGCCAAGAAUUACUAAGACACUCCGGAAUAAAGAAGAAUGAAAGGUUGAGCCAAAGAAUGAAUUAAUUCAAAUAGAACUUGAAGAAGUAAUAUGACUGAUGGAAAUCAUACUUACGUCAUAGUUGAAAGAUUUAAUGAUCUCCGGGAAAAGAUUAAAAAUGCCAGGAAAGAUCCUGGGAAAGAACCAGUGGGUUAUGGGCCCACUCAAAGAAACCACCGUUAGAAAAGAUUGCUAGACCGAGAGAUAUUGCACCGGUAUGAAGAGAACUAGAUGAGGUUAGCACCUCGAAAUAAUUAAAGAAUUGAGAACAAGAAUUCUGAGAUAACUUCAACGCUCCGGAUAGAAUAGAGAGAAAUAACAACAAGAAAAUAGACUAAUAAAAAUUUCCAACAUAGGAAAUAAUUACAAGGAUGAAAAGGAUAUGAUGAACACAGACAACUGAAUUGAAUUCACCGGUAAGGAUGACAAAAAUGAACAAAGAGGAACACGAAGCUCCUGAGAAUCUUCACAAUGAAUCAUCGGCUACGAAAGGAAGAAGAGAUAGCGGAAGCACAAUGAAAUGAAUGCGCUUGGAUGAAAUCCAAUCACCGAAGAAAAAGGGCGGGAGGGCGGGAAAAAAACAAAGACAACUUGGGACAGAUGAGAUGAACUCCGGAUGGAAUAAAAGAAUGCUAUCGACAAUCCACUUGAGGAGAAGCACACCGGUUGGAAAAGAAAAAACAUGACGACUCCGGUCGACAAGAAUUGAUAAGACAACUGAUUAAGCAAAAGAAUUAGCAUUCACGUAAAAAUAUGAGAACACAGAUUAGGAAAGAUCUGAAAUCACCACUUGACAUCGAAGCAACACAAAUUACCAUAUUCAACAAAACAAAGGGUGAGGCUUAUGAAACAAGCCAGAACAAACUCAUGAGAAAGAUUUCGUCCGAUAUUUUCAUGGACAGAUCGCACGGGCUCGAUUUUACAGUAGCCAUCAAGUGCAAGGUAGUGCACCCGACAUACGAAGUAUCCCCGAGUCGUAGCAAGCUACAAGGACUCUUUAAGACACAACGUGUACCGCUGUAAGUCGACCGUGAACAAACGAAUCCACUAGAUGUCGAACCCCAACCUAACAACAUGCAUUUGUUGGAAGAUUGUCCUAUAAGCAACUACUUGAAUUCUCACCUAUGAACUCCCGAAAUAUCUGGUCAUGUAAUCUGGUACACGGAUACAAGGAGUAAUAUCACACAACUCCUAUACUAACCCGUCACUUGUAUCACAUCCGUCAACACACGACCAGAAUCUCGGACCUUCAUCUACUACAGACCCUCGUGAUCACAACGAUACAGAGUAUGGCAGUACUCCCGAACAAUCUGCACCAGUACCGGGGAUAUCGGGGUUAUCUCGCCACUACUAGUAUUGAAGCAAUUACGAACAUCCUUCGUUCUGAGAUACUAAGAAAUCUGAAUGAUAACGAUGUGCUGAAGAAUCCCCUGGAGCUCAACUCCCCGGAAGAAGAUCAAGUCAGACAGGAGGCACCAAGACAGAACUCCGUCACAUCGGCAUCAUAUAGAUUCCAAAAAUAUCUGUGUGAUCCUAAAAAAAAAUUUGAGUGAGAAGAGGAGUAGAAUAAAUUAUUACGUCAAGAUUCCUCACGAGAGCAUAGAAGAGGAGAAAAAAGAAUCCUACUCUCCGAUAUAUAACUAGACUCAAAGUAUUUUUACUAGACUCGACUCGGUCAAAUUUGAUUAAUGAAGGGGGCUCCUAGGUCGGUACUGGUCUGAUACCAACUUGUCACGCCCAAGAUGCGACCCUAUCCUCAAUUUGGCACGAAGGCCUCGUCAGGGAUAGAAGCGCAUCUCGUCGUGUCGCAAGAAUGGAUAUCGUCACAAGUACAUGUACUGAAAAGAAGAGUUAUAUAUACAGAGUUGGCUUACACUCGCCACAAGCUACAUCAGAAUCACAUCAGUACAUUACAUAAUCAUCAAGAGUAAGAGCAGGGUCCGACUACGGACGAAAACAAACGAGAAAAAUAAGAACGACGUCCAUCCUUGCUAUCCCAGGCUGCCGGCCUGGAACCCACCCUAGAUCGAUGAUGAAGAAGAAGAAGAAGCAACUCCAAAUGAACAAUCAACGCGCUCGCGUCAAGUAACCUUUACCUGUACCUGCAACUGGUGUUGUAGUAACCUGUGAGCCACAGGGGACUCAGCAAUCUCAUUUCCAAAGGUAUCAAGACUAGCAAAGCUUAAUGGGUGAGGUAUGGUUAAGUAGUGAGGUUGCAACAGCGACUAAGCAUAUAUUUGGUGGCUAACUUACGAGUACCAGAAAUAAGAGGGGGAAGAUCUACGCAUAACGGACGUGAACUACUGAUGAUCAAAUGAAUGAUCCUGAACACCUACCUACGUCAGACAUAACCCCACCGUGUCCUCGAUCGGAGAGGGAACUCACGAAAGAGACAAUCACGGUUACGCACACAGUUGGCAUAUUUUUAAUUAAUUAACUUCAAGUUAUCUAGAACCAGUGUUAAACAAAGUUUCCACAUUGCCACAUAACCGCGGCCACGGCUUUCCGAAAGGUUUAACCCUGUAGGGGUGCUCCAACUAGUCCAUCACAAAUUACCACAAGCCGCAUAGAAAUCCUCAAUCACGAAGCUCGCGAUCUUGUCGGAUUCCCUAGUGGAAAACCUCAACUCUGAGAUUACCCAAAGCAUCACCGAAUCCCGAUGCACAAGAUAUCUCGUCAAAGGUAAAACUAAUCCAGCAAGGCCGCCCGACGUGUCGACGAUCCUGAUAGGAGUCGCGUACCUCGUUCUCAGGACACGACGGAUGAGCGAUGGUUACCACGCCAAACGCCGAGUUGCCCCGGGUAGCGUUAAUAAGCUGCUCUGUUUUGGACCAACACUCAUGAGGAGCACUGGCCUGGGGGUUCAUUAAAAUAGUCCGCGGGUGCCGGCGGGUCCCCAUGAAAUUUUAUUAGGUGAUUAGGAAAAUGUAGUACCAAUGUUGGGCCUUGCCAGACCAGCUUUAAUCUAAAACGAAUUAUCAAGGGGGUCCCCAUAACAACCCCGAUCGUGUUAGGAGCGCUCAUUUAUGAAACAUAACACCGGUAGCCGGACACUAAGGAGGCAAAGGUGGAACAAAACACCAGGCUAGAAAGGCCUAGCCUUCCACCUUUUACCAAGUAUAUAGGUGUAAUAAAUUAAAUAGCAUUUAAAUAUGGUGGUAUAACAAGGAACCCAUGUUUUCACAUGGAAGCAACGGCACCUGCAACUAGCAACGCUAACACAGGGUCAAGCAAGGAGUAACAUAGCCAAUCAUUGGUUUGCUAGGUUGAACAGGUUGAAGGUUAACAUGACAUUGUUGAGAGGCUGAUAUUUAACAAGUGGUAGGCAACGAGACAUAAUCGAUAGCAUCGAAAUAACUAGCAUGGCAAUGAUAGUAAUGGUAUCUGGGGAAAUGAUCAUCUUGCCUGAGAUCCCGCUUGGAAGAAGAAUGCCUCCGUGAAGCAGACGAACCGAUGUAGUCGAACGGGUCCUCACAAUCCGGCACGCUGUGGAACUCUAGCGAGACGAAGCCAACCGGAAACACAAAUCAACACACGAAAUUCACCACACGAUGCACAACACAUAUGAUGCAUGAGCAGCUGAAUAUAUGCAAGUCACGGCAUGACAAUUCACACAAUCAAACACUACAGAUUAAGUGAAGUUCAAUAUGCAACGAGUUACAAAUUGACGAAACUCCACGUUAAUUUAUUUAGUUCUAUCCCGAUUAAAUACACGGCAAUAUUAAAUGUGGUUAAACAUGGCAAGAGGUGAAGCGCGAUUAAUCUACCAUCUAGGCAUUUUAAAUGAGGUCGGAUAUGACAUAUAGCAUCUCCGAGAUGACCUCACAUGUUAAUUUACGAUUCUGUCCAGAUCUGAACUAAUGCAUUUAAUUGGUUUUUAAACAGCAAAACAAACAGGUUCACGUGAUUCUACGCGUCAUGGCAAGCAAUCUACACAUAAAGAACAUCUCCAACGGAGCUACGGGUCAAAAGUUACAAGCAUCGCAAGAUAUGAUGGCAUGAAUGCAAUAUGUGUGCAACGACGGCUACGAGCACUUCAAAACAUAUAAACAGCAAGAGAAAAUGAAACUACACAAGAUCUUAAGCAAGUUUCAUGUAGGACACGAUCAAAUCGGAGUUACGGUUCAACAACUACGAGCAAAACAAGAAAUCUUCACAAUCUGUCAAAAUCAGCCACACGGCAUUUUAUACGCCUCACAACUUCGGCUACACAACUCCGAUAAGCUCAAGAAAGGCAUGGCACGGAAGAGGGCAAGAAGCACUACUACGAACAGCUAACAACAACUAGCAUGGCAGCAAGGAGCACUAGGAAAAGAAUACACAAAAUGGCAUCUCACACACUAUUUCAGACUUGGUGAAAAUUACACCUCAUGAAAGUGCAGUUUUCGAUCUGAAGCAAUGUUGACAGCAGCAAAACCUAUAGCUACAGGACGCCAAAUGGCAUGAAAAUUAACAGCAUGCUAUAGAAUCACAAGGGGUACAACUAACUCCAUUGGACCAAUCUCAAACGAGCUACAGAUCACAAGAUGCAAGCAAGACAAGACAGCAACAAAAUAUAACAAAUUCCAGACUUAGAAAUAUUUCAGCACGUCUAAAACAGCACUAUUUCUAGCAACUUGAGGGCUAUCGAAACACACCUAAACAUGCAUUUCUAUUGCAACCAAAAAUACCAGGGGCUAAACAAAACAUCCAAGAUCAACUCUCUAGUUGACAACUCCGUCAAACGACGUAUGGAAUAAAUCCUACGAAUUAAUCAAAAGGGCAACAUAGCAAAAUAUCUUGCGAACUAACUUGCUCUAAUGCUAAAACUAAUUGCACAGAAAAAUCCAUGGGAUUUUGCUACCCCGAAAACAUAUAAAAUAUGUGGGGUUUUCAACACAAAAUAAUGCCACACAUUAAUGCGAGAAAAUAACCUAUAUACGGGAAAAUAAACUACCGGCAAUCCAUACACGCAAAAAUACAAAUGACAGGUCUAAAAAACAUGAUAAAAUGGUCCCUAAAACAUAGACAUUUUAUCUACGGCAUACGGGCAACCCGGUCUUGCACGAAAAAUAAAUACGGGUCGAAACUUAUUAGGACAGCACACUUAUCUAGGCAAACAGCACGCUAAACAACGUCAAACAAAUGUGCAAGUUUUAAAUUCGGAUUCUACGCGAAAAGUUACACGAGAUACAUAUCUAAAUCUUCGUAAUCCGACUUACGGAUAAUAUUCUGCGGGCAUUCUAAUAUAGUCUGAUUACUGGAAUUAAUUAAAUUCCUAAAAUUCCUAAAUGGGCCGAACAGGUGGGCGCGAGGUAACAGGUCAGUGCAUGGGCGUAGAAUAGUGGCUUGGGGGGUGCUCACCUCGGGCCUUGACCCGGCUGGAGGAGGCGGCUCGAGGAGCAGGCCGAGGGGCGCGCUGGGCCUGGCUCGGGCGCUGGCCAGGCGCUAGCUGGGCCGCGGCGCUCCUGGGCCUGGGGCGACACAGCUGGACGAAGGGGGCCUGGGGCGCGGGGAAGAGUGACUGGGCCUCGGGGGCGCUCUGGGCCGAGUCUCACCUUGAUCAGAGAAAGUUUUAAACGCGCUUUUAAAACAGGGUUUCGACGGUGCCGCGGGCGCGUGCGAGUGCGGUCGGGCUCAGAACGAACAACGACGCGAACCGGCAACUAACAACGGAUGCAAGUUUUGAAAACUGGCGGCAACGGAGAUGCCGAUGCGAUGCGCAUGAUGCGAUGAUGAUGCGACAAAUAACAUAAAUCACACGACGAAAACGGAAAGGAAAGGGAAUCUUCUAGAACGUCGGCAUCGGGCUGUCACAAGGUCCGUGUUUGUCUUUCGCGUGAGGUUUACCAAUUCUAGCGGAGUCCUCACAGAAUUUGAUAACAUGCCCAUCUAUGUCUUCGGCUAAGAGAUCUUUGAUAAUAGCAACACUAGGUAUCACAGUUGGUCCAAGUGGUCUAAUGUAACCCCUACGUAUCACAGUUGGAGCUUUAGAAUAAUCCUUUAUCCUAGCAGGGUAUGGUGGUUUCUCAGUGUAAGCACAAGGAACAACAGGAUCACUAAAAGCAAUGACUUUCUCCUCAACUAGAUUGGUUUUGGCUAUGUUGCUUUCUACAGGAGGAUGAUAUUUAAACCACUUCUCUUUGGGAAGAUCAACAUGAGCAGCAAAAGAUUCACAAAGAGAAGCUACUAUCUCAGAGUCAAGUCCAUACUUAGCGCUAAAAUCUCUAGAAGUGUUUGUCUCAACAAAAGAUUUAACGCAAUCAAACUGGAAAUUCAUACCUAACUCCUUACCUUCCUCCGGCUCCCAAUCUUCAGAGUUGCGUUUGAUUCUCUCCAAUAAAUUCCACUUGUGAUCAAUAUCCUUCUUCAUAAAAGAACCGGCACAAGAAGUGUCAAGCAUGGUACGAUCUUCAUGACAAAGCCGAGCAUAAAAGUUUUGAGUGAUGAUUUGCCUCGAGAGCUCAUGAUUGGGGCAUGAAUAUAGCAUUGAUUUAAGCCUCCCUCAAGCUUGAGCUAUGCUUUCCCUGUCAUGAGGCCAAAAGUUACAAAUAAAGUUCUGAUCACGAUGUACUAAAUGCAUAGGAUAGAACUUUUGAUGAAAUUCCAAUUUCAACCGAUUGUAGUCCCAUGAUCCAGUAUCAUCACAUAGCCUAUACCAUGUCAACGCCUUAUCCUUCAAAGAUAAAGGAAAGACUUUCUUCUUUACCUCAUCCUCGGGCAAACCUGCAAGCUUAAAUAAACCACAAACUUAAUCUACAUAGAUUAGAUGCAAGUGUGGAUGUGAAGAUCCAUCUCGUGUAAAAGGAUUAGCCAGCAGUUUCUAAAGCAUACCCGAAGGAAUUUCAUAAAAGAUAUUUUCAGUAGGUACCUCAGGUUGAGGAGCAACUCCUCGUGCUUCCGUUCAUGGUGAAGAUACCCCGAACAAACUCCUCAAAGGAACAAUUUCCAUAGUGACAAGUGACAAUAAAUUUCAGCAAAGUAUAAAAAUGUUUCCUUACCAAUUUCCACUUACCAAAGGCACUUCACUCCCCGGCAACGGCGCCAGAAAAGAGUCUUGAUGACCCACAAGUAUAGGGGAUCAAUCAUAGUCCUUUCGAUAAGUAAGAGUGUCGAACCCAACGAGGAGAAGAAGGCUCUGAUAAACGGAUUUCAGCAAGGUAAUAACUGCAAGCACUGAAAGUAGCGGUAACAAGUGAUUGUGUAGCGAGGUGAAACGUAGCAAGAAAAAAGUAACAAGUAACAAGUAGUAGCAACGGUGCAGCAAGUGGCCCAAUCCCUUUUGCAGCAAGGGACAAGCCUGAACAAAGUCUUAUAGGAGGAAAAACGCUCCCGAGGACACACGGGAAUUUCUAUCAUGCUAGUUUCAUCAUGUUCAUAUGAUUCGCAUUCGUUACUUUGAUAGUUUGAUAUGUAGGUGGACCGGCGCUUGGGUACUGCCCUUACUUGGACAAGCAUCCCACUUAUGAUUAACCUCUCUCGCAAGCAUCCGCAACUACAAAAGAAGAAUUAAGACAAAGUCUAACCAUAACAUUAAACUAGUGGAUCCACAUCAGUCCCUCACGAAGCAACGCAUAGACCGGGGUUUAAGCUUCUGUCCCUCCAGCAACCCCUCAUCUACAUACUACUUCCCAAUGCCUUCCUCUAGGCCCAAAUAUGGUGAAGUUUUAUGUAGUUGACGUUCACAUAACACCACUAGAGGAAAAGACAACAUACAACAUAUCAAAAUACCGAACGAAUAUCAAAUUCACAUGACUAUUAUUAACAUGACUUAUCCCAUGUCCUCAGGAACAAAAGUAACUACUCAAAAAACAUAAUCAUAAUCAUGAUCAAAGGUGUAAUGAAUAGCAUCAAGGAUCUGAACAUAAACUCUUCCACCAAGUAAUCCAACUAGCAUCAACUACAAAGAGUAAUCAACACUACUAGCAACCUUACAAGUACCAAUCGGAGUCAUGAGACGAAGAUUGGUUACAAGAGAUGAACUAGGGAUUCGAGAGGAGAUGGUGCUGAUGAAGAUGUUGAUGAACAUGCCUCCCCUCCGACAAGAGGAGUGUUGGUGAUGACGAUGGCGACGAUUUCCCCCUCCGGGAGGGAAGUUUCCCCGGCAGGAUCGUCCUGCCGGAGCUCUAGAUUGGAUCUGCUCAAGUUCCGCCUCGUGGCGGCGGCGAAACCACGAAAAAGAUCCCCUCUGAUAUUUUUCUGUACCAAGACGCUUCAUAUAGCAAAAGAGGGGGGCUAGUGGGCCGUCAGGGAGCCCACAAGCCCCCACUCCGCCACCAGGGGGUGGAGGUGUCACGGCUUGUGGCACCCUGGCAGCCCCCCUCCGGUAGUUCUUUCGCUCAGUAUUUUUUAUGUAAUCCCAAAAAAACCCACGUAACUUUUCAGGGCAUUUGGAGAUGUGCAGAAUAGUGGACUAGGAUUUGCUCCUUUUCCAGUCCAGAAUUCCAGCUUCCUGAAUUCUCCCUCUUCAAAUAAACCUUGCAAAAUAAGAGAGAAAAGGCAUAAAUAUGGUACCACAAGUAAUAUAACAGCCCAAAAAGCAAUAAAUAUCAACAUCAAAGCAUGACGCAACAUGGACGUAUUAGUGUCCCAGGGAGCCCACAAGCCUAGGAGGCGCGGCCCCCCUAGGCGUGGCUAGGGGACUUGUGGGGUCCCUGGUGCCCCCUGUCCUGAUUCUGAGGCUUCCCGAUCUUCUUCUGUUUCGGAAAAAAUCUUUUUGGAAGUUUCGUUCCGUUUGGACUCCGUUUAAAAUCCUCCUCUGAAAGGGGUCAAAAACAUGGAAAAAACAGGAACUGUCACUUGGCACUGAGUUAAUAAGUUAGUCCAAAAUAAGAUAUAAAAGGUAUACAAAACAUCCAAAGUUUGACAAGAUAAUAGCAUGAAACCAUCAAAAGUUAUAGAUACGUUGGAGACGUAUCAGGUUCCCCCUCAUGUGUUCUUCUAGGGUUCAUGCUGGGCUAGAUCCCCUUCAUGUGUUCUUCUAGGGUUCAUGGGGCUAGGGUUAGGGUUCAUGCUGCAGCACGAUAUGUCAGUUGUACUCGGGUUAGGGUUAGGGUUCAUGGGGUAAAUAUGUCAGUUGAAUAUAGAAUGACAUAGUUGUUUUGAUCUGCGUAGAGAAGCAAGUCGCAUUAGGCCGUGUGAUGGGUGGCGGUGGCUGGGUAGAUGCGGAUGCUAGAGCUACCAUUGUAAUGAGCUAAGUUGUAUGCUUCUUCUUUUGGUGAUGGUAUUUCCCUGCAAGGCCAGAUACCCAUCUAUUUAUUACAACUGUUAUGGUGUCUUCAAAGUUAAUACUACUAAGAGCUAGAGCUUGUGUUUUUCUUUGGAAACAGUCAGUGGUGAUGCUGAUGCUAGGUGUAGGUGAGCUAUUCAGACUUCAUUGUUGGUGUUUGGCUUGGCUUGGCUUGACUUGACUUGAGUAGUAGUGAUUCUAGGUGUAGGUGAGCUAUUCAGACUUCAUUGCUGGUGUUUGGCUUGGCUUGGCUUUAGUUGACUUGAGUAGUAGUGAUGAGUCUGGAUAUAGGUGGCUUGUUUUAAUUUUUUCUGAACAUAAUUUGUUGUUCAUUUGAAAUAACAUGGCAUAAUAUAUUCUGUAUGCUGUUUCGAUGAUGGGAAGAACAUUUAUCUUGCUGAAGCAUGCGAUUAAUUCUGCUGUGCUUUUUUUUCCUUCCAAAAAGAGGAUUAUCACGGGCCUCUGCAUCAAGCGAUGAACACUGUCAUAUAGUUGUGUUGUGCUGCAUGAAUGAAUGCGGAAUGAUUCGGUGGCAGUGAAAAUCAUGAUUGUAUAGACAACAUUUGGCUAGAGUCUUAACACAUAAAUUUUGAGUAGAAUCCUAUUAAUUUCUUGUUAGUGUGUCUUACUUGAGCGGUGCUUUAAGUGAAUGAUGUUGGGCAACCAGUUAAUGCAUAUGUUUGCCACCAUUAGGGAAUACAGUUGAGUAAUUACUUUGCUUAUAGAUGAUUGCAGGUACAUGGAUAAAAUUUCAAGUUAAAACAUAAAAGCAAUUGUUGUAAAUAGUUAAUGCAUUGCUUCACAUAUAUAGUUUUCUUCAACUAUCGGUUUAGUACAUUACUACCUCUUGUUUCACAUGUAUUAAUACUAAUACAUUGCUACACUUGUAUGUGCAUGCUGGUCCAAGUGCUUCAAUUUAGUUGCUUGCUUCAACUAUCAGUUUAGUACUGAUGCAUUAACUGUAUGUGCAUUGCUACACGUGUAUGUGCAUGUUGGUCCAAGUGUUUUACAUGUAUUAGUACUGAUGCAUUAACUACAUCACCAUAUUGUUGAUCCAACAAGUUUGCUUCACAUGUAUUACAUGUAUAUGCAUGCUCGUCUAAAUGAUUUCCUUUAUUGAUAUAAGUGCAUCAUUUUACUUUAUCCCUGUUGUAUCUGAUUGUUGUUUAUUCUAUUUUGCAAGCACCACCUCAAGAUCAUCCAUGGCAAGGAUGACAAGGUCAAACCCGAGGCAACCCAUUGGUGUGCAAGUUGCUCCUUGUGGUUAUACUGUCAGAUUUAUAAAAUGUGUCUUAAUAUGCUAAGUGAAAUGUAAUAUGCUAAGUAAAAUAUCUUGGAGGGUGGUGAUGUAAAAUAUUGUCAGAUUUUAUUAUGCAAAUGUAUUGCUGUAAUCUGAAUUAGCUGGCUUAGCUGUGUGUGUGUGUUGGUACUCUUCCUUAGCUGAAUAAGUAUUAAAUGAUAAUAAAAUAUCAUAAGAUAUGUUUGGCUGUCUAUCUAUGCAUUCCAACAAUUAACCUAAUAAUUAUGUUUCCUUUGCCUUGCAAAGAUGAGCAUCCUCUCACCGAGUACGAGAAGGUUAGGGCUAGAAAUAUGAUGAGGAACAAUCGGAUAUUCGAGUUCCUUGGCAUUGGUGCAAUAGCGUCAAUGAUUAGGAAAACAAAUGAUGUACAAGAAGGUAGAACUAAUGAGGUUCAAGAAGGUAGUGGAGUUAUCAAUGAUGACCUAGAGUACAAUCCUGAGGAUGAAGUUGUAGUGCACAAGAAUGUUAAGGUGCAAACUCUCUCUUGCUUGGAGGGUUCGGGUUCUUGUAUGCUCUCUGUUUCCUUGUCCUCACAUAUUUAUCUUGUGAUCUAUUGUUUAUUCUGUGUUAUUUAUAUAAGGCACCGAAGGAAUCUAGAACAAAGAGGCCUGGUGUUAAGAAGACAGCCAGCAAGAAGAGGAAGAGCUGAGAAGCAUCUGCUGCAAUGCAUCCAGGAAGGGUGAUGGCCCCACCUCCAGGACAAACAAAGAGGAUCCUGGAACCUGAUGAACCUGAUAGAGUCACAAGGCAGAAAGCAACUAUGGCGGCUGUGACGGACCAUCAGGAAAGUCCGCUGGGCAUGGACUUUGAGAGCUCGGUGGAAAUGUCUGAUGAGUUUUCGCCCAUGGAUGAAGAAACCACUCUCUGCAUGGAUGAAAGCGGCACUGCCUGCCUACGCCUCAGGCGUGGUGCACCUUCUAUUGACAGGAAUGAUGUCGUCAGUGAAGAAGAACAGCAACUUGUGCUUCAACCAGGCAAGUUCACCUUCUCUUUUACUAGUGCAUUUUGCAAAUGGAAGUGAUCAUGUAUUCUUACCUGUUUAGCAGACCCAUUCCUGCAUUUGUCGAUUUCUCUUCUAAUUUACGAGUUCAAUUUCAUUUUCAGAUGCAAUGACUAACAAGCAUAGACUUAGAAAGGGCAAAGGGCUAGAGAGAAUUACCAAGUCGCUUGGCACAAAGGUGCCUAUCCAAAUUGCCCAAGGGAUGAAGCGUCCAGAGAAGCCUCUACAGGCAGCAAAGUUUGCUUCUGAGUGUGGACUCGUUGCAAGAAGCCAUCUGCCGGUUCUUCCUCACUUCAAGGAAUACAAAAAUAAUGCUACUCUAGUGGAGGACUACAUUGGGAAAGUUGAUGUAAGCUACUUGUUUUAUAGUUAAUGUGCUACUCUAUUUUCUGUUUUGUAGUUAAUGAUCACUAAUGUUGUUCCUUCCUUGUUUGUUGUCUUGGUAGGCAAAUUUUGAGAUGAACACACACUCGGAGACCAUCAAGUACGCGCGCAAGGAUGUUCUGCAGAAAAGUUCAAAGAAUCGACGCCAUAAGAUCAAGAAGUAGUAUUUUGAUACCGUAGCAGCAAACAAAGUGAGCACCAAGUCUCCGGUGUCAGAUCUGACGGACGGUGAAUGGCAAGCUCUGGUGCAGAUGUGGUCUACCCCAAGACACAAGGUUUGUAUAUGCUCUGUUUGCUGAUUUAUGUUCUGCACAUCAGGAUGGGAAUGGGCCAUGGUCCCCUUCUUCCUCUUCCAUGUUUCUGAUCAGAGUAGGAACAAUAGAGAGCAUCAACUUUCAAAAUCAACACCAUAUGUAAUACACUGACUCUUAUAUAGUACUAGUUGUUCAUGUACUUGUGCUAGUGCAGGAUAACUGAAAUAUUUCCAAAUCGAAUAUGCUCAGACUCGUAUUGUCCUACUAUACUACUGCCUAUUCGACUUUCUUUCAACUUGGCAAAUAACAUUGUGCUUUUUUGUAGGAAACCUGUGUGUCGAACAAGAUUAAUCGAGAAAAGGUCGUGUACCAACAGAGAAUUGGUUCCAGGCACUACACAGAACACAUUUUUGCCACUGUGAGUACCUUUUUCUAAAGACCUUACCAUUUGAUCCUCGUUGAAUAUCAUUUCUUAUUCUUGCUGAAUAACAUUUUGAUUUUUGUUAAAAAACAUUUCAGAAAGAAGAGCAUAAGGGUGAGGAGUUGUCUGCGAUUGACUUGUUCAAGGCCACCCACAACAGCAAGAAGCACGGGUUUUCGGAGCCAGGCAAGAUUGCUAUAGUAAGUCACUCCAUGCUUUUGUCCAGCUAGUUCAAAGUUUUGUCUAUAGACCUCAGCCCUGUUUGAUUCACAACCAGCAAGAACACACCCUAGAUUUGAUGUUGUUUGCUAGAGCCAAUGAUAGGUUUGGUAUCUCAACAAAGAUAUCAGAAUUUGUUGUACAGUUCUCAACAAAGAUAUCAGAACUUGCUGUAGCUAUUUGUUGCAUUUUUAUGAUAUGAUGAAAAUUGAUCUGAAUGUUAGUUCUCAACAAAGAAGCCAUAUUAUAUAGAACCACCAUAUUGUUCCGAUUGCAUGUCUCUAGAUCACAUAAGUGUGUACACUUGUUGUAGCCAGAUUCAAAUAAUGCUUUAAGUUUAGUAGCUAUCAUCUACUUCUGUUUGAGUUUGAGUAAAAUAUCUACAUAUAGAUUUUGUGUGCUGGUUUGAUUACUUCAAAUAAUCCAUUUCUUGGUCUGGUUUGGUGGCAUUCUUGUUUGGUUUCUCUUGCAGAAUGUGAAAUAGAUAUGCCACUAAUGUCUAUCAUUUUCCUCCAUAUGCUAGCUUAUGUGUACACUUGUUGUAGCCAGAUUCAAAUAAUGCUUUAAGUUUAGUAGUUAUCAUCUACUUCUGUUUGAGUUUGAGUAAAAUAUCUACAUAUAGAUUUUGUGUGCUGGUUUGAUUACUUCAAAUAAUCCAUUUCUUGGUCUGGUUUGGUGGCAUUCUUGUUUGGUUUCUCUUGCAGAAUGUGACAUAGAUCUGCCACUAAUGUCUAUCAUUUUCCUCCAUAUGCUUGCUUGAGAUGGAAAAAAUGAAGGGCGCGCCGGUGUUACUGCAACAAAAGACCUUCCAACGGCGCCAGAAAUAGGUGUGUCAAUGGCACCAGGAAUCCUUCUGCUACGGCUACGCCUUAAGGGACUUCCUAGGCAAAUAUGCAAAGGAUUUCCCCCGUGGCCUUGGAGCCUUGCGUUGGUGUUCCCUCGAAGUGGAAAGGGUGAUGUAGCGCAGCGGUGGUAAGUAUUUCCCUCAGUUUGAGAACCAAGGUAUCGAACCAGUGAAGGAGUAUCACAAGAGCUUGCACAAACACAAAAAGCUUGCUCCCAACGCUAUAAAGGGGUUGUCAAUCCCUUAUAGAUUGUUCGCCAAGUGAGAAGUGAAAGCAACAAAGUAACAAAGCAAAGUAAAAGCGUAAGUGGAAACGAUAGGUGUGAAUAGACCCGGGGGCCGUAGUGUUUACUAGUGGCUUCUCUCAUGAAAGCAAAUAGACGGUGGGUGAACAAAUUACUGUCGAGCAACUGAUAGAACCGCGCAAAGUCGUGACAUCAUCUAUGGCAAUGAUUAUAUCUAUAGGCAUCAUGUCCAAAACAAGUAGACCGAUACUUUCUGCAUCUACUACUAUUACUCCACACGUCGACCGCUAUCCAGCAUGCAUCUAGUGUAUUAAGUCCAAAAGAACAGAGUAACGCCUUAAGAAAGAUGACAUGAUGUAGAUGGACAAUCUCAUAUCUACGAUAGAGCCCACCUUGUUACCCUUGAUGGAAACUACACGAUGUGUGCCUUGCUGCCCCUACUGUCACUGGGAAAGGUCACCACACGGUAAGAACCCAAAACCAAGCACUUCUCCCAUUGCAAGAAUCAUAGAUCUAGUUGGCCAAACAAAAGCCAAGACUCGGAGAGACUUACAAGGAUAUCAAAUCAUGCAUAUAAGAAAUCAGCAAAGACUCAAAUAUAUAUCAUAGAUAAUCUGAUCACAAAUCCACAAUUCAUCGGAUCUGGACAAACACACCGCCAAAGAAGAUUACAUCGGAUAGAUCUUCAUGAAGAUCAUGGAGAACUUUGUAUUGAAGAUCCAAGAGAGAGAAGAAGCCAUCUAGCUACUAACUACGGACCCGUAGGUCUGAAGUGAACUACUCACGAGUCAUUGGAGGGGCGAUGAUGAUGAUGAAGAAGCCGUUCAACUCCAAAGUCCCCUCCGGCAGGGCACCGGGAAGGGUCUCCAGAUGAGAUAUCGCGGAAACGGAAGCUUGCGGUGGCGGAAAAGUAUUUUCGUGGAUCCCUUGAUUUUUUGCUGUAUUUUAGGGAAUAUAUAGGCGAAAGAUCUAGGUGAGGGGGGCGCCAGGGAGGCCACAAGCCUGCCCACCGCCGCCCCCUGGUGGCGGAGUGGGGGCUUGUGGGCUCCCUGUAGCCCUCCUGGCUUGGCCCACAAGCCCCCUGAUCUUCUUCCGUUUGGGAAAAAAUCAUUUCGGGGAUUUUAUUCUGUUUGGACUCCGUUCCAAAAUCAGAUCUGAAAAGAGCCAAAAACACAGAAAAAACAGGAACUGGCACUUGGCACUGAAUUAAUAAGUUAGUCCCAAAAAAGAUAUAAAAGGUACAUAAAACAUCCAAAGAUGACAAGAUAACAGCAUGAAACCAUAAAAAAUUAUAGAUACGGUUGAGACGUAUCAGCCGGUACCAGAAGGUGAAGAACCAAAGUCUGAUGCUGAGAUUGUUGAAGAAGUGCUCAAGACCGAAGUCAAGCAAAGCACAUUCCUCAGGAAUGUUGGGCUCAAGUCAUCUAGUAACAACUUUGGCAAAGGAACUGCUGUUGUGGCUGCUCAUGUUCGUGAUCUUGAGCAGAAACUGGAGAGGUCGGAGCUUCAAGCUGAAGUGGUGCAAGAAGAAAUGGCAGCAAUCAAACUAAAGGCGGAAGAAUUUGAAGCUGCACGCGACAAGGAACUUGAGCUGCUGUGCAAGAAGUCUCAAGAACAGGAACAGAAGUUAGCCCACUUGAUGGCUCUCUUCUACGCUAAAGCAUCGUAGAAGUUGAACAUGUCGUAGAACUUGUCCUAGAAACAGUGAAGUGGGCUAACUUCUCAAGAACCUCAUGAAGUUAGCCCACUUGAUUGGUCAUUCUGGUGAUGAAACAGUGAAGUGCUCUAUUUGAACCUGUGAAGUAUUUUGAACCUGUGAACCUGAUGAAGUAUUUUGUGAAACAGUGUCUUGCUCUAUUUGAACCUGAUGAAGUAUUUUGUGAACCUGAUGAAGUUGUCAAUUAUUUGAGUUUUGUUUGGACCAUUUGGUUUGGUCACUAAAGUUAGUUUGGACUGCAAAAAGGCUGAGGCCCAAACAAGAAAUAGACUAAAAAGGCUUGCGCCUAAAAAAAGAGUAGGCCAAGGCCCAAAUCAGAAUUUGUCUAAAAAGCUUGGGCCUAAAAAAAGAGUAGGCCAAGGCCCAAACAAGAACUGGACUAAAAAGAGUAGGCCAUGGCCCAAAAGAAAAGUGGCCUAAUAAAAAACAUGCUUAGUAAAAGAUUCUAUCCUAGAAAAUAAAAGGCCAAAUUAUUGGGCCCGGCCCAUGUAGAAGAUCGGAAUGGACCGGGCUGAAUCUAAUUUACGACCUUUUCAUUUGGUCUUAAUUCUGCCACAUCAGCCUGCCACGGUGGAUCUGAAGUGGUGUAGGCGGAUUGCAAGUGACCAAAUCAGUUGGUCGUUAAACCUACGACCUUCUGUUUGGUCGUAAAAUCCUACGACCAAUCUAGGAAAAAUGUCAUUAUAGUUCAUUAGAGACCCUCAGCUUUUGACCGUCUGUUUUUGGUCGUAAAAAGGUCACAAAUGGAAAUCAAUGACCAUUCGGUGACCAAUAUUGAAGGUCGUUAGUUGACAUAUUUCUUGUAGUGCCUCUCCGUCACACGGAGUGACAAAUCCCAGUCUUGAUUCAUACUAACUCAACGGACACCUUCGGAGAUACAUGUAGAGCACCUUUAUAGUCACCCAGUUACGUUGCGACGUUUGAUACACAUAAGGCAUUCCUCCGGUGUCAGUGAGUUAUAUGAUCUCAUUGUCAUAGGAAUAAAUACUUGACACGCAGAAAACAAUAGCAAUAAAAUGACACGUUCACAUGCUACGUUUAUAGUCUGGGUCUAGUCCAUCACAUGAUUCUCCUAAUGAUGUGAUCGAGUUAUCAAGUGAUAACACUUGCAUAUAGUGAGAAAACCUUGACUAUCCUUGAUCAACUCGCUAGCCAACUAGAGGCUUGCUAGGGACAUUGUUUUGUCUAUGUAUCCACACAUGUAUCUAUGUUUUCUUUCAAUACAACUAUAGCAUGGAUAAUAAACGAUUAUCUUGAAACGGGAAAUAUAAUAAUAACUAUUUUAUCAUUGCCUCUAGGGCAUAUUUCCAACACUUACCUUUACGGAAGAGUCAUGGUGAUCUUCACCACUUCGUAUAUUUCGCCUUUAUCUCUUGGCAAGCAUCAUGUGGUGGGGAAAGAUCCAAGCAUAUAUGGCCAUUCAAAUAUAUUUGAUCAUGAAUUAUUAUUGUUGACAAUUAUCCGUAUGAUAAAUAAGUUGGGAGGCGAAACAUUAAGCCCCUAUCUUUCUCUGUGUUCGAUGGAUGCUAUCUGUUCUAAAAAUAUGCUUUGAGUGUUAGCAAUCAUGGAAGACUACAUGAUAGUUGAGUAUGUGGAAUUUGCUAAAUCAAAAGCUUUUACAUAUACCCUUCCUGAAAAUAAGACGAAUUGCAAUUGUUUGGUGACUGAAAGCAUGGUUUAUUAGUUUUCAAAAAAAAUUAUGGUCUUCACUUUAACAUGUGAAUAGAUUAUUACUUUAUCAUGAGAUGUUUUAUGAGAUGAGCUACAGUUUAUGGUUUAUAUUGAUGCUAGAAAAAAGUGUUUGGGAGUAUCAUUGAUCAAACUUGUGCACUAUGCUAGCAUUCACACUUCAUAAAUUAUAUCUUUUAUCAUUUACCUAUUCGAGGACGAGCAUGAAUUAAGCUUGGGAAUGCUCAUACGUCUCCAACGUAUCUAUAAUUUAUGAAGUAUUCGUGCCAUGUUUACAAUAAUUUUAUAUGAUUUUGGUAUGAUUUUAUUAGAACUAACCCGGACUGACGUUGUUUUCAGCAGAUCUACCAUGGUGUCGUUUUUGUGUGGAAAUAGAAGUUCUCGAAAUGGGCUGAAAAGUUACUGAGAAUAUUUUUGUAAAAUAUAAAAUAUACUGGAGCAAAGAGCUGGGCCAGGAAGUGGACCAGGAGGUCACAAGCCUGCCACUCAAGACCACCCCCUAGGACGCGCCUGUGUGGCUUGUGGACUCCUCGAGCACCUCCUUGACAUGAGACUGGCGCCAAAAAUUCCUAUAAAUACCAAAACCCCCAAAAAGAAACCUAGAUCGGGAGUUCCGCCGCCGCAAGCCUCUAGAGCCACAAAAACCAAUCGGGAGCCCGUUCCAGCACCCUGUCGGAGGGGGGAAACCAUCAUCGGAGGCCAUCUUCAUCAUCCGGUGGUCUCCAUGACCAGGAGGGAGUAGUUCACCCUCAUGGCUAAGGGUAAGUACUAGUAGCUAUGUGUUCAAUCUCUCUCUCUCUCUCUCUCUCUCUCUCUCUCUCUCUCGUGUUCUUGAGAUGGCACGAUCUUGAUGUAUCACGAGCUUUAUUAAUAUAGAUUAAUCAUAUGGAGUUUUCUCCUCUCUAUCUUCUUGUGAUGAAUUGAGUUUUCCCUUUGAAGUUUUCUUGUCGGAUUGAGUCUUUAAGGAUUUGAGAAAACUUGAUGUAUGUCUUGUGAUGGGAUAUCUGUGGUGAUAGUGGGAUGUUCUAUUGAUUCACUUGAUAUAUGUUUUGGUGAUCAACUUGUGAAUUCCGUGACCUUGGGAAUCUAUGCAUAGGGGUUGGCACAUGUUUUCGUCUUGACUUUCCGGUAGAAACUUUGGGGCACUCUUUGAAGUUCUUUGUGUUGGAUUGAACAUGAUGAAUCUUAAAUUAUGUGAUGCAUAUCGUAUAAUCAUGCCCAUGGGUACUUGUGGUGACAUUGGAGUAUCUACGUGACAUUAGGGUUUUGGUUGAUGUGUAUCUUAAGGUGUUAUUUUAGCACGAACUCUAGGGAUGUUCGUGACACUUAUAGGGAUAGCUCAUAAGGUUGAUUAGAAAAGAUAACUUUGAGGUGGUUUCGUACCCUACAAUGAUUUCUUCGUUUUUUCUCCGCUAUUUGUGACUUUGGAGUGAACUCUUUGUCGCACGUGGGGGAUUUAUAUGUUAGUAUUGUUGAGAGAACUUGCACUAGUGAAAGUAUGGACCAUAGGCCUUGUUUCCAAGCAUUUAUACAACGUUUUGCUUUGAUGUUUACUAUUUGUUACCUUGCUGUUUUAUAUUUUCAGAUUACGAAAACUUAUAUCUACCAUCCUUAUUACACUUGUAUCACCAUCUCUUCGCCGAACUAGUGCACCUAUACAAUUUACCAUUGUAUUGGGUGUGUUGGGGACACAAGAGACUCUUUGUUAUUUGAUCGCAGGGUUGCUUGAGAGAGACCAUCUUCAUCCUACGCCUCCCACGGAUUGAUAAACCUUAGGUCAUCCACUUGAGGGAAAUUUACUACUGUCCUACAAAACUAUGCGCUUGGAGGCCCAACACGAGCCUACAAGAAGAAGGUUGUGUAGUAGACAUCAGCCAGCCAUGAGUCCUAAAGAUCACACAAUGAGUUCUCACUGAAUGCACCAAUGUCGGUGUCAAAACCGGCAGAUCUCGGGUAGGGAGGGUCGAGUUGUGAGAUCGGAUCGACGGUAACACGAGGCAACGAACACGAGCUUUUUACCCAGGUUGGGGCCCUAACGAUGGAGGUAAAACCCUACGUCAUGCUCUUGUUGUAUUGAUGAUGUAGCGAUUAUAGAGUUGAUCUACCUCAAGAUUGUGAGUUUGUGGGCUAAACCCUAGGAGUUAUGAUGUUGUGUAUAUGAUUGUCCUCUACGGGCAAACCCCCACAGUUUAUAUAGGUACUUGGGGUACUAGGGUUACAUGACUGUCGAUUAUCGUCUAUGGGUUACAUGUCAAACGGGUCAUCCUUUCCCUGGAGUGCACGAUAACUCUUUGGUAGAAUCCGUGAUAUUCUCACAAUCCUUUAUUGGGCCUCCGAAGUCCUUCCUCCAAGGUGGGCCUCUUGCUCAGCACAUGGACUAGUCCACCUCGGAUGGGACCACUUGGUCGAGGACUCCCGCUCCCAGCUACCAAGAAUGGCUUUUUUGUAUAGGAAGAAUGGGUCCUCCAAAAUGAAUGUGGAUGUUGGUAUUUCCAGGCCAGGCUUAUAUGUUACUGAUGUUGCAGUCUGUAGGGAUGAUCAAGGAUUAUAUUGGACACUUUAGCUCUUGUCUUAUCGGAGAUUAGUGAUCCUGUAGGCUUGGAAUCUAUUGCUUCUCCCGAAGGCAUUGCAUUGGCUAUAGACUUGAAUCUCCACAGGGCGCAUAUUGUGAUGGAUUGUCUAAACGCGGUCAAUCACAUCGCCACUUUACAAGAUGGUAAAUAUGAUGUGGUUUUCAGUGAUAUUAGUGCUUCUAGGUCUUCUUUCACCUUAUGUAAUUUCUUCCAUGAGAGAAGAGGCUCAAAUUAUGAAGCCCGUAGUCUAGCUAGGUUGGGAGACACACAUGGCUUGGUCUGCCCCAUGACACUCUUUGUAUUCCAAUAAUUAUUAAUGAAUAAACCUAGUGGAUUGUGCUAAAAAAGGAAAAUUGUUCAAGCAGCUCAAAAUAGUGUCAGUAUACUUUUUAUACAAAUUUCAUGACACUUACCAACAAUUUUCACUAAUUUAUAAAAAUAUCCGUGAUAUUUAAAAAAUGGUUGUACCAUCCAGCAAAAACUCGUUUCAAAAAAUUUCAUGAAAUAUAAAAAUGUGCUCACUCAAUUUUUAAAACAUGUUCGUGACUUAUAGAAGUGCUUAUAACCAUUUAAAAAUGAUUUUAGCAUUUGUAAAAAUGUUCAUGAAAAUGUAAAAUAUAGUUCGUGUAAAUUUUGGAGAAUUUUCACGGCAUACAACAACAUGUUCAUGAAAAAUGUGAAAAUUUGUUCAGACACUUUUUUUAAAUGUUUAUGCCAUAUAAAGAUGCUCACUCUUUUAUUUUACAAAUAACAUGAAAAACAAAAAUGGAAAAAUAAGGAAGAAAUUCAACUGAACAAAGAAAUAUAAAAUAUAAUAAUCGCUAGAGAAUAAAGAAAGAAAAGAAAAGAAAAAGAUGCAAGCUUCCAGAAACCGCAUAAAAGGUUCGCAAAACCUGUCACUACCGUACAUAGAAGCUUCUCAAAAUGGCACAUGGAAGGUUCUCAAAACCGAAGUUGGGUUGGCGCACUUGAAUCAGCAACGUAGGCGAAUGCUCAUUUCAUCUCAGAGUAAGCCAGAUUCAACAUUUGCGUGCUAUCCCUUGUAUCAACCUCUUAUUUGAUUUUCUGCUCCAACACAUGCCACUCCUAUCUCUUCCCACAUCAUCAGAUUUGUGAAAGAUUCAUUGUUAAAUUUUUUUCAACAAAAUUGUAUUAUCUCAUCGUACAAACUUUCCCGAUCCCAGGUAGAGGUCAAUUGCGUUCUAGAACAAAGUAAUGGUGCUCACUCAUGAGUGAAUCUACCAUCGAUGCGACACCUUAUGUUAGACAUUUGUAUACGAUGACUUUGUAUUAAAAAUGGCAUCUUAGAUACCUUAGUUUGUGCUUUGCUGGGCAUUCUAGAGGUUUUUGGAUCCACCACAGGUGCUUAGACAAGGUGCUAAGUGCAUCGAAGGACUUAUGAACUAAAUUCCCCUAUGCAUGUAUAUAUGCUUAGCUUUUUCUAGCUAAGAUUUCUCCAUUUUAUUGUUUAGCAACAAAAAUUCCGCAUGCAUACGUGUUUUGCAUAGAUUCACUCGUUUGACAUUGUUGUUUCUUCCUUGGGUCUUCAUGCUUUCUCUUCUUCUUAAUUGCUUUGCUACGUCAACUUUUUGCCGAUGUGGCAUUCUUAGCACCGUGGAGGGUUGAAAAGGCCCUAAAGCACAUAAGGACAAGAACUAGCUAACUGCCAAAAGUUUCGGUUUUGAGGGAUUCAUUACCAACACUUAAGUAAUAUACCAUGUGAACUGCGGUCGCAGAUGGUUUAAUACAAACAUGUUCACGUGCACGUAUCUCACAACCAUCAUCUUUAUCAUACACACAUGAUUAUAACCAAAUUUCUCUUGGGAUGGAUGACAGUCAUAAGGUCGCCUUUUUGCCAUUGCCGCCUGUGAUUAAAGACACUUUGUUGUCAUUGCCAAAGUCGGCUCCUUGGCAAGGCAAGAAGGACAAGGUCCAAUAUUUGUCCAUAAGCUAUUUUAAAAAGUAUCAUGUUUAAGGAGUGAUUUUUUUUUUAGAAAAGGAGGAUGACCCCCGGUCUCUGCAUCUGGGAGAUGCAUGCGACCAUUUUAUUGAUUAUUUCCGAGGACCUUACAAAGUAGUACAACAAUAUGUCUGAAUCCGCCAUCUUGGCAACAUUUGCCGCUACUCCUAUCCAUAUGAUGAAGGGGUGCAAGCUGAGCCAAAUACCCAGACCUCUCACCUAAGCCUAACAUCUAAAGCCGGAGGCCCCGACCGAGCCACAUACCGGGUCAGGGGCACAAACCGGUCUGACACACUCACAUGUGUCGCCGUCACCAUCUUCCACUGGUUCAUCUUCAGAGCAGAUUGAGGUACCAGCCUUGGCAGGUGCCUCCGCCAUCGACGCCACCAUGACGCCAAACGACGACCUCCACCAACGCGAGUCCAUCUCCAAGCAGCGGACAUAGAUCCAUGCUAGGAUAGGGUCGCACCACCGCCGUCGCCCACCACCCACAAGCACCAGCCAGCCCAAGGUUCCCAAAGCGGCGCCUUCAAGAAGGGAACGACGCCGUGAGCGCCGCCGCUGCCCAACAAAGUUAGGGCUUUCGCCCGGGAGACCUAGGGGAAGGGGAAGUGAGGGGAUCAGUCCAUACCGACGCCUCCAAGGAGGGGAACGGCGCCCUCAGGCGUCGCCGUCGACGCAGUCGGCCAUGGCCGGCCAGGGAUUUCGCCCGAACUAGAUCCCCAUCAUCAGCAGUGCCUCCUGUACAGAACCGGCGACCCAAGGAAGCACGGUCCGACCAUGCUAGCCCGCACGCCGAACAUGGGAGGAGGGGAUGCGCCAGAUCGCGCGCACCGACCACCGCAGAAGCUGCCGCCGGCCGGCAACGACCACUGGAUCCCGCCGCCCGCGCGGCUCGAACGCGAGAUCCACCGUCCGCACGACUGCUAGCUUGUCGUGCCUCAUCCAUGGAGCCGCCGCUCCAGAUCCGGAGUUCCCCACACAGAGGCAGGGCAGCCAAGGCCCCGCCGCCACGAUCCUUGGCGCCCCGGGCUUGCCCGACGGCUGCCUCACGCGGCGGCGAGGAAGGGAGGGGGAGGGAGUUGGGCGGCUAGGGUUGGGAGGGGGAGGGAGUUGGGCGGCUAGGGUUGGGAGGGGAAGGGGAUGUUUAAGGAGUGAUAUGCAACUAGAAACUGAUUUUGUCAUUGUCACGUGUGGAUAAUGAUUGUGAGUGGAGUUUAGAAGUGGAGUGAAGUAGAGUUUAGAGGUGGAGUGUACCCCUUCAAACACACUCGUAGUUAACAGCUAGGAGCUUUUGUUUUCGUCCGGCUGGCAUGAACACGUAACAUUUACAACAACCAUCACUUGGACAUACCAUGUGCCACAACCACCAUCUCCUAUAACUAAGAGCCAUCCAAGCCCAGUCUCAAUACUCCCAUCAACCAAAGCCUGUGUUCUGCAAGAUAGCCUGCCAGCCAUGGGAAGCAAGGGCCUCAAGGGUGUGAUGGUGUGUUUACUCAUACUGGGGUUGGUUCUGGAACAUGUGCAAGUAGAAGGCAAGAGUUGCUGCAGGAGCACCCUAGGAAGAAAUUGCUACAACCUUUGCCGCGUCCGUGGUGCUCAGAAGUUAUGCGCAAACGCCUGUAGGUGUAAACUCACAAGUGGCCUAAAAUGCCCUUCAGGCUUCCCGAAAUUGGCCCUUGUGUCAAACUCAGGUAAAGGGAAUGAACUCCUUCUAUUCCAUAUUACUAGUUCUUUCUAAAAUAAGAUGUCAUCAUAUAAAGCGUAUGGCCAGUUCGAGUUUUCUAAGUUUUCCGAAUAAUAUAAUGAACUUUUUUUAAAAAAAAUCCGAUGAUAUUUGUAUGAUCAGUUUUUCAUGAAUAAUGUUUCCAUAAAUAUAAGUUUUCUUAACUUUUUACCAACAAGUAAAUUUUUUUGAAAGGCGGUCUCUUAGGGUCCGGUUCAUCAAAAAAGUUAGAGAAAAGUUGCCUGGUUACCAACAAGUAAUUGUGAAAUGACUAAUAAAAAGCGAAUGAUGGAGACGAUGCCAAUAUCGAAGAUGAUAAUCGUAUUGUAACAGAGGAAUUGUUUGUCUUAGAUGCGAUUAUAUUUACAUGCUAGAUAUUUUAUUUUGACAGAUGAACCAGACACCAUCGACUAUUGCAACUUGGGGUGUAGGGCUUCCAUGUGUGACUACAUGGUCAACG
This 95758-nucleotide long non-coding RNA is filed under the name Hordeum vulgare. RNAcentral describes it as "long non-coding RNA (HVUL_LNC002349)". Lineage: Eukaryota; Viridiplantae; Streptophyta; Magnoliopsida; Poales; Poaceae. The record is from RNAcentral.